UUUUUUUUUUUUUUUUUUCGGAGAGACUGGCUUUUGGGCCUAUUGCCGUGUAAACGGAAAUGUCUUUUUUUUUUCCAAUAAUUUUUUGUGUGAAAUAGCAGCAAUUUCAGGAACUAGAGACAUGUGAAUGCAUAGGAAGUUAGAGCUCCACAAAAAAUAUAUAAGUAAAAGAAUAAAAGACAAAAAGAUUUGUACUUCAAUUCUUCAACUGAGACUCUAAGUCUAAUUAAGAAAAAAAAAAGCAUAAAGGAAGAGUUCAAGAGUCAAAUUAAAACUUUACAAUUACUUGAUUGAUGACCCUAUUGAUUAAUUCCAAUGUUCAAGAAACUAAAAGGAGGUAUGGAACUCAAGAGCAUUAAGAAAUCAGGAUCAAGGGCAUGGUACUUCGUUUGCAAUUGCAUGACCAUAUUUGUAAAAUCAUUUGAACUGCAAAAAUGCCAUAACAAAACGAUGGGUGAAGUAGGAAAGAUUUAUAUCUGUUGUUGUAAUCUCUCACUAUGAGAGCCUCUUUCUCUCUAUUCUAGAGAGAGAAAUCUCCCUCCUAUGGGAGUCGUGCUUUUCUCUAACAAAUUUUCAAAAAAUCUCGAAUCCCAAAAUAACAGAUCCUAUUCAUCAAAUUUUCUUUCCUAUUUUAGCAUUCAUUCCAAAUUAGUAGUUUGAGCUAAGUACAUGAAUCUACCUUAGAUUAGCCUAAACAUUUACAGUUGAUAGCCAUAUAAUUCAUCAAUAAGUUCGCGGGAGGUGUUGCUUUGUGAUUGCUGUUGAGCUUUCUUUCUAUUCUUUUGUUGUUUUGCUUCUUCUGUUUUGUCUGGUACUUUUCAGGUUGCUCAGCUAGAUCGUUGAUCUAGGGGCUUAGCAGUGUAUUCAAGGAGACGAUGCUUGGGAAGCUGGAAAACGGUGAUGAUUUCUGGAGCUGAACUGGUUCUGCAACAAUUUGGAACUGGCUGCAGCUUAGACCGUGGGAUCUUCGAAAAUGGAACACAUAGAAGAGAUAAUGAGGAAAUUCACCUUAUCUGAGAAUGAGAGCGAGGGAGUUUGUCUAGGGAAUGAGGAUUUGGAAAAAGGUGUAAAUGAGUGCAGAUUGAGUCUAAUAGGGAGAGUGUGGGGGGAAAAAAUAGCUAACAAAACUGGUAUGAGGAGUUUUGCUACUAAUGUGUGGCCUCAGUUGAGAAACGUAAAAAUUACAGAGGUCAAGGUCAAUAUGUUUCAAUUUGUUUUUGAGUCUAAAAAGGAUAUUGAGUUGGUGCUUAGCAAAAGACCUUGGAUAUAUGAUGGCUAGCCUCUGGUUUUACUGGAAUGGCAGGCAGAUUUAGAGGAGAAGGAGCAGGCGUUUAGUAGGACUUUAGUGUGGGUUCAAAUUUGGAAUUUACCUCUCCACUGGGUUACUAAGGAGGAUGGGCGUAAAAUAGGUGGAAUAUUUGCAGGGGUUAGAGAGGUCAUUAUUCCUCAGGGAGGAGGCAAGGAAGGUAAGCAUCUCAAAAUCUUAGCUGAAGUGAAUCUUAAAGAGCCUCUGCCUAGAGGUACUAUGGUGAAAAGUAAUGAAGGAACCAGAUGGAUUGAGUUUAGGUAUGAGAAAUGCCCUGAUUUUUGCUUCAACUGUGGACUGAUAGGACAUAAUGAGAGAAUCUGCAAUAGGAAAGGGGUAAACGUGGAUAGGUGACAGGUGCCGAACCUGUGCAAUAAUAAAUACCUACUCAAGAAAAUUACAAAAUUUGUAUAUAGCGGUGAGUAGGGUCGAAUCCACAGGGACUGGAAAUAAUUCGUUUCUUCUCAAAUUCAGAGUAUGGGGAGUUUUUGAUGGGAGGAAAAUAAAAAAUGAAAUAAAACAAACAAAAUUCAAAACUAACUCACAAAGCACAAUUUACUAAAUAUAGCAAUUAACAAAAGUUCUACCCAAAGGAUCAACUACUCAGGUACGGUCCAAUUAAAUGAUCAUCGAUGCAAAGAUAUUUCAUCCAUUCAUCACUAGGUUGGUUAUAGUUAUCAACAAGCUCUGACAACCAGUUCUUCCUUACUUUUUCGACAGUCAAGGUACGACCAUUGACUGCUUCUCUAACCAGAUAACAACCCUAGGUACGACUGUAGGAAUUUAAUUACCCAAUUGCAUUGAAGCUCGAAGAACCCAACCCUAACCAAUAAACACGCUAAGAGAGUUUAUUUAAACUAGAUCUUACGCUUCCCCAUCAUAAAGCUAAUUAUGGUGGUUGCCACGAGGUGUUAACUAAAUGAACAAUUACGGAUUCUAUUUAAUUAACGUGGCAGUAGGCUAUUAAAUUAAAUCAAAUACCCGGCCGUUGAUAUUCAAUUAAUAAAAUACUCAUGAACAAUUAAUUCAGGAAACGCACGAAUAGCAAUAAAUUGGAAGAAAUAGUGAAGAUUCGAUUAGAUCUCACAGAUAUUAUGGACCGCGCCCUCGCGUCAACCUUUGGGUAUAUGAGGAAAUUAGCCGCUCCUCAUCGCAUUAAUUUCACGUGAUUCAAUUGACAUCAUCCGCACAAUUACCCAAGAAUCAAUUGCCCAGAAAUAGGGAGGAUGAAUUAAUCGAAGAAACAAUCAACGAAAAACCUGGCUUCGUCUUGUAUUGGAGCCGCAAUUACAAAGCAAAAGCCAACGGAGAAUUGUCAAAGGCGAAAGGAACGAAUUCAAGAGUCAGAGUCGCAUAAAGCAAAAACUACGGAAAAGAAGAAAGUCUCCAAUGUCUGACCCAAAGCCGCAAAAGAAACAAAAGAAAAGCGUCUAACCCCAAAAUUGCAAAAAGUAAAACUAAAGCUAACAGAAGUGAUCCCCCGAAUCUUCCUUUUUUCCUCUUUUUUAUAGCCGCCGUAAGUAGUAUUCCUCCCAGGAAGAGGCUUUUGCCUAAGGGGCGCUGAUCCCACGCUUCAGGUUCACGUGGACCGGGGUCCGGCUUUUCGGUAACGUCCACCUUGUCUGGCGUGACCACGCCCUGAAAUGAGAAGUCUUCUGGAAAUUUACCUCAAGAUAUCAUUUUUAAUGCUAACCACCUACAAGUCACACAAAUAUCAAAUAUGAGUGAAAUUUCAUUUCUUAGCACCAUGAAUAGCCAAAAUUAGGACAAGAUGACAAUGCAAAAUGUGCCAAAUAACUGCUCUAUCAAUAGGGAGAGUCAGUAUGGUAACUGGCUUCGAGCCAAUUUCCCUAGGAGUCCAAGGAAGAAAGGCAGGAAUGAUAGGGAAGAGGAAACAUCAGGGAAAUAAGGGUAUAGGGAUCAAAGCUCAGAUGGGGAAACUGGGAGCCAACUGUAUCCUCUACUUACCUACACUAAAGAAUUCCAUAGGGGGAACGGGAAGACAGAUAUUCAAUCCAAUGAGAAGGAGAACUGGGGACCAGCAGUUAGGGGGGCCAAAGAGAAGCGUGGAAUGGGAGGCAGAAGGGUGAGGGGAUUAGUAAGUAUGUGGUAGGGGAGCAAGAGAGUAAGCAUGGAGGACAGGUUUUAGAGGAGGUAAAGGAGUUAGUAGAAGUAGAAAAAGGAGGAGACUUGCUGAUGCUCAAGGCAGUGGAUGUGGGGAGUGCAGUGGAGGGAGGGAGUGGCAAGGAUAAGAUGUGGAUUGAUGGUGAGAACAACCACUAUUUGCACAGGGGUAGGAGUAUGAAGGAGGGGGUAAAGGGAGGGAGGGAAGAUCAGCAGGAAGGCCAGGGUAAUAAAACCGGCACGGGGAAGUAUAGGAUCAGUAAGACAUGGAAGAGACUGGUGCAGGAGGUGGGAAAGAGGAAGCCUUUGACUAAGAUUGAAACUGCACAGAAUGGCAUGGAAAUAGGGAAGAGAAGAAAGGGAGCAGGUGGGGGUGAGCUGGAAAGGAACCUGAGGAAGGCUGAGUGUAAGAAGAAAGCCAGGCUGAUUGAAGGGGUUAGAAUGUGGUGAUGCUGUAUAAGGUGGUGGAGCCCUUCCUUAAUGGGGCUCCUACCCCUCAAUGAGAACUCUGGUGUGGAACUAUCGAGGUGUGGGGAGCCCCUUGACAGUUCUCCAACUUAAGGAACUUGUACAAGUCCACUCUCCAUCUCUGAUAUUCUUAUCAGAGACAAAAAAGAAAAAGACCUUCAUAAAUAGUGUUAAGCAAUGGGUAAAGUUUGAUGAUCUGUUUGUAGUAGACCCUGUGGGGAUUGCAGGUGGUUUAGCUGUGAUCUGGAAGAGGGAUAUAUGGGUGAAAAGUAUCUUAUUUACUAGUUUUACUAUAGAGUUACUUAUAGGGGAUCAGGGAGGUAGUCGAGAUUGGUGGUGUGUGUGUGCCUAUGCCAGUUCAGAUGAUAAGAUUAGGGUGUAGCAAUGGAGGGUGUUAGAGAGGAGAACACAGAUUUGGGGUGGUUGUUGGUCUUAAAUGAGAGAUUUGAACGAUAUCACCUAUAAUAGAGAGAAGUGGGGGGGUAGAAUCAGGCCUGCUAGCGGUUUUGAAAGUUUCACUGGUUUCAUUAAUAGGGCUGGCCUGAUAGAUAUUGGCUUUGAGGGAGUGCCUUGGACCUAGUGUAAUAACUGGGACAAUGAAGGAGUGAUUGAGGAAAGGAAUGAUAGAGUGAUGGGUACUAAGCAGUGGUGUGGAAAUUUUGGAAAGGCUAAAGUUACUCAUGCUGAAACAGAAGCUUCUGAUCAUUGUGCCUUGGUACUAGAUCUGGCCCAUGUAGAAAUACCAAGAAAGAGGAGAUUUGCUUUUGAUAAGAGAUGGAUUAUGCAGGAGGGGGUUGGGGAGGUGAUCAAGGAGGCAUGGGGGAAGGAGCAACAGGGGUCAAGGUUGUAUAGAGUGCAGAGUAAAAUUAAACAAGUUCGUAUGAAUCUGCUGCAUUGGAGCAAAAAAUUGAAUUUGAACUCAAAAAAGCAGAUAGAACAGAUUAAAAAGGAAAUUAAAGAUGUGAGGGAAAGCCAGGGCAGAGAGGACAGAACAAAAUUUAUAGGACUGAAGAGGAAAUUGGUAGAGGCUUACAAGAGAGAGGAGGUAUACUGGAGUCAGAAGGCAAGAAUUAAAUGGCUCCAGGAGCGAGACAAAAACACUAGCUUCUUCCAUGCUAGUGUAAUAAGUAGGAGGAAGCAGAAUAGGUUUAAUGGUCUGAAAAGGAGAGGUGGGGAGUGGCGUAGGAAUGAGGAGGAGGUCAGGGAGGAAAUUGUGGACUAUUUUCAGCAAUUGUUCACGUCUGAUGAUCCAACUGAUUUCAGUGUUAUUUUGGAAAAGAUCUCACAGACUAUAACUGCUGACAUGAACAGAAAGUUGACAUGGCCAGUCUCUGAUCAAGAAAUCAGUCAUGCAGUAAAUUCGAUGCAUCCAAACAAGUCUCCUGGACUAGAUGGUAUGUCCUCUAUCUUUUUUCAAAAAUUUUGGCAUGUUUUCAAAUGUGAUGUUAUUAGUGCAGUUCAAAGCUUUUUUCACUCUGGUCAUAUCCUAAAAUCCAUAAAUGAGACCUUGAUAAGCCUUAUCCCUAAAACUGAUUCACCAAUUCUGAUUGCUAAGUUUAGACCUAUCAGCUUGUGUAAUGUAACUUACAAGAUCAUCUCAAAAGUUCUAGUCAACAGAUUUAAAACUGUGCUAGACUGUUGCAUUAGUUCCUCUCAGUUUGCUUUUGUGCCUGGUAGGCAGAUUCUAGACAAUGUCCUAGUGGCACAUGAGAGUAUUCAUUUUCUUAAUAAUAAGAGAACUGGAAAGGAUGGUUAUAUGGCUAUCAAGCUUGAUAUGUCUAAGGCUUAUGAUAGAGUUGAAUGGGUGUUUUUGGCAAAGAUGAUGCAAAAAAUGGGGUUCUGUCCAACUUGGAUUCAGUGGAUUUUAGAGUGUAUAACUAGUGUCACCUACUCUGUGAAUGUUAGUGGGGAAAAAAGGGGGUUUAUCAAGCCUUCUAGAGGCUUAAGGCAGGGGGAUCCCCUAUCCCCCUACUUAUUUCUGAUUUGUGCAGAAGGUUUCUCUGCCUUGCUCAGAAGAGCUAAUAGACAAGGUGGUAUGUCUGGAAUGAAGAUUGCUAAUGAAGCUCCUAGCUUGUCUCAUCUCGUCUUUGCAGAUGAUUCACUAAUUUUCUGCAGAGCCAAGGUUGGGGAGGUUGUGCAGCUUAUGAAGGUGUUGGAAGAAUAUGGAAGAGCAUCUGGCCAGUUGAUCAACAAAGAAAAGUCCUCUAUCUUUUUCAGCAAAAAUGUCAAAGGAAGGAGAAAGGAAGAGGUGCUUAAAGAGCUGGAAGGCAUGAGAGAGGUUCAUCAGAGCAAAUAUCUUGGGUUUCCUAUGGUUAUAGGAAGGUCAAAGAGACAGGUAUUUGAGUUUAUUAGACAGAAAGCAGUUAAAAGACUUGGGGGUUGGAAGGAAAAACUUCUGAGCCAAGCAGGAAAGGAGACUUUAUUGAAGUCUGUCAUUCUAGCUCUCCCUGCAUACGUGAUGUCUUGCUGUAGGCUGCCAAAGGCAUUGUGACAGAAUGUAUGUUUAGAAAUGGCUAAAUUCUGGUGGGGAUAGAGGGAGGAUGAAAAGAAAAUUCACUGGAUAAAAUGGAGUAGAAUGACAGAUAUCAAAGCUGAAGGGGGCCAGGGAUUUAGGGAUUUACAGGACUUUAACUUGGCAUUAUUGGGGAAACAAUUAUGGAGAAUUUUGAUGCAGCCUAAUUUGCUGAUGAGUAGAGUAAUGAAAGCGAGAUACUUUGGUGGGAAAUCCAUAUGGGAUGUACAACCGAAAGGAAUAGCUCAGGGGAACUGGUAGGUUCAUCAGCGAGGCCAACUGAAGGCUGUGCUGAGGCACAGGUGGAGGAAGCUCUGGCAAUAAGAGAAGCUAUGGUACUAGCGAAACGAAUGGGAUGGAGAAAAGUGGAGCUGGAAUCGGACUGUAAGCUAGUAGUGGACAAAAUCAAUGCAAGGGAGGAGGAAGUCAGCAUAGCCGUAAUUCAGUUGGAUAUUUGGAGGCUGAUGAAAGAAUUUGAUAAAUGUUGUUUUUCCUAUACUAGAAGGAGCAACAACUAUGUAAGUCACUAUUUAGCAAAGUUUGCUAUAACACUGAUUGAUGUAGUUGAAUGGAAGCUUAGCUUCCCAGCGUGGCUGCUUGAGUUAACUCGGGCAGAUUUACAGGAGCAGUUGCUCUGACUUUGUACCCGUUUAUGCUUAAUACAAUGUUAUCGUUUGAAAAAAAAAAAGAAGUGGGAAAGAUUUUCUUAGGAUCUGUUUGGAUGAGGGAUUUGAGUGGAUUUGGAUUUGAAAUCCACCCAUCAAUUGGAGGAAUUUCAAAGCUCAAAAUUGUACAGUGGAGAGAAUGACAUAAAAUAUGCAUCCGUAAUUUAUCUCAAGGAGGAAGCAUGUUUAGCCAAAAGACUCAUUGGCUCGGUUUAAAUUGACAAUACUGUAGAAUAAAUAGUCCUAAUGUUCCAAGUUAUAUGAGCAUAUAAUUAAAUUUAGGGUAAAAAUACACUUUAUCCCCUGUGGUUUGGCACUUUUUCGCAUAACCCCUUGAGGUUUGAAAAGUUAUAUAUAACCCUUUUAUAAUUUGGACAAUAGUGUCAAAAUGGCAGAAUUUGUAUUCCAUAAUAAAAUCAACUAAAAUGUUAAAAGUUCUCAUUUAUAAAGUUGAAAACUAUUAAUUACCAACAGGGGGUUAUGCAUAAAUUUUAACAAUCAAAAUGAGAUUAUAUGGUAAAGUACUAAAUCGUAAGGGAGUUAUGUGGUAAAAUACAAAACUAUAAAGGGUUAAAAUGUCAUACAUAUUACGUUUAUAUAUUUUACUUAUUUCAACUAUUUUAGUUUUUAAAUAAGGGUAUUUUUUACAUUUUUUGGAUUCUGUUAUAUAGGAUAUUUUUGUCAAUUUGACACUUCAAUUCAAACUAUAAAGGGACUGUGAAUAACUUUUAAAACUUUAGAAAAAUUAUGUAAAAAAUUAUUAAAUCACUUGGGAGUAAAGUAUAUUUUACCCUUAAAUUUAUUAAAGAUGACAAGACAAAUCAAGUACGAUGUUAUCUAAGAGUACAUCGCACAGUUUGUGCACCACCAACCCUUUCAUCCCAAAUGUCAUUCGGAAUUGUGUUCUUUGUGGUCAUGCAAGUGAAAUUAUUGCCACCUACCCGUAAUCAUCCAAGUGAAGUUGCUACCACCAACUAUCCUUUCAUUCAGCCAUCUUAUCCCAAAAUCUUAUCCGGAACGUGUUUUUUGUGUUCAUGCAAGUGUAAAUGUACUGAGAUAAUCCACAUCGGAGAUCAGAAGAACAAAGAAAUGAAAUAUAAGUUUUGAUCCGUUGAAUUAUUAAGGGUUAAUCACAUUUUAUCCCGUUAAAGAAUACCCCAUUUCUCAGUUUACCCCCUAACAUUUAAUUUUGCUCACUUAACCCCCUUUAGGAUAAAAUUGCCUUUGCAUUAUUUUGACUUUUCAUUUACCUUGUUUUCCUUUCUUUUAUUUCUUUUUCUCUUUCUUCUUUAUUUAAUUCUUCCUCUUUCCCACAAAAAUUUUCACCUUAAUGAUUGAAAUUAAAAAAGAGGAAUUACAAAGAUCUAUCUUCUUCUUAAAUGAUCAAAAAAAAUUCAAACCACUUUUCUAAAAUACAGUUUUUUUAGCCUUUCAAUUCUUUUAAUUUUGGGUUUUCCUCUUUCCUUUCUAGUUUCUCAUUUUAUUCUCAAGAAAAUAUCAUAAGAUGAAAUUGUUUUCCUUUCUUUUAUUUCUUUUUCUCUUUCUUCUCUCUAUCAUCCUUCCCAAUAGAAAAUUCGAUUUCCACAAAAAUUUUUGUUUUGAGUUUGUAAUCGCAUAUUUUUGGGCGAAGGUUUAAAAGACAUCAAAAACUAAUUUUGAUUUUUUGUAUGAUGUCACGUGCCACAAAUUUCAAUUGAUAAUUAUUAAUCAGGUCACAAUUUCAUCUUAAGAUAUUUUCUUGGGAAUAAAAUGAGAAAUUAGAAAGGAAAGAGGAAAACCCAAAAUUAAAAGAAUUGAAAGGCUAAAAAAAAUUGUAUUUUAGGAAAGUGAUUUGAAUUUUUUUUAAUCAUUUAAGGAAAAGAUAGAUCUCUACAAUUCCUCUUUUUUAAUUUCAAUCAUUAAGGUGAAGAUUUUUGUGGGAAAAAGGAAGAAUUAAAUAAAGAAGAAAGAGAAAAAGAAAUAAAAGAAAGGAAAAUAAGGUAAAUGAAAAGUCAAAAUAAUGCAAGGGCAAUUUUGUCCUAAAGGGGGUUAAAUGAACAAAAUUAAAGGUUAGGGGGUAAACUGAGAAAUGGGAUAUUUUUCAAUGGGAUAAAAUGUGAUUAACCCAAUUAUUAAUUAUUUUGAAUACACAGUUUCAGUUCAAAAAAUUAUUCGGCCAAUCUAGUAGACUCGGAGCGUUAUAAAUGGUAUCAAAGCAAUUCUUUUAUGGUCUCUUAUCGGAAUUCUCUAGAAUCCACAUAUGACUGAGUGGUGAGUGGAUAGUUAUGAUCAAAUUUUGCAAGAACGUAAAGUUUCAAAGGGGAGGAUUGAGUGAGAUGUCGCACAUUGGAAAUCGGAAAAAGAACUAAAUGAAUUAUAAGUUUCGCCCCAUCCAAUUACUAAUAAAUUUGGAUUAAUCAUUUUAAAUACAUAGUUUUAAUUCAAAAAGUUAAUGGGUCACACCAAUGGACCCAAGGCGUUAUAUCUUCCGUUUCAUUCAGUACUAUAUAUAUAUACACACACAUGUGUGUGUGUGCAAAAGUUUUUUUCUGAUUGGGUAGCAUUAUUAUAUAAGAAAAAUGUUUUAAAAAUAGUUUGCAACAGCUACCCUUAAUUCAUCUUGUCAAUGAACACUCCACUUGUACUUAGAUACUAAACUAAUAUUUGACAUUGCAAAAAAAAAAAAAAACAAAAUCCCUCAAAACUAGGAUUCUCUCCAUGUAGUAUUAUAUUCUGAAUUAAUUUAGAUGAAGACAUCGUUACUCGCCUAUUUUGAAUUAUUUGCAAUUCUUUUGAGGAUAUAAUAGGAUGUUAUUUUGAUUAACAACAAAAUAAUUGUUUGAUAUAAAAGCUUAAAGUAGCUUUAGAAAUGUAUAUAUCUACACAGAUAAAACUUAAUUGUCAAAUCGACUAUUGAAACUACUUGUGUCAUUCUUUUGAACAAUAAUAGAGAUAAGUUGAAACUUUGUUUAACUAUGUCUUUCAUUUUUGUUACAUUUCAUGUAAAGCGCUAACAUAACAUGGGUUCGAUUUAGAGAACGGCUCGUCCAAAGUUGGCAUUCUUGGAGAACUGGAUUUUGGCAAAUUUGUUUUGUCAAUUUUUCUUAGCAUUGAAACUUGCAAUAUCUGUGAAAACUCCAGCACAAGGCUGUCAAAAAUGGCAGUCUUGAUUGAAUAACUUUGUCUGAAUUCUUAAAAAAAAAAAAAAAAAAAAAUUUUUUGUUUGAUUGUUUUAUUCCCUGAAUUUCUCGAACUAAGAUUAUUUUGAUGUACGCUGGUCUUUACUCCUUAUGGUGGAGUAAUUUCAUCAUCAAACUUCGGAUGUGUAAGAACGUGUAUGAUUAUAUGGUAUAUUGACAUGUUCAUAGAUAAUCUACAACCAUUCUAUGCUUCUUGAGAUUAUUCAGAAUAAUCAGCUUUUUCGAACUUAUGGACAAUUAAUAUUACGGUAGACAUAUUUUGGCAUGUAGUCAAAAAAUAAAUAAAUAAAUUUGGAAGACUUUUUGCCCCUAAAGAGUCAUUUAGCUAUAAAUGAACGUUUGCACCUUUAACCGUUGGUACAUACAACAUACUACUGUCUGAUUCUUUUGCCUUUUACGGGUAAAAGAAGGAAAAGAAAAUAUUAAAGAUGUACUAAAAUUUUUCUAGUUAAGCAAUGAACUGGAUAUUUAUAUUGAAUGCGAUAAUUUACAUGAGAAACACAGACUCUUGUUACCACGGGAUAACAAGUUCAACACAACUAAAUGCAGCAGAGAAGGGGAAAAUGAUGGGAUUUGUAUCUCAGGGAAAAGGGAAAAAAAAAAAAUCCAAAACCAAACACUUGGUAGUAGUUUUUAUGUUACAAGCAACAAAAUGUUCCUUAACUUAGGGAUAAACCUCAAUGAGACACCUCAUGCCCAAGACUGGAUAUACUUUAUAGCUACUAAAUCCAGCAUCUGAAAACAAUUUUGACCAUUCCUUCCCAGUUCUUCCUUUGGCAGGGCCGAGCAUAACCAACAUCUGCAUGUCCAAGCUAAAUUCUGUUUCAAAUGAUGUCUCAUCUUGUAUCUGGCUUCCCAUUACACUGUCUAUAAUGAUCACCUUCCCCCCACUGUCUAUUUCUGUUAAGUUUAACGGAUUCCGUCACCUUUAUAAUUUAGUUCAAAAUAUGAGUGGUCGUGUUGUAUAUUUUAAAAUCAUGAAGGGCUUUUCUAUGUAUUAGGUUUAUCACAGGAAACUUUUUUAUUUUUUUACCCUAAAGAAAAUCAGAAUUCAGUGACAGGAUGUCUUUAGUUACCUUGAGCAAGAUUGCAUUAGCACGGGGUACACUUCGAAACAUAUCUCCAGCUAAAAAUUCCAAGUUCUCAGCUCCUUCUUGAUUGGCAACGACAUGUGCGAGAUCAUAUACAGUACAUUUUAUGCUAGGAAAGUUUUGGGCAACGGCCUUAGCAACUUUGCCAGUACCACCCCCAACAUCAGCAAAAGUUGUCAAGCCUUCAAACACAAACUUGCAUUUGGUCAUCAGCACUUCUACAGACAACUGACUAUCACUAGCCACGGCCUCGUUAAACAUGUUUCCAAAUCGAACUUCUCGCGCGCUGUAAUCCCAGAGAUUAUUCCCAUAUGCAGUAUCAAAUGGAGAGGGACCAUCAUUCUGGAACCACUCGGUCAAGAGAUUCCAGGGCUUCAACAGUGCAGGAUCACAUGAUAGAAAAAUGUGUGCCCGUACAUUGAAUGGCUCGUCUUUCAAAAGAAGCUGACCUGCAGAGGUGAGUGCAUAGCCUUGAGGGUUUUCAACAAAGAAUCCAGAGUUAGCCAUGAAUCGCAUUAAGCGAAAAAUGUGGGCAGAUUUAAAAGGGUGGAUUGGGAGGACAGAAAUCAGGUCAGAAAGUGUGAUGGGCUUCCCAUGAUUACUGAUCACAUCUGGGAUUCCCAACUCAACUGCACACUUUAGACAUGCAGAUUUCUUGAAGUGGAACAUUGCAUUCCACACAUGAGUUUGAGCUUCAAUAAGCUCAACUAAAUUCUCAGCUUUUUCCAUCUUUUGUUCAAAUUCAAUGGCAUUAAUUCAGUAGCCUAAUUAAACAAUAAAUGGUUAAGCAGGACUGCAUUUAUAUGGUAGUAAAUUAUGGGUAGCAGUGCAUAUCUGGUACUAAAUUAUGGCAGUAGAUCCCUCUUGUGCCUGCUAUGAGGCUAUAUUUGAUUGGUUUCCACGAUUUCAAAGUAUCUAAAUAGGUUUGGCAGAUCUAGAGGUGUCAAACUUCACCAAACCAAAUAAAUACGCCCAAGCAAUUCGAUUAAAAUAUCUAAUUUCUGACGCAAUUGCAAUUAUGAGUUAGUAACUGAGAAAAUUCAAAACGAAUGAACCACGAGCAAGACUGAGAGUAAAUUGAAGCUGCCACCAUUGAUGGUGACAUAAAAGUUGAAACAAAUGGUUAUGGGGGUUUGACUAGCUUUUCGAGGAUCGACCGGGUAGCAAUUGUUUUGCCGUAUUCUUGAUGGCAGACCUCUUCCAUGUUACAAGCAUUUACAGAAAAGGUAAUCCAAAAAAAUGUUAUCAUCUUCCUUGUUCACUACAAUGGUGGUCUGGAAAUUUUUUAUUGGAAAAUCUCAAAUAAGAGUCGGGAUGCUUUUUAAUUUUGAAUGGGCUCACAAAAGGUCGAUUCUCUAAUUUUGACUCGUCAAGGAAAUUUUGUUUAAUGUGGCCUCUCACAUAAAAUAGUAGAAGGCUAAAGCCUAUAAGCUGUAUGCAAAAGAUGAUAUUGUAUUACUCAAGUAAUUUUUGUUGUGAUCACUAGAUUAUGUAGGGAUAACGUUAAAAACAACUUCUAGAAUUCUAAACAAAAAGAAAAAAUCUAGAAUUCUAACAGGUGGUUUGAAAGAUUCAACUUUAUACGGCUGGACUAAGACAAUCUAGUAGUUAGAACGCAAAAUGAGAUAGGAUUUGCCUAAUGAAGUGCUGAGAUACUGAUUUGUGGCAGAUAGCUUUGGGAUGGGGAUUGUAUUUUGAAUGUUUUCCAAGUUGAUUUUAUUUGUGUCUCUUGUGUAUAGUACAGGUUUUCUUAUGUGUACUUGAGGGCUUUUUCUCUUGAAAAAAUGUUGUUGCAAAUAUUAGCAUAAGUUUUACCGUUUGGGGUAAAAAUAAAUUAUUGAUUAAUUUGGGCCCAAAUGCAUUAAAUUUGAAAUUUUCAAGUUGGGCAAAUAGGCAUGCAGAUUUUGCAACCUGCGACAUGGAGACACUAACAAGUGGUUUUAGGCAAAGUUAUUAAAACCAACAUGGGCAUCAACCCGACAGGAGGAUCGGGUUGGCGGGUUAAUGGUUCAACUGGCGGAUCACUGGUUGAACUGUCGAAUCACACUAUAUAAUAAAAAAAAAUAUAUAAUAUAAUUAAAUAAACAUAUAAAUUAUAAUAUAAGUAUAGAAAUUCUUAAAUGUUAAGAAAUCAUAACCUAUUUAUAUUUCAUAUUUUAUACACACAAGCCAUACCCAUACGUGUUUUUUAAUUCGUGAAUUUAUAUUGAUAUUAUACACAAAUAUAAAUAAUAAAUCUAAAUAUCAAAGAAAGAAAAAAAAACCUAAUUCUCAAAUUUCUUUUCAAUUUUUCUCAUCUAAUUGUCAAAAAGACGAUAAUGCCAAUGUUGGUAUGGCUGGUCAAGUAAAAAAAAUUGAGUAAAAAGGUAAUUUCAGAAAAAUUUUCAAAACCAGCCAGGUUUAACCGGCCAUAGGUUCAACCGUUCGAGUCAAAUGAUUCAAAGCGAGUUAUUUGCAACUCCGAUCCAAUUGCCAAAUCGCUUGGUUCCAUGGCCUAUCUACUGAUUUGACCGAUUCAAUAUUGGGCAGGGCCGAAUUUAAUAACUUUGGCAAAAAAGUGUGGCAUGGAUCUUCAGAAAUUAAUUCAUUUACAGAAAGAGCUCUCUUUUUCUUUGUUUCUGUUUUAUUUUUUUCAAAGCUUCACUAGUCAAUAGUUAGUGACGCCCUAUUUUUUUCAUCUUCGGUUUCCAUGUACAUUACGCAAAGUGGAACUGAGUAUAGCCGACAUGUAAGCACAUAUGACGGUUAGCAACAAGGAAUAAAGAUUACGAACAAGCCAUGAGUUUCAAUCCUGGUCAUGUAUAUCUAUGAAAUAAAAACUGAAUUUAGAAAUCUUCAACUUUGGCCUGUGAAUUUAGAAAUAUAGUGAGAAUAAUCCAACUAGAAACGAUUGCCCAUCUCUUUUUAAAGUAAAAAUUUACCUCGAAUAUAUGUUAAGAGUUUGACAUGAGCUCCUACAAGUGAUGUUUUCAUAUUGGAUGAAGGGAAGCUGCAAAUCUGGCUAGGUGAUACUAGUGCGAUUGAUGUUUGCUUGAGCUCUAAAAGCUUUCUUUUGAAGAAAAUUAAGAAGUUGUUUGAAUUGCAUUUUGAGGAAGAGAUUUUGGGAAAGAAAUUGCUGUUAUACUUUUUGGAUGUAAUUUUCAUGAAAUAAAAUGCAAUUUUGAACAUCAAUGGUGGCAAUUUUGAAAUUACUGUUAUACUUUUUAUCACUGUCCUACAUUUUCAAUCGGUAGAAUCUUGAACAUCAACCUAUUUGGUUGCACCUACAACUUUGGGUAUUUGUCCAGCUACUCUAUUGAUUUUUCCCCCUUCCAAUUUCUGAAUUAAUCGGGUUGUGUAAAUAGUUUUGUUUAUGUGCUAUUUCUUUGCUUGUUUGAAAAAAAAAAGUGAAAGGAAAAAGUAACAAAAAGGUCAGACGUGCUGUAAUUUCAUUAUUGAGUUGUGUAAAAGCUUUUUCUUUUUGACAGUUGAGCAUACAUAUAGAAUUUAUGAUACAUUAGUUUAUGUCAUAUACACACAAAUAAUACCUAGGGUUUUUUCUCUCCUUGCCGCUGCCUUCUUCGUCUAGGGUUAGUGGUGCUUCAUGGCUGGCCGUCAGCCAUUGGCUGAGGGGCUAGGCGGCUCUCCUUCACGGAGAUCCUUCUCUCAGUUGUUCUCUCAACCUUCAUCCUCACCCAUACAACUCCGGCCAGUGACUUCCUACAAGGGCGAGGCUGCUGUAAUUUUCUCCAGGGAAGAUGCAGACAGAUUGGCAUCUCCUUUUCGCUGGGCGUUGGUGGGAAAGUUUUCGCAUGGUAGGCCAUCUUUGGAAGAUAUUCGGAAGUUCUUAGCAACAUUGAAUCUGAGGGACCAUGUCUCAGUUAGAUUGCUGGAUUAUCGCCAUGUUCUUAUCAAAUGCUCGGCAGAAGUGGAUUUCAAUAGAUUAUGGACACGAGGGAUUUGGCAAUUGGGUAGGUUUCCCAUGAGAGUGUUUCGAUGGACAAGGGAUUUUCACGUUCAGAAAGAAUCCUCUCUCGCUCCAGUUUGGGUAACAUUACCAGCCUUACCAGUACACUUCUUUGAUAAACAUUCUCUGUUCUCCAUCCUUUCUCCAGUAGGGAAGCCGUUAUUCUUGGAUGCGGCAACGGCAGCGGGUACACGGCCUAGUGUGGCCAGGGUAUGUGUGGAAGUGGAUUUGGUGAAGCCCAUAUGCUCCAGAGUUUGGGUUGCAGUGGAGGGUGAGACAGGUUUCUGGCAGUAGAUUGUCAUAGAAGAUCUCCCCUCGUAUUGUUCAAAGUGUUGACGGUUGGGUCAUGCGGGUGGUGACUGUAAGAGGGAGGGAUUUGCGAGUCGUCAAGUCCCCAAGCGCCUUGCGGUGGCUUCGCAAGUGCCCCAGGCAGCGGCAGACAACAAGCAAACGGAGGAGGUCUCGGUUAAGGAGACCCAGGGAGAUUCAAAGAUACGGGAGGAGGACCCGUUACUCGUGAUAAUGCCAACGCUGGCGGGGGAGAGCUCCAUGAAGGGGCUGUGCCUGAGUGAGGGGGGAGAGGCUGCGGCUUCACAGGAUGGACAGGGACCUGGGCAGCACGAAGUUGAGGGGAGUAUGGUAAGCGUAGAGGGCAGGCCCGAGGAGCAGGAGUGUAGGGACUCGGGGAAGGGGGAUGCAGAUGGGAGUUCGGUUGAUAAGGAACCAGGACAAGGCAGCGAGGAGCAGCGGCACACUGGCGACGGGCAGGCGACACUUGCGAAGGACACCAGCCUGGGUGACAUGCAGUAUCUGUGCUUGGACAGGGACGAGAGGGCUGAGGAGGGGGAGAUUGCAGAGGUGUACAUUGAGUUACCUAUUGCGGCUGGGAGUUUGUCCCCAAGAAUGGUUGUGCGACAGGACAACGUCAUGGAGUCAUCGGUCCAGGCAUUAAACAUCGACCAGGUCACUAAUGGGGUGCAAGGUAUCAAACAAGGGCGAGGGAAAGGUGGCCGUGUGCGUAUCCCCUCUGAUCGCCAGUUGAGGUCUGCAACACCAACCUAUAACUCCUUCCAGGUUUUGCCUCAUGAUUAACGCAAUUUUCUGGAAUAUUCGCGGGGUCUCUAAAGCCCCCAAUCUUAGGAGAUUGAUAAAAUUAAUAAGGUUGUAUGCGGUCAAGUUUGCUGUUAUUUGUGAGCCCAAAUCUGAUGUGUCUAAGGUUGACUUCAUUCGUAUGCGUCUGGCAUUCGAUUCAGCUAUUACAAAUUUGUCGAAUGACAUCUGGAUUUUUUAUUGCAAUCCCUUCAGUUGUACGGUUAUAGGUAAUUCUACACAGCAUAUUUCCUUAUCUAUUCAGCAUCCACAAUUGCCCAAUUCUAUCAUUUUUUCUUUUGUGCAUGCCAAGUGCUCUUUGGAGAAGCGAAGAGAACUUUGGCAGAACCUACUUGAUGAUAAACCUAGUUCCCUUCCGUGGUGUAUUGGGGGGAUCUUAAUGUUGUUAUGGCUCCCCAUGAAAAGCGGAGGGGUCGGCCGGUUGGGGUCCAUGAGGGGUUGGAGCUCAUGUCUUUUAUGGAGGUAGCUGGCGUCUUUGACGUGGGCUAUUCGGGUGCUAACUUUAAUUGGUGCAACAAUCGGAGAGGUAGAGCUAAAAUUUGGAAGCGAUUGGACAGAGUGUUAAUAAAUGGGGAAUGUGCGGAGGUCUCUUCCACCAUCUCCGUAGAGCAUUUAGCGUGACACCCAUCCGAUCAUGCUCCUCUACGGAUUUCGUUUGCUACUCGACUAGACAACAAACCGAGGCCGUUUCGAUUCUUGAACGUUUGGACUUCUCAGGCUACCCUGAUAGAGGUCAUUAGAGCUGCUUGGGAUAGAUCGGUGAUUGGGGCUCUGCUACGGGUCUUGUGUUUGAAACUGUUGGCAACAAGGAAAGCUAUCCAGGAGUGGAACAAGCAAUCCUUUGCUAACGUUUUCGACAUGGUUAGGGUGGCAGAGGAGACGGUUCGACGGGCUGAGGUGGAGGUGGAGGGCAAUGAGGUUGAGCAGGCACAUGAUGGCCUUGAAAGGGCUCAGGCGGACCUAAGUCGGGCCCUGGCUCUUGAGGAGCAAUUUUGGAGGCAAAAGGCCCGAGUCCGGUGGCUUCAAAGUGGAGAUCGGAAUUCCAAGUUUUUCCAUGUGGUGGUGAAGCAACGAAGGGUGCAGAGCGCUAUCCAUCGGAUCAAGAACUCACAGGGUUCCUGGGUGGAAAAGGAUGACGAAAUAGCAUCUGAGGCGAUCACGUUCUUCUUGGACCUGUUUUCUGAGCCUAUUGCCCCUGUACAGGAGCUGUUGCACUUAAUUCCCCCAUUAAUCACGGAGGAGGAUAAUAAGCUCUUGGAGCAGGUCCCGACCAUGGAGGAGGUUCGACGAGUGGUUUUUACAAUGGACGGGGAAAGUGCUGCAGGACCGGAUGGAUUCACGGGUAAGUUCUUUACAUUUUCCUGGGAUGUCAUUGCCCAAGAUGUCUAUAAUGCGGUGCUAAGCUUUUUCUGUGGGGCUGAAUUACCUAAAUUCAUUACUUCCACCUCUAUUGUGCUCAUCCCUAAGGUGUCAAAUCCUCAAGACUUUUCAAUGUUUAGACCGAUCAGUCUCUGCAAUUUUUUUAACAAACUGUUGUCUAGACUUUUGGCCGACAGGCUAUCCUCUAUUUUGCCGAAGAUAAUCUCCCCCCAGCAGACGGGUUUUGUUAAGGGGCAGAAUAUAACGGAAAAUUAUUUGUUGGCCCAAGAAUUGAUGUCGGGUAUUGGCAAGUCCGCUAGAGGGGGAAAUGUUGCCCUUAAGUUGGACAUGUCUAAGGCAUAUGAUAGGGUGUCCUGGUUUCACAUUGUUAAUGUGUUGCGGAGAUUUGGGUUUGGAGAGCAGUUCAUAGACAGGGUUUGGCGUCUACUCUCUAAUGUGUAGUUCUCAGUCAUUGUCAAUGGUGCAUUGCAUGGAUUUUUUAAGUCGGCUAGGGGGUUGCGUCAGGGUGACCCUUUGUCACCGGCGCUAUUUGUUAUAGGUGCUGAGGUGCUGUCGAGAGGUCUUAAUGACAUGGCUCUCCAGCCAGGGUUUGUCGGCUUUAAAGUUCCCCAUGGGUGUCCUACUAUCUCCCACUUGGCUUUUACGGAUGAUGUUCUUAUAUUUGCAAAUGGUUCGUCCAAUUCUUUGCGGCGCAUCAUGCGGGUUUUGGAGUUGUACCAGCAUUCCUCGGGGCAGUUGGUGAAUGCUCAAAAAAGCGGAUAUAUGACUCACCCAUCACUGCCUCCGUCUCGACGAAGGUUGAUUGAGCGGGUCACGAAGUUUACUAGGCAGGCUCUUCCAUUUCGCUACUUGGGAUUCCCGCUGUAUUUGGGCAGGUGUCGGUCGUCGUAUUUUGGGGGAGUGAGCCGAGCUAUUUUGGGAAGGGUGAUGUCAUGGAAAUCAAGGCUUCUAUCUCCAGGUGGGAAGUUAAUCCUUAUUAAACAUGUUCUUGCAGCUAUACCUGUCCAUUUGCUCUCGGCAGCAGUGUUGCCGAGCUCGGUAUUCGCAAUGAUUGAAAAGGUUUGUGCAAACUUCUUGUGGGGAUCACUGGAUGAGAAAGCGAAGUUCCAUUUGAUACGAUGGCCUCAUUUAUGCUACCCGGUGGAGGAGGGAGGCGCAGGAUUUCGUAGGCUUCGGGAUGUCUACCGAGCUUUUUCGUGCAAACUAUGGUGGCUGUUUCGGACGGGAUCUUCGCUUUGGGCAACCUUUUUGCACGCUAAAUAUUGUAGAGGGGCUCAUCCGUGCGAAGUCCCAUUGAGGUUGUCCGCUAUGGCUACUUGGAGACGAAUGUGGAAUGUUAGUCGACAGGUGGAGUUGUCAAUGCUAUGGCAGGUUAACGAGGGUUCGUGUAACUUCUGGUAUGACAAUUGGUUAGGCAGUGGUGCUUUAGUGCUGCGGUCUACCGUCGCCCCGGAUCUCACUUUUGGGGACUUCAUCAGCAAUGGGGAAUGAGAUGUACAGUUGCUUUCUCGAGCUGUACCACAAGACAUUAUCCCGGCCAUCUUACAACAGCCGGUACCUGGUGGGGGUUGUGCGGAUGAGGCGGUAUGGAUGGCGUCGACAUCUGGUAAAUUCACCCUGGCCUCGGCUUUUGGAGAAGUUCGUCAGGCCCGCAACAUCUCGGCUGUUCUAUCUCGUGUCUGGCAUCAUCGAAUUCCAUUGAAGAUUUCCUUUUUCAUGCUACGAUUAUUGAUGGGCCGGUUGCCUCUGGCAGAGACGCUAUGUAAGCUUGGCUUUCAUAUGCCUUCAAAGUGCCUUUGUUGUCAAAGUCCAUCCUGUGAAUCCAUUGAGCAUCUGUUCUCUAUGGGGCAGGUGGCCCUGGAAGUAUGGAGUUACUUUGGGAGUAUGUGUGGGGUAAUCUGUACAAGGUCCUUAUUGCGUGCUCGAAUGGGUGCGUGGUGGUUCGUUGAGCAGAAAUUGGAAAGGAGGCGAUUCAUUUUUACUAUCCUUCCUAGCCUUAUUUGCUGGCAUAUUUGGAAGGCUAGGAAUAAAGGCGUCUUUGAAGGCAAACCAAUGCGUCCAGCAGUUGUUAUUCAGGCCAUAUUCAGAGAAGCUAAGAUGCUUUUGGAGAUUCAGUUUAAGGGCCAAGUUGGGGCACACACGUUUCAGCAGUUAUAUGAUUGGUCGGGUGUCCCAGUGGGUGGCUUUGGUUUUCAGUUGGUGCGUUGGAUAGGGCCAGAAUUAUGGGUGUUAACGCUCAAUACAGAUGGGUGCUCAAAGGGGAACCCUGGUACGGGUGGUAGCGGUGGUGUCCUGCGCGACUCUUCCGGAAGGUUGCUAUUGGCAUUCUCGGCCUAUCUUGGGGAAACUACCAGUCUACAUGCGGAAACUUCAGCCCUUCUGAUUGGGCUUCGCGAGUGUGCUCAGAGGGGAUUCGGCAAUGUAGGAGUCCAGUUAGAUUCCUUGGUCCUGGUGGGGAUUCUGCAGAAGACGUUCCAGUGUCCUUGGCACAUCCGGAGGGCAGUUUGGCAGAUAUGGCAAUUGCUUGGUGACUCCCCUCGGGUAGCUCAUUGCUACAGGGAGGCGAACAAAGUUGCGGAUAUUUUGUCUAAUGUGGGAGUUUCACACCCUGGACAUCAGGUUAGGGUUUAUGAACACGUAGGACUGAUACCUCAGUUGGUUCGGGGCGCCCUUCGUUUAGAUAGGUUAGGCUUGCCGUCAGUUAGGAAGGUCCGGAUGGCGUAGCUUCUGUGUUGGGAUAAGGCAGUGAGCAUGGUUGUAACUUUCAGUUCGAAUUCAUAAUAAAUGAUGAAUUUAAUAAAAAAAAUAGAAUUUAUGAUACCUUACUCUUGAAAUUCUUGCCUCCUCGUGUGAAGGUGAAAAGAAAUUACUGCAUAGUUAUAUUUUCAUAAGUUGUAUAAAAGAAUCAAAAAAGAAAAAAGAAUAAGGUUUUGAUGAGGAAAAUUCAAAAAUUGAAACAGCACGAUUAGAGUUGAAAGAUGAACUAAUUUAUAUGAUAUUUGAAUUGAGUUUAAGAGUUCAUUCGAAUUUGAUUCGAUAACUAGUCAAACCAAACUCGAAUAACAUUUUAUAUUCGAUAGCAUUCAAAUUCGAUAAAAACUCGUUCAAGUUCGAUUGGACAAAUAAACAAAUCAAACUUAAAUAAAAUUUUAAAAUCAUUAAAAUAAUCAAACAAAUUUAAAUACUAGAAUGUUCGUCUUGAUUAAGUUCAAUGACAUCCCUACGCACAAUGGCUAAAUGUUGGGUCUCCUUUUUGGCUAAGUUAUCUGCCCUGUAGUCUGUCUCUUGGGGUUAACGAAUGAUUCCUCAAAUUCUUUCCCUGGGACGGGCCAUGAAAAGAAAUAAAUACUCAAGAAAUAAAAUCAUUCCUCAUCAUUCCAAUCGUGCAAUAUCCACUGUUUAAAUUAACAUUCAUAUCACAAAGAAUUCAAAUUAGUCAAGAAUACCACAUCAAAAAGACAUGGUUGUAAUGAAUCAGCAGCAUAUAUAGAUGUGUUUAGAAUCAAUACUAAGCUGCCUUUUAACAACAAAAAGGUGAAUAGGGAUCUGUUGCAUCUUCUUGGAAAGGUGAUCUUACCUUCAUUGUAACAUCAUCUGCAGGAGGAAUAGCUACAAACAUACUUCCUCCAACAAAGGCUAAACUCUUGUUAUUCGCUACCAAGCCGUCAACCACAUGAGGAAGAUCGAGAACAAUACAGUUCAAGUCAGGAAAAGCAUCAGCAAUUUCCGUAGCCAAAGUUCCAGUUCCACCUCCAACAUCCACCAAAGAAUUCAACAUUGAAAGAACAUCCUUGCAAUCCCUGAUCAGAAUACUGCCAACUAGCCUAGAAUCGCUAGCCAUUCCUUCAUUAAAAAAAUUAUUAAGCCUCAGAUCCUGGCCUGCAAGCUCCCACACUACCUUGUCAUGACAAGUCUUGAAGGGAUUCACAUCACUGUUGUUUUGCAACCACCGGCUAAGGUGGUACCAUGGAUCCAUCAAGGUAGGAUCAAGCAUGGUGUCACGCUAAAAGGCUCAUCUUUUAAUAAAAGUUUAGAAGAAGUAGUGAGCAUAUAACCUUCCUCUUCAUCGUGCUGGGUAACUUUUGCCUCGAUGAAGAAGCCUGAGUGGAUUAGAAUCCUCAUCAGAUGAUAGACAAAGGGGGCUUUUGCAUUGCCAAUUGGAAAAGCAUUGGUGAGUUCAUCCAGACUCAUUGGCUUAACAUGCUUGUGAUUAAUGUCUGGUAUGCCGAGUUGAAUUGCACAUUUGAGGGAAAUGGAGUUUAUGAAGUUGAAUAUGUGAUUCCAUAUGUGAGCUUGAGCUUGAAGUAGCUUAUUAGCAUCACCAUUUCUACCCAAGUCCAUCUUUCGCUGUUGAUUUUGUUUUCCUCUUUGGGUAUAACAGGUAGGCAUCCAAUCUUAUAGUUAAAGAGCAUAUAAGGCCCAUACCAAUGGAUAGGCAUGAUGAUUAGUAACUGGUGCCAUGAGUGGCUAUAACAAUUCAAUUUAGUUCUUCUGCGCACUCUUUUUGUUGAUUAAUAUAUUUGCAAGAUCCAGAAAGGUGUAUUUGUACUUGGGACUUCCCCUGGUGAUAACAGCAUCAAAAAAGCAAGUUUUCGCCUACAUUGUUGAUAAAGCAAAAUAAAAAAUGCAGGGAUGGAAGCACAACUUACUCAGCUAUGCAGGAAAAGAGGUACUUCUUAAGUCAGUCAUAAUGGCAUUACCAAAUUACACAAUGUCAUGCUGUAGGUUGCCUAAAGGACUUUGUUAUGAAAUAUGUGGUCAAAUGGCAAAAUUUUGGAGAGGCCAAAAUGAAGAGGAUAGGAAGAUGCAAUGGGUAAGUUGGGAGAAAAUUACACAGGUGAAGGAAAAUGGAGGUCUGGGUUUUAGGGAUCUAGAGCACUUUAAUAGUGCUUUGUUAGCAAAGCAACUAUGGAGGAUAUUGAUGCAACCAGACCUAUUAGUGAGCAGAGUGCUAGGAGCAAAGUACAAAAUAGCGUAAACAGGCUGGGAUGGAGAAGCUCCAAAGAACGCAACAUGGGUGUGGAAAAGUAUAUACAGCUCUGGACUGGUGCUAAAAAAAGGAAUGUGGAAGAGAGUGGGAGAUGGGACUACUAUCAACAUAUGGAGGGACAAAUGGAUCAUGGCACCACCAACCGGGAGAAUAGCAACUCAGAAACCUCCAGCUUGUAACUUGCAAACUGUGGCAGACUUGUUGAUAGAGAAGGAAUGGAAUACAAAGCUGAUUGAGGAGACGUUCUUAAAGCAGGAAGCUUCACAAAUAUUACAGGUGCCAUUAAGUUUGUUUCCCAGAAAGGAUGCGGUUUAUUGGAAAUACUCAAAAUCAGGAAAUUACACUGUGAAAUCGGGAUAUGCAGUAGAAAAGGAAGAGGUCAACCAAAGACACAAGAAAAAUCAUGGAGAGGAAGGAACCAGCUACGCACAGCAUAAAGGAAAAGUGUGGAAGAGCUUGUGGGGAUUAAGGAUGAAGCCAAAGAUAAAACAUUUCAUAUGGAGAUGCCUACACAACAGCAUUCCUGUAAAUGAGUUGAUACACAAAAGAACAGGAAAAGGCUCUCCAUUAUGCAAAUGUUGUGGGGAGGGGGAGGAGACAGUGGAACAUAUGAUUUUCUUUUGCAAUAAUGCUGACCCUAUAUGGAAGCUGGCCCCAAUACAGUGGGACAGAUUAUUGCAAUGGAGAUCAAAUUUCUGGAGAUGGUGGGAAGGUAUAUUAGAGGCAAGGAGCAGACAAAGAGGAGAAGACCACAUCACUUUAACAGCAAACAUCAUCUGGCAAAUUUGGAAGGCAAGAAAUGCUCGACAGUUUGAAGGGAAAUGUGGAGAGCACAUGGCCAUACUAGAAACGGCAAAAAAUGAAUGGCUGGAGUUCCAAGAGGAGCAGGUGGAAAAUGAAAAAAAGCAUAGGACAGGAACGAGUCACCAAAUGCAAAACUAUCUAUGGAGCCCACCAGACGCAGGGGUAAUAAAGAUAAACACUGAUGCCACGAUUCCUACUAAAUCAGCAGGAGCUGGGUUAGGAAUGAUAGCGAGAGAUAGUGAUGGAAACAUUGUCCAAGCAAGAGGCAUCAGGAAGUAUAGUAGGGGUGGUGCGGAAAUGGAAGAGGCAGAUGCACUCAGACAAGGCCUGCUAAUGGCUAGAGAAGCUGGAUGGCGAAGAAUUGAAAUGCAAACUAAUUGCAAAGCUGCCAUUGAAACAAUAUGCAAGACAGGCUUGGGUGAAACACCAAUUGGCACGAUCAUAGAAGAUAUUAGACAUUUGAGUGACAUGUUCCAAGACUGUACUUUUUCUUUUGUGUAUCGAGAUGGAAAUAGAAGUGCUCAUAAAAUGGCACAAUUUGCAACUAAACUUGUUUCCAAGGUAAUAUGGAAACAAAGUUCCCCCCUGUGGCUCAAAGAGAGUAUACAGGAGGAUAAUAGGACCAAUGCCCUUUUAUGUAACUAAAAUCUUUUAUUAUCAAGUUCAUAUAUGUAUAAGAAGAAUACCGUUUGAGAAAAAAAAAAAAAAAGAAGAAAGGUGUAUUUGUGGAGAAUGGGCUGGGACGGUUGUCAGGUGCCACCGUCCCAAAUGAUGUAUGGGAAAGGUUUUCUCAACAAGGCAAAUUUUGAUAACGUGCAGCCAAAAGCAAGUCACAUAACUUUGAAAUUACAAACAUAUAUGGAUCUACACGAAUAUUAAUUAGAUACAAUGUCAUUGUUCGAAAUUGAAUAAGUAAUUUACAUUUUGUUUAGAAAGUGUUGUACAACUUAGGCAAGUUAAGAACUGAAAAUCUUUUUCAGUUUUUUGCCCCUCAUGUUUAUCCGUUCUUUCUUCAACUUACAUUCAGCUGUAAUGGCUGAAUUUAAAGCGGAAGCGAUGCAUCUACUUCAACUUCAACAAUGUUGGAAACAGUUAUUGUCCUUAGCUACCUCAACUCCACACCAUUUAUACAUAAUGUGCUUGCGGUGUAUUCCAGGCUGGGAUUUGGACACAUUCCAGUGUUGGAUUGUGGUGGGGUUUAAUACCAAAUCAAUGGAUUUUAAUUGGUGAAUUUUAAUCUUAUGAACUCAGGCAAUAAGGAUAAAAAUCUAAAUAACACUACUAUAAAAAAAAUUGUCAACUAGAAAACGUGCAACAUCGAUUUCAUACCUUCAUUAAAACAGCAUCUGCAGGAGGAAUGGCUUCAAACAUGUUACCUCCAACAUAGGCCAAGUUCUUACUACUCUCCAAGCCAUCAACAACAUGAGGAAGAUCAAGCACAGUGCAUUUCAGGCGAGGGAAAGCAUCAGCAAUUGCCUUAGCAAAGGUUCCAGUUCCACCUCCAACAUCCACCAAUGAAUUCAAACUCUCAAAAACAUGCUUACAAUCUUUGGUCACCACACUACUAACCAUCCGGGUAUCACUAGCCAUUGCUUCGUUAAAGAAUUGAUUAAGCCACGGCGCAUGACUUGCAAAAGCAUAAAUUGACCUCCCAUGGCAAGUAUAAAAUGGGGUUUCGUCACUAUUCUGAAACCACUGGCUGAGAUGGUGCCAUGGAUCAGUCAAGGUGGGAUCGAGCAUGGCUAGUAAAAACGGCGUCAUGCUAAAAGGGUUACUCUUUAAAAGGAGUUCAGAAGCAGAAGUGAGCAGAUAACCCUUUUGAUUAUCAUUCUCAUUUCCAGGAAUCUUUGCUUCAAUGAAGAAGCCUGAGUGGAUCAAAAUCUGCAUGAGACGAUAAACGAAAGGGGCUUUUGCAUUCUUGAUGGGAAGAGCAUCGAUCAAUUGAUCAAGAGUCAUCGGCUGGCCAUGUUUGUGAAUAGCGUCUGGAAUGCCUAAUUGAAUUGCACAUUUGACGGACAUAGAAUUUAUGAAGUUGAAUAUAUGGUUCCAUAUGUGAGCUUGUGCUUGAAAAAGCUCACCAGUAUGAUCACCAAUAUUUCUAGCCGAAUCCAUUUUUUUGUUUGAAAUUCUAGGAUUUUUUUUUUCGCUUUUUGGUUGGGAAUUACAAGUAGAACUCGCAUUUUAUAGGCCGGGUAUGGGAUUCACAGGAAUAACGUUGCAAUAGUUUCUUCUAAUAGUCUGACAAGAACCUGUUAGCAAAAAAAACAAUGAAAUCAACUCAGAAACAAGGAUCCAAAGGCAGCUAACAUCAGUUUCCUUUUCUUGACCAAUUCAUAUAUGAGUAUAUGGGUUAGUCUAGUCUCCUUCUUGGUGUAACUACACAUAAUUCAGUGUUUCUGGAGACGUGCUUAAAUUAAAGUGUAUAAUCAGCACUUAUUAAUUAAUUGUUCUUUGUGUCGACUCGUAUUAUCACUUGAGAAAAUCGCAUAAUGCACGCUGCUGGUGGUGCUUCUUGUUUGGAAGACGAAGAAAAAGAAAUUUAAAUUGUCACAACUUUUGAGCCGUGGUUGAGUAAAAUUUUACGUUGGUGCAUCAUUCUUGAGCAAAUUCUCUUUUCACAACGAUCUGGUGUAUUGCAAUGCUUAAGAAACAUUAUUCUUGUCCUAAAUAUAGUGAUCGAUUUCUUAAUUGGAACGUUAAGCCUUGUUUUCUUCCUACUAUGAGAGAUUUACAACUCUAAUGGAUUCGAAAAUUAGUACUAGCCAUUAUUGUUAAUCAAUAUCAAAUACUAGAAUUUGAUGAAAUGUGGAACCAAUGUUAUUUUGGGCUAUUCUUUUAUUCAUAAUGUAUAUAUGCCUAAUUUGCAGCUCUUAGAUUUAGAGUCUUCGACCAAUAAAAUAUGGGGUAAUUGAACAUGGCAUGAUGCUAAAGUAAAUGAAGUGGUCUUUAAUUUAGGGUCUUAUCUAAAAAGUGUCCAUUAGGCAUUCAUUGCUAAGAUGAAGUUCACAUGUAAAUAUCUUAGAAAUGUAAAGUUAAAUAAAGAAAAUUUAUAGAAUGUAAAGCAAUGAUCAAUUUAGCAAGGCUGAUUGGCUGGCCAUACCAAUUUCUGCUUAUGAAGUUAAACUGCACAUGUGAGCAAUAGAGAGUUUAUGAAGUUGAAUAUUUGUUGGCUUGAGCUUUGAUUAGUUUAGCAGUUUUUUUUUUUUUACUCUUAAAUGAUUUCAAUUGCAAGCCAAAUAGAAAUUGGACAAACAAUGUCCUAUCAAAAUGAGCAUAUUGAGAAAAACAUAUAUGUAAAAAAAUGAAUUAAAAAAUACAAUGAGAUCAAUUAAAAAACACAUUAAAUUUGACAAAGUUCAAUUAACCUGUGUCACAGCAUCUCCAGAAACUGACUGUUUACUAUUAAUUCAACAUAAACAAAACUUAAUGCAAUGACGAAGUAAUAACCAGUUCCUCUCAAUUAGUCAUAAUUCAUCAAAUUAUGCGAGUAAAUCAACAUGGGUUAUCUGCAGAAAUGAAAAACAGAUAAAAAUCAUACUGUAAAACUCCAAAUAAAUAUUUUUUUAAAAAUUGUAAAGCUCCACUUGUUACUUAGCUUAAACUAGCACUUCAUGAUAUUAUCCCAUUCUUUGCGUUUGCAGAAAUGUUAGAGAUGGUGUUGCACAUCUCAUUAUGCAUUAGGUUAGAAAGGUCAUGAUAGACUUGUCCUUGCACCUUAAAGAUUGGAAUUAGCUAGCCAGUUUCAUGAAUAACCAUACAUACGUGCACGAAAAAAUCUGGUCAAAGCAAAACUGAUUGAAACCAUACAUAGGUUUGGCCAUCCAUGCAGUACAUAGGGUAGGAUUUCUAAUUGCCAAAAGUAUGCAAGUCAUGAAUAGUAAUAGAACAUCAAUCAGCAGCCAUUAUGAUUUUAAAAAAUAUAUAUAUUUUGGUGGGUUUUCUAGCCGUAGCUCAAAGAAACUAUAAUUUGAAAACGGUAAGAAAAUCAUUUCAAAUUGUAAACAUCCCAUGACUCUACUAACUUGACCAAGACUUAUUGAAAACAAGCAUGUGUUCAAUUUCACCAAUAUUUCAUUUGAAAAUAGUACAUAAAAACAACUCAAUUAAAUACAAAUUGAAUGAGAUCUUAAAGUCUAUUAAAAACUGAUAGGUUAUUAACCAUUUGAGAUAUAGACCCUAAUCCAAGGAUGUUAAGCAACCUAAAUGUGUUGUUUUAUGGUGUGUGAACUGAUAGCUGCAUCCAAAAUGGCUACAGUCUUCCAUUUCGCCUACCUGAUCUGCUGAUUACCACCUAAUUUCUUACAUCUUUUUAAUUUUCGAGUAAUUUUGCCACUGCUUAAGUUGUAUUAGUAAGAUUUGAAUACGACAUGAUUUUUUUUCAUAUGUUCAUCAGAACAUUUUAGAUAUAAUUAAACUAUGUUAUGCAAUUAACUUGGAAUGAAGUUACAAAUUUCUUGUUAUCAAUUUUAUAUGCCAGAUGUUGAGGAUUUAACUAUUAUUAGCUUCUUUGCUCCUUAGUGGUAUUCUAACUGAAUUUUAGCUUUAUAAUUUUUGAGCAAGUACUAAUAUAAAAUUCAGUUUAAUAACAAUGAAUGCAUAAAUGCAGUGAGACAAUAGAGCAAUCCAUAUCAUAUGGCCAUUUGUAGGCAGAUAGAUCAUUGAUAGUACUAAUCUACUGGCUAAUUGCAUGAGCAUUAUAACUAACACUCUAAGGUGGAAAAUGAACCUAUAAAUUUUUUUUACCGUGUAUAUUGCUGCUGCACAAAACAAGAAUAAUAUUAACAAAACAGCCUCCAUUGAUCUCACAUAGAUAAGCAGACAUAGACUAAUAUCUCCAAAAUACCUAUCUUGUACAGACAUCCGUCACUAAGAGAAUCAUCAGACUUCACUCUUAUUAUGUUUUUGUCUAAAUUUAACAUCCCAAAUUUAUUUUCAUUAAAAAUUUCCUCUCUUAUAUGGUUAAAUGGGACAUAAAAUCGUCACAAAAAAAAAAGAAAUAAUUCUUUUCUAUCUUAAAAUGGGACCUAAAAUUGUUAUAACAAAAAAAAUUAAUUCUUUUGAAUUUAUCUAUUAAAAUUUGAGGUAUCCAAAUGAAUAACACCAAAGAUUGACAAUAUGUAUAAUCGUCAUUAGAAAAUUAAAAAAUAUAUAUCCAAUUCAAAUAGAAAAUUUUGAACUUUACUGAAUCAUCAUCAUCAUCAAGUAACAUAACACAAUAUACCAAAAAAAAAAAAGGGAGAAAAAUCCAAAACAGAAUAUGAAAAAAAAAGAAAAAACAACAAAUCAAUAAAAAAUUAAAAAUAAAUGGAAAUUAAAGUAAAAAAUGUAAAUAUGGACAAUGAGCUCAUGCAAAGGUGAUCGGACGUUAGCAAUUGUGAAGACGUCUGAAAAGUACACCUCGGAUGGUACAUCCGGACUAUACCUUAAAAAAGAUAAAAAGAAAACAUAUUAUGUAUAAAAAGUCUACAAUUCCAACUAUCAAUUACCUGAUUUCUAGUUUCACCUAAAGAUUUCAUGGAAUCACUGUCCAAUAAGGUUUGUAAUUUUGCAUGUAUGCAUCAUUAAUUCCAAUAGUCGAAAUAACCAGGGCAUCUGGUAUACAUUAAAGUUUAUGUUCACUAUGUGUAUCUAAAGUUAAUGCCUUGGGUUUGGUUAAACUUUCUUUGAUUGUUAGUGUUUAUUAUUUGGCUAUUUGAUGCGAUUAUUUUGAGCAAGUUAUUUGGCACUUUAGCUCUUUAAAUCAUGAUUAACUUGGUACCAUUAAUUGUGAUUGCUAAAUGUGUUGUUUCUUCAAUGAAAAUUGAGAUUUAACACUAGUUCAAAAAGUGCUAAACCUAUGGUGUACACUCACGAGAGUAGAAGUGUGUCUAUGUGGCUUUAGUGAUUCAUUUCAUGUAAUUUCAUAGAAGAAAUGAACUUGUAGCUAAUUUAAUAACCACGAGAGUAGGUAUAGAUUAGUUAUAAGUAUAGUUGAUUCAUUACGAGAAUAGGUUUCACAUGCAUAAGAAAAUUACGCCAUAACUAGCUAAGAUAGUAGUAAUCAAUGAUCCAAAAAUAGCAUUUGCAUGAAUGGUUAGGAAUACCAUAAUCUAAGGAGCUUUCAUUUGUUUUUAUCUUGCAUAAGUUUAACAUAGUUUUAUCUCUUUUAAUUCAUUGAUCGUCUAAAUAAUAGAGAAGUUUUAGCAGUGCCGGUAUUUGUCCAAUCUUUCUCAUGGGAUUGACCCGAUAUUUGUCAUAAACUACUAAUUUGACCUAUAUACUUGCAGUCAAAAAGGGUAUAUUUCGGAAUUAAACUUGUACUUAUAUCAAAAGCCCAUCAGUAGCUCAAAGAAACUAUAUUUUGAAAACGAUACGAUGAAAAUCACUUCAAAUUAUAAACAUCACUUGACUCUAUUAAUUUGAUCAGAACUCACCAAAAAUGAGUGUGUGUGUCCAAUUUGACCUGUAUUUCAUUUAAAAAUAUACAUAAAAACAAGUUAGUUGAACACAAACCGAAUGAGAUCUGGAAGUCUAAUACAAAUUGGUAAGUUGCUAACCAUUUGAGGUAUAGACCCUAAUCCAAGGAUUUAAUCAGCCAAAAUAUCUUAUUCUAGGUUCUGUGAACUGGUAGUUGCAUUUAAAUUGGCUACAAUCUCCCAUCUCACCUACCUAAUCUACUGAUUACCAUCUAAUCCCUUACUCUUUUUUUUUAAAUUUUCAAUUAAUUUUGCUAAUGCUUAAGUGGUAUUAAUAAGAUAUGAAAGCGACAUGGAUUUUUUCAUAUGUUUGUCAAAACUUUUUAGAUAUAACUAAACUAUGUUAUGUAGUUAACAUGGAACGACCUUACUAUUUCAUAUUAUCAAUUUUACCUACCAGAUGUUGUGGUCUUAACUAUUAUUAGUUUCUUUGCACCUUAGUGGUUUUCUAACCAAAUUUUAUGUUUAGAAUUUUUGAGCACGUACUAACGUAAAAUUCAGCUCCACAACAACAAAUGCAUUAAUGCUAUGAGAUAAUAGAGAAAUCCAUAUCAAAAUGCUCAAUUGAAAAAAAAAAAGUGAAAGAAAAAAGGAACGAAUAUGUCAGAUGUGCUGUAAUUUCAUUAUUGGGUUGUGUAAAAACAUUUUCAUUUUGACAAUUGAACAUACAUAUAGACUUUGUAAUACCUUACUCUUGAAAUUCUUGUCUCUUCGUUUGAAGGUGAAAAGAAAUUACGGCAUAGUUAUUUCCAUAAGUCGUAGAAAACAAUCAAUAAAGGAAAAAGAAUAAGGUUUUGAUGGGGAAAAUUCAGAAAUUGGAACGGAACAAUGGGCUAUAUUUUUGUUAAGAACUGAAAAUCUUUUUCUUCAUUAUCCGUUCCUUCUUCAACUUACAUUCAGCUGUAAUGGCUGAAUUUAAAGUGGAAGCGAUGCAUCUACUUCAACAAUGUUGGAAACAGUUAUUGUCCUUAGCUACCUCAACUCCACACCAUUUAUACAUAAUGUGCUUGCUGUGCAUUCCAGGCUGGGAUUUGGACGCAUUCCAAUGUUGGAUUGUGGUGGGGUUUAAUACCAAAUCAAUGAAUUAAAUCCUUUAUAUAAAGGAGCUAAACAAACAAUUUUAUUACACUCAAAAUAUAUAUAAUAACAACAGACAAAAUACAUUUAUAUUAGACACUAAUAAUUGAGCCUCACUGUUGAGAUAUCUGCUCAAACACUCACUCCACAAUUGAACUCGUUCAUUUCCUAUCUUUCACUUGAGCUUUGGUGCCCUUCAACUGAGGAAAUGGCAUUUAUUUAUACUAGUAAGGAUCCUACAAGCGGCUGUAAUUUUCUCUUCUCAUUCAAUGCCCAAUUGCCAGAAAAUCUGGUGAACUUUGCAAGUAAAUCUGGUUCAAGAUACAAGCACGAACCAAAUUGAUCAGCCGCCCACGUUCAGCUUCAAGAUGGACUUUGGCAAUUUGUCUAUUGCCAAUAAAUGAGUAAAACAAACACUCCAAAGCCAUAAAACUCAUUCUGAACAUCCUGACUAAAGAUUCAUCGUUCUUUAGCACAAACAACAUUUUCAAAAGACAUAUUAAUUAAUUAAUAAUAAACCUCAAUGAUAGAUCUCAAUCCCAAUACUGCAGUUAUCUUAUAGUCACAGAAGCCUGCCUCAGAGAAAAGUUUCGCCCAAUCUUUCUCAUUUCUUUGCCUUCCUUUGACUAGAACCAUCGCCCCCAUAUCAUAGAACAGUUGGGUCUCAAUCGCCUCAUGAUCAUCAUCCCCUUUCUGCUGGCUUUUGCAGAACGUGUCAACAAUAAUCACUUUGCCUCCUUUUUCCUUGCUAGGAAUUGCUUCUUUACAUUUUUUUAGUAUUUGUACACACUCAUCAUCGUUCCAAUCAAUCAAUAUCCACUGCUCGAUUGCAAAUUGUAUCACAAUGAAAGAAAAUUUUUGUUAGAAACAUUACACCCCAUCUAAAGCUUUUUGCGUCAAAAAGAAAAAACAAAACUAUUCUCCUAUAGUACCAAACACAUGCCAUCAAUUUGACGUUUAAAACUUUGUUCUUUUUCUGUCCCUCUUCAUGAUGCAGUUCUUAGAUUAAGCAUAGCCUCAAUUUCUUCUGCUCAAUCUUACUUUUGAAGUUGACACUUCCCAUAAUUGGUGAAUUUUAAUCCUAUGAUCUCAGGCAGUUAGGAUGAAAAUCUAAAUAAAACUUCUAUAAAAGAAAAUGGUCAACUAGAAAACGUGCAACAUCGAUUUCAUACCUUCAUUAAAACAGCAUCUGCAGGAGGAAUGGCUUCAAACAUGUUACCUCCAACAUAGGCCAAGUUCUUACUACUCUCCAAGCCAUCAACAACAUGAGGAAGAUCAAGCACAGUGCAUUUCAGGCGAGGGAAAGCAUCAGCAAUUGCCUUAGCAAAGGUUCCAGUUCCACCUCCAAUAUCUACCAAUGAAUUCAAACCCUCAAAAACGUGCUUACAAUCUUUGGUCACCACGCUACUAACCAUCCGGGCAUCACUAGCCAUUGCUUCGUUAAAGAAUUGAUUAAGCUGAGACUCAUGGCUCGCAAAAUCAUAAAGUGACCUCCCAUGGCAAGUAUAAAAGGGGCUUUCAUCGCUGUUCUGAAACCACUGGCUGAGAUGGUGCCAUGGAUCAGUCAAGGCGGGAUCGAGCAUGGCCAGUAAAAAUGGCGUCACGCUAAAAGGGUUGCUCUUUAAAAGAAGUUCAGAAGCAGAAGUAAGCAGAUAACCCUUUUGAUUAUCAUUCUCAUUUCCAGGAAUCUUUGCUUCAAUGAAGAAGCCUGAGUGGAUCAAAAUCUGCAUGAGACGAUAAACGAAUGGGGUUUUUUCAUUCUUGAUGGGAAGAGCAUCGAUCAAUUGAUCGAGGGUCAUCGGCUGGCCAUGCUUGUGAAUAACAUCUGGAAUGUCUAAUUGAAUUGCACAUUUGAGGGACAUAGAAUUUAUGAAGUUGAAUAUAUGGUUCCAUAUGUGAGCUUGUGCUUGAAAAAGCUCAUCAGUAUGAUCACCAAUAUUUCUAGCCAAAUCCAUUUUUUGUUUGAAAUUCUAGGAUUUUUUGUGCUUUUUGGUGGUGUGAAUUACAAGUAGAACUCGCAUUUUAUAGGCGGAUUAUGGGAUUCACAGGAAUAAUGUUGCAAUAAUUUCUUCUAAUAGCCUGCCAAGAACCUGUUAAAAAAAUAAACAAUGAAAUCAACUCAGAAAAAAGGAUCCAAAGGCAGCUGACAUCAAUUUCCUUUUCUUGACUGACAGGUGUCGUGCCUGUGCAAUAAUAAAAACCUGCUCAACUAAAAUUAAUUUUUGUAGUAGUGGUAAGCAGGAUCGAAUCCACAGAGACUGGGUGUAACUGUUUCUUUUCAAAUUCACAGUAAUCAGGGGGUGUUUUUACCUAGAAGGUGACAAUCAAAUAAAUGCAAAUAAAAUUCAAGAAACUACUAAAAAUUAAAUAACAAUUUACUAAAGUCAAAUGAAUGAUAACUAACGAGCUAGCCAAGAAAUAACUUCAGCAAUGAUUCACCUAAUUGAUCAUCGAAACAAAGGCAAUUCCAAAUAUUUACUAAUAAAUAGGUUACAACUGCUAAACAAGCGAUGACAGUCAACCCUUCCUUACUGUAUCGGUGACUAAGGUACGCCCGUUAAUCACUGUUCUAAUUGAAAAAUAAUCCUAGAUACGCUCGUAAGAUUUAAUUCCCCAAUUGCCUUACGUAUUAGAGGGGCUCUAUUUUAACAAAAUAACGCACUACCUGGAUUAUUUUAGGUUAGCUCGCGUAUCUCCCUGACACAAAUCUAAUCAUGUCAGUUGUCACUAUUUUGAGACAAUUAAACAAUUACGGAUUUAACGUCCCAAUUGACAAUAGAUUAUCAAAUUAACUAAUUAUCCGGAUCCAAGACAAUCAAUUAAUUGAAUAAUCACAAAUAUUGAAACCAGGGAAUAUGCGAAUACUAAUAAAUAAAAGAAAGAGAUAAAAUUAAAUCGAUUUCACACUUUUAGGCGACUCAAACCAUCCAUUGUUCCUUGACUAGAGGAGGGGAUUUAAUUCAUAUUUGAUGAACAAAACUCACAGAAAAUUGUAAAGGAAACAGCGGCCAUUGUCCCUUGAAAUCGGGGAAAUUCAAUUCGUAGUAAUCAAGAAGAAAGACAAGCUACAGGAAGGAAUUCAAUGUUUCCACUUGGCCUUUACAUACGCAUAAGAGAAACCACAAGAAGAUGACAUGGAAAAAGUCCAAAACUAAACUAAGCUAGAGGUCCUACUAUCUGAAGAAAGAAAAGCUACUCCAGAAAAGUCAAAAGAAAAACUAUCUAAUAUCUGGUUCCUCCUACUCUUGUGCGGCGUCCGCGGCUAUCAAGAAAACCGAAGACUUCCCUUUUUUCUUUCUUCGGCCAAAUUACCAAAAAGGGCUGCACCUCCUUUGUUCCAAAAAUGCCCUUGAGUGCCUUCUUUUUUAAUUCUUUCCCGAUGAUCGUAAAAUUAGCGCUUGUUAUCAUAUUUUCGUUCUAUUCCCUGAAAUAAAUACAAAUUACGAAAAAUAAAUAGAAUUUAAUAAUUAAUCCACAUCAGAUCAGGUAAUAGGAAAAAUUAAUAAUAAAAUAAAUGAUAAAAUUGUAACCCAUCAUUGACCAAUUCAUAUAUGAGUAUAUGGGUUACUCAGUCUCCUUCUUGGUGUGACUACACAUAAUUCAUUGUUUCUGGAGACGUGCUUAAAUUAAAGUGUAUAAUCAGCGCUUGUUAAUUAAUUGUUCUUUGUGUCAACUCGUAUUAUCACUUGAGAAAAUCACAUAAUGCACGCUGCAGGUGGUGCUUCUUGUUUGGAAGGUGAAGAAAAAGAAAUUUAAAUAGUCACAACUUUUGAGUCAUGGUUGAGUUAAAGUUUACGUCGAUGCGUCAUUCUUGAGCAAAUUGUCUUUUCACAACGAUCUGAUGUAUUGCAAUGCUUAAGAAACUUUAUUUCUUGUCCUAAAUAUAGGGAUCGAUUUUUUAAUUGAAACGUUAAGACUUGUUUUCAUCCUGCUAUGAGAGACUGACAACUCUGAUGGAUUCGAAAAUUAGAACUCGCCAUUAUUGUUAAUCAAUAUCAAAUUAGUACUCACCUUCGACCUGUAAAAUAUGGGGUAAUUGAGCACGGCAUGAUGCUAAAGUAAAUGAAGUAAUCUUUAAUUUAGGGUCCUAUCUAAUAAGUGUCCAUUAAGCACUUGUUGUUAAGAUGAAGUUCACAUGUAAAUAUCUUAGAAAUGUAAAGUUAAAUAAAGAAAUUUUAUAAAAAUAAGGUAUAGUAGUAAUUGUUAGGAUGUAUAUUUAUACGGUGAGUUUGGUAUGAUUUACAAGUCUUAAUGGCCACAAGAUAACACAAUUCUUAAUUUAAAAGUUCUUUAUUUUGAAAAUUCAACACAGGCAGACAUUUUCUAACACAUGUAAAUUUGGAAAGCUUUCCUUGUUAUUGUUCAGAUGGAGAAAGGAAAGCCUAAUUUUUAAAAAAUAUUUUAAAAGGUUAUCUAAAACUUAAUUUAAAUUUUUUUAAAAUUUUUAAAAAAUAUUUUAAAAUAUAUUCUAGAAAUUCUUCAAUUCUUAAAUAUUUCAAAAUAUUUUUUAAAAAUAUCUCAAAAUAUACUUUAAAAAUUCUGUUACAGUAAAUUUUUUUAAAAACAUCUCAAAAAACAGUUAAUCCAAAUGGAGUGAAUCACUCCAUUAAGUUUGUACAUUUCCACUUCAAUAGUCAACUAGUUUUGUACCCGUUCGUUGAAUGGGAAUCGUCGAAAAAUAACAAACUUUAGUCAAUUUAUAAAAAUGUCGAUAUAAAAUACAUAUUUAAUGUAUAAUCUAUUAUAAUUUGUCUUAAGUAUAUUACCAUGUGCGCAUUGUAAUGUAAAGUAUUCUUAUAAUAUAAAUUUGAACAUCUAAUUCAGUGAAUAAUAAUUCAAAAAUAGAAAAAAUAACAUUCAACAAUACCAUAACAUUCAAAAACUUGAAAAUAAAUAAAAAGUGCAGUAAAUAGUAUCAAAUAAUAUUCUACUAUUCAAAACUUUUUUUUUGUUUUUUUCUGUUUGAACAUUCUCCUCGAUUUGUCCGUGCAAAUCAGCAUUUAUUGAUUUUCUAUUAUCACUGCAUGAUAGCAAAGUAGGAUAACUAAAUAUUAAAAAAAAUAAAUGAUUUAUUGCAUUGAAGUUUGUGUAUAACAAUACAUAAAGAUUAUAAUUAAGUAAAUGGCCAGAGUCUUUUAAUUAACUAAUUAAUGAAUUUGCAGAUAUAUCUAAUAGAGAUAUUUAUGUUGUAUUUAUAUCGCAUUACUUUCCAGUGCCUUUUGUUUUUGGUUGUUUUUCCUUAAGGCAAAUUAACAAACAUCGUAGUAUAUGAUCACAAAAAUCAAUUAACAAACAUGUUAGAAAAAAUCCUACAAAAAUAACGAUGAAAGUACUUGUUUAAAUCCUAUGUCUUCAUACAAAACAAAUAGAAAAUAAAACAAAAAAAAUUCAAGAUAUGUUACUAAGCUCUUACAAUUGAAGAUCAACAUGCCUUUUUAAAAUAUAUAUAUAUAUAUAUAUUGAAAAAAGAUGUACCUGAUAAUCAAGAGGAGUGAAAACCCAAAAUCGAUACUUUAAUAUGCCAACCGCUUGCACUGGAAAUACCUAACCAUGAAUUUGAUACUUGAAAUCAAUAUAUUAGAGGCCCAAUCAAGGAACAUAUAAAUACCAAUAAAUGAAGAAAAUAAUUAAAACAGAUUCGAUCUCACAGUAGUUGUCGAACCAAAUCGUCAGUUGUCCCCUUGACUAGAAACACUUAACCACGCCUCAUGAGAACUCUCCCCGUUGGGGAAUAUUGUCGAACACCUGGCGUGUGUCAGAGGCCAGUCUAAGGAAAGAAAGAAAAGAAACUAAAACUAAACUAAGAACUAUUGAUUCCCUAUCUCCCGUACGUUUCUUCCUUUUUAAAGCCAAAAGGAAGUCUAAUGCUAUCUCUAGUGGUCCCCACACCAAAUUCAAAGUCUUGUACGUUUCUUUUCCUAGAGUCCAAAUGACUCAUGCUUCUUAUCCGUGGUCCCCGCACAUGUGGACACAACCUCCAAAGUACUUCUUGCUCCAAGUCUCUUACGUAGCUUUCUUUGAAAAGCCCACAUGACUAAAUGCCUUGCACUAGCUUGUGGUCCCCACCAAUUCAAGAGUCCAAGGUCCUUAGAAGUCUCCAUUUUCCCAUAAAAGUCCCUCCUUUUUGGUAAUUUUCUGCUUUGUUCCUGAAAUUAAACCCCAAUACCAAAUAUAAGUAAAUAUUAAUAAUUAAAACAAUAUUUGGCAAUAAUAAAAGGGGAAAUUAACAAUAAAAUUACUAACAAUUAACACCCUAUCACAUAAUCAUCCAAAUAACUUUGGGUAGGAAAUAAGACCUUAUGUGACUCGUACUAUGCACAUAUAUAAACCUGUACGUAAUAAAUUUACAAAUGCGUUAUCAAGAUAGAUUUUAUCGAUCUUAAAAGACCACCUCCACUAUAUCGAGUCCUUUAAGUGCAUGGACUCCUAUGAUGUGGGUCCAUACACGAAAUACUCCCUACCAUCUGGGCAAAGAUGUAUUGUGAUUAAGGAAUUAUUAGCAGAAAUAUAUUAAAAAAAAGACGGGCGGAGGACACGACGGACGGAGGGUUGGGUAGGGGCUUUCGGGGUGCAAAACUUCAAUAAAUAUCUAAUGUUUUAUCUCAUCUUUCUUUAGCUAUGAUAAUGGGAUUUUAUUUCUUUGGUUGAUGACACUCCAUUUUUUUUAUGGACUUUUCUAGAAUUUUUCAAUCAGAUGAAGUGCCAUUUCUCUUUGUACAUCAAUUAUGCAUGGGGAUUGUGAGUCUUGUAAAAACUUUCUCGGGCUAACUUUAUUUAAUUUCCAUGUCUAGAUUGUUUGUAUGUUGUUCUAUAUAUGGGUAAAUUAUCUUAAAAUAAAAAGGAUCUAUGAUGAAGCUGUUAAAAAAAAAAAAGAAUAGGACACUAUAAAAAAAUAUAUUAUCAUUUAUUCCUAUAUAUCUAAUAGAGGAGAUUUAUGUCUCUUUUAUUUUUAUCGCAUUACUUUCCAGUUCCUUUUUUGGGUAAGAAAUAAGAAUCAUAUAAUAUUAAGAAUUUUUAUAGAAAAUAAGAAUUGAUAUAUAUCCAAACAAAAAAGGAGUAAGCCAUGUAGGAAACUACUUUUUUUUUUUUUUUUUGUAAGCGGAAGGACUCGAACCCGAGACCUCUUGCUUACACUCCCUCCCCCCGUACCACCCAAUCCAACCCUCGUAGGAAACUACUUGCCAUCUCGUUAAGCCACGUAGAAAAGAGAAAAUAUGAAGAGAUAAGUAUGAUAAUACGACUUUAUUAUAUAUAUAUAUAUAUAUAUAUAUAUAUAUAUAUAUAUAUAUAUAUAUAUAUAUGAUUACUUUGGAUUGCUCUUCCUACCUUAUUCAUACCUCAGCCGUCCUUCUAGUUUCUUCUUCUACUCCUCAUUUUUUCCCUUUUAUCAUUUUUUUAAUUUUAUUAUUUAGACGGUGAAAAUGAUGAUAAAGUUAGUAAAGAUGUACAUUACAAACUUUUUUUUUUUACCAUAGAAGGCCAUUUGGUAGUGAAGAAGAUGAUAAUAGCCAAUAUAAAUAUCAAUUAUAAAGGACGCAUAUAUCUUCAGUACAUGGUUGUUCUACUUUUCUUUCUUUUUUGUUAAUUUUCAAUAUUGGAGUUGAUUUUACAAACCUUAUUUGAUUUGUUCUUGACUUGGGAGAGUCAGAAUCUUCUUUUUCCAUUAAUUUGAGAUAUUCGGUAGAUAAAUUUAUAUUUGUUUUGAUCUUUAAUAUUGCUAAACGAAAAACAUUUCAUUUCUUUGGUUGAUGAAUUGAAAAUUGCUAGACAUUGUGUAAAAGAUAUUUCAGAAUUCAGGGUUUUUGCCUUUAUUUCAUACUUCCUCAUUAUUAGCUAUUUUUUUAUUAUUAAAAAAGUUUUAAAAAAAUCAUCGAGCCGAUGAACUGACUGGUUAAACCGAUUUUUUUUUUUUUAAAAAAAGAACCGAACAUCCACCCAAUUUGUUUGGAAAAAAAAAAAUCCACCUAAUUCAUUUACCUGUCCGACUUUGAAAACAUCGAGGACAGCACAGAUAACAGAAAGGACAACAAUUCUUCGACAAAAUUAAUGGGCUGCCCAACAAGCAAUCAAGUACACAGAAGAUAACAAUUUGAAAUUGACUACUUCCUAACAAAUUUAUAUCUAUUUGAAAGAACAAUUAAAAAGUGAAUUAAAGAAUGAUUAAUGGUACAAAUAAGUCACUACCAGCCAAUAAAUACUGCAAGUUGUCAUGUGAAAAGGUUCUUCCGUUUAUUUAAGUGUAAUUAAAGGCAACGGGAUUGCCGGCCUGCCGCUUAAGCUUCUCAAUCACAACAUGUACUUAGCUGUACGUGUCUUUUGAGGUGGACAUAAGGUGUAAACUAUUUAGCCAAACCUGCUUUUUUUUAUUUAAUAUUUUCGGGUUCAUUCAUUCAAGAUGCAUUUGGUAAAAUUAAAAUCUGACAUCGUUAAGUUAUUAAAUUAUAAAUACUGAAAUCUAAUAUUUGAGCAUAUUCUGCAUUCAAUGAAAUCCUACACCGUUCGAACCCAUUUAAUUAAUUAAAAUGCUCAAUUUCUCGUUAUCAAACAUAUCUAAACAUGUUAAAGAUCUGAAUAUAUUAAAUAAGUUUAAGUAUUGAAUUGAAUUAUCAAACAGGGUUUUAGUUUAAGAAGCUUAAAAUUGCAUUCAAGUGUACAUUUUUAUUUAUCAGACUAGUUUUUCACCCUCGCAUGAGGAUGCCCUUGGUCUGUGUUUUGUUUAUCAGUAGCAAUCUUUAUUGUGAUUUGUUAAACACGUUUAUUGGGUAUUUCAGUUGCAAGGGGAUACGAUUCUUGCUGUUGUUUAUUUACCCAAUGCUAGUGGCAUUGCUGAUCAUGUUCAAUUGCAUUCGACAUAUUGCGCUGAGAAUGCAGUUAUUCGUCCUGUGAUGAUGCAAGAUUGCUUUCAAAUUGGCUCUAGUCCAUACGAUAAUUGUAGGGAGGAGAAAUGUACAAAUGCAAGAAUUCGUCGUUACGAAUGAAGAAUAGUAUAUCCUAAUAAGCGGAAGAUGUGUUUGAUAGGGAUAUUGGGUAUUAAUUUGAUUUGCUACUCACUAUUGUUGUUCCCUGGGUUGCAAACGAAUUUAAUCGCUUGCGAAUCGAUCGUGAGAGACUCGAGUCCAGCUAGGUCAACAUUGAGCUCGAGUCAAGUUCGAUCUCGAACUCGAAUUCAAAAAUAUUAAACCCAUUAGCUCGCGAGUCUACUCGAACUCGAUUAUAUAUAUUAUUUUUUAUUUUAAUAAUAAAAUUAAAUAUAUAUUCUUAAUAUUUUAUUAUUUGUUAAGGAAAAUUAUUAUUUUAUUUAUUUUUUAAAAAUUAAAUAAUUUUUUUUAUUUUUUAAACUCGAGUUCAAGAUCGAGUUUUACAUUUUGAGCUCAUCGAGCUCAAGUUCAAAUUUCAUAAACUUAGGUUGAGACUGAAUUUAAUUAGUUCAAAACUCGACUCAUCUUAACUCAUUUGUACCCGUAAUUGUUCCCAUGCUGGUACGAAUGAACAAAAAAUCGGACCUCAAUAUGGAAGGAAAAUCGAGAGCAGCACAACUAGCAAUUCAUGUCAAUAUAGCAAUCACAUGGUGUGCUUAACACUAAUCAAUAUGGCAUAAACAUAAAAAAAUGGUCUUGUCUUUCCGAAGGAAGUCUAGAAUCCAAAAUAGAGAAAGGAAAGGUGGGGGGCUGUUUGUGUUUUUAAACUCGGAUCAAACUGACUGGUUCGACUGGUUGAACCGAGAAUCAGCUAGGCUUUCAGUCCGAGUUCAUUCAAAAAACCGCCUAAAUAAAAAUCAGUCAAAAUCGGGUCUGACCGGGAAUUGAAAAUAACCAUAAGGACCGGUUUGUUUCAUUUGUUUGGUAUUCUGCUUUUUCUUCUUCACUUUUUGACUGUUCCUAUCCCUAAGAGAUGAUCACUAACCUUUAACUACCCUAUGUUCUCUCACGGAUACUUCCAUGGUGGUAAUCUAGCAAGAGCCUUUCAUGGUUGCCAUCAUAGUUGCUAGAUCUAGAACUUAAAAAAAAAAGGAUGGCUAGUUCUGAAAUAAAAAAAAAAAGGAAAAGAUGAAUCAGCAAGAUGAUGAAAAGAAAACAAGGAUUGAAACUUACGAGCUAACGAGUUAAGUAUCUUUAAACUCGAGUUUGCUCGAGCUCGGUCACUUCAAUUGCGAGUAACUCGACUCAUUUGGACCUCUAGGAUUGAUUGAAGCUCUGAUGUGGUAUGAUUUUUCUAAUUAUUUAUUUAUUUGACUUGUACUUUUUUUUUUCAAUGCUCCAUUGAUUUGUUAACCAUUCUUUUCCCUUUCUGGUAUUAGGACUGCAUGGUUAUUAUUAUGUUUGGGAUUUUAAGAAUGCAAAGUUCAAGACCAUACCACUUUACUGAAAUAUUUCUUGAAAUUUUCUUUUACAAUAAAAUGCCUAAUAUUAGAACACUUGUAAAUGCCUCUAAAGCCUAUUUUGUGUUCGUAUCGCCCACAUUCUUUUAAAACCGGCCUGAUAUUAGUUAAAAAUAGUAAAGAUCGUAGACUCAAUAUAAUUUGCCUGAAAUUUAAUAGGACCAAAUUGAUUAAUUUUCUAAAUAUCAAGGACUAAAUUUUCUUCCUUGAAACAAAAAAACCAUUUUACCCACAUCCUAAUUGUUGAGGACCAAAAUCUAAUUAGUUUAAGACUGAGGCGGAGGACAACCACCAGAAGAGAGGUAAAUGGAGUUCUGGAGGGUGGUUGCCCCUCUCUUCUGCUUCUGUUCCUCUGCCGAUGAACUCCAAAAAAAACAAAAAAUGCAAUUCCUUCUUUCUAAAUCCAAAUCAGAUAUAUAUAUAUAUAUAUAUAUAUAUAUAUAUAUAUAUAUAUAAAAUAAAGUCGUAUCCUCAUACUUAUCCCUUCAUAUUUUUUCUUUCCUACGUGACUUAACGAGACGGCAAGUAGUUUCCUACGUGGCUUACUCCUUUUUUGUUUGGAUAUAUAUCAAUUCUUAUUUUCUAUAAAAAUUCUUAAUAUUAUAUGAUUCUUAUUUCUUACCCAAAAAAGGAACUAAAAAGUAAUGCGAUAUAAAUAAAAGAGACAUAAAUCUCCUCUAUUAGAUAUAUAGGAAUAAAUGAUAAUAUAUUUUUUUAUAGUGUCCUAUUUUUUUUUUAACAGCUUCAUCAUAGAUCCUUUUUAUUUUAAGAUAAUUUACCCAUAUAUAGAACAACAUACAUACAAUCUAGACAUGGAAAUUAAAGAAAGUUAGCCCGAGAAAGUUUUACAAGACUCACAAUCCCCAUGCAUAAUUGAUGUACAAAGAGAAAUGGCACUUCAUCUGAUUGAAAAAUUCUGAAAAAGUCCAUACAAAGAAAUGGAGUGUCAUCAACCAAAGAAAUAAAAUCCCAUUAUCAUAGCUAAAGAAAAAUGAGAUAAAACAUUAGAUAUUUAUUGAAGUUUUGCACCCCAAAAGCCCCUACCCGACCCUUCGUCCGUCGUGUGCUCCGCCCGUCUUUUUUUUUAAUAUAUUUCUGCUAAUAAUUCCUUAAUCACAAUACAUCUUUGCCCAGAUGGUGGGGAGUAUUUCGUGUGUGGACGCACAUCAUAGGAGUCCAUGCACUUAAAGGACUCGAUAUAGUGGAGGUGGUCUUUUAAGGUCGAUAAAAUCUAUCUUGAUAACGCAUUUGUAAAUUUAUUACGUACAGGUUUAUAUACGUGCAUAGUACGAGUCACAUAAGGUCUUAUUUCCUACCCAAAGUUAUUUGGACGAUUAUGGUUUUAUUUCUUAUAAGAAUUCUUAAUAUUAUAAGAUUCUUAUUUCCUACCCAAAGUUACGUACUUUAAGCAACUUAAAUUAAGAUAAACAUACUUUUAAUGUUCUUAUCAAUAUCUCUUUGUAUUCUUAUCAAUUCUUAUUUUCUAUGUCUAUACUACAUAUAGCCUCUAAUAUAUUGAUUCAAGUAUCCAAUUCAUGGUUAGGUAUUUCCAGUGCAAGCGGUUGGCAUAUUAAAGUAUCGAUUUUGGGUUUUCACUCCUCUUGAUUAUCAGGUACAUCUUUUUUCAAUAUAUAUAUAUAUAUUUUUUAAAAAGGCAUGUUGAUCUUCAAUUGUAAGAGCUUAGUAACAUAUCUUGAAUUUUUUUUGUUUUAUUUUCUAUUUGAUUUGUAUGAAGACAUAGGAUUUAAACAAGUACUUUCAUCGUUAUUUUUGUAGAAUUUUUUCUAACAUGUUUGUUAAUUGAUUUUUGUGAUCAUAUACUACGAUGUUUGUUAAUUUGUUUUCAGGAAAAACAACCAAAAACAAAAGGCACUGGAAAGUAAUGCGAUAUAAAUACAAGAAACAUAAAUAUCUCUAUUAGAUAUAUCUGCAAAUUCAUUAGUUAAUUAAAAGACUCUGGCCAUUUAUUUAAUUAUAAUCUUUACGUAUUGUUAUACACAAACUUGAAUGGGAUAAAUCAUUUAUUUUUUUUAUAUUUAGUUAUCCUACUUUGCUAUCAUGCAGUGAUAAUAGAAAAUCAAUAAAUGCUGAUUUGCACGGACAAAUCGAGGAGAAUGUUCAAACAGAAAAAAACAAAAAAAAAGUUUUGAAUAGUAGAAUAUUAUUUGAUACUAUUUACUGCACUUUUUAUUUAUUUUCAAGUUUUUGAAUGUUAUUUUUUCUAUUUUUGAAUCAUUAUUCACUGAAUUAGAUGUUCAAAUUUAUAUUAUAAGAAUACUUUACAUUACAAUGCGCACAUGGUAAUAUACUUAAGACAAAUUAUAAUAGAUUAUACAUUAAAUAUGUAUUUUAUAUUGACAUUUUUAUAAAUUGACUAAAGUUUGUUAUUUUUCGACGAUUCCCAUUCGACGAACGGGUACAAAACUAGUUCUAUAUAUUUUCGAUGUGAAAUACGAAGGGGCAAAAGGUAGUUUUGGAUGACAAUCAUUUUCUUGCACAGUUGCGCGUACCUAUUACGCGUUAAUUUACAACAAACUCAAAGAAGUCAUUGCAGUUGGUGGAGUCAGUGACCCAUCUUAAUGUGAUAACUUAUCUUUUUGGAAGAAUAAUUAAAAAGUGAAUUAAAGAAUGAUUAGUGGUACAAAUCAGUCACUACCACCCAAUAAAUACUGCAAGUUGUCAUGUGAAAAGGAUCUUCCGUUUAUCUACCUAUAUAGUAAAAGCGCGAAUGAGGUUGUCAAGUGUGGUGGUUUUGUGCUGACGUGGCUCGUUUUUAUUGGCUGAAAUUUGGUCGUCAAUCACGUGGAACUCGCGUGCUUUCGCUGGAAGGAGAAGUGCCAUUCUUGCUGUUGUCCGACGAGAAGAAAGCUGGACCUUCGGUUUUUAAGAAGAAACAUUUCUCUGUAGCAUGGCCAUCAUUUCUUUUUUUUCUUUUCUUUUCUCUGGUCGGCAGAUUGCCAGCUGAGUCAUCUUGUCUACCUAUAUAGUAAAAGCGCGAAUGAGGUUGUCAAGUGUGGUGGUUUUGUGCUGACGUGGCUCGUUUUUAUUGGCUGAAAUUUGGUCGUCAAUCACGUGGAACUCGCGUGCUUUCGCUGGAAGGAGAAGUGCCAUUCUUGCUGUUGUCCGACGAGAAGAAAGCUGGACCUUCGGUUUUUAAGAAGAAACAUUUCUCUGUAGCAUGGCCAUCAUUUCUUUUUUUUCUUUUCUUUUCUCUGGUCGGCAGAUUGCCAGCUGAGUCAUCUUGGGAAAUGUAAUUCUUCUUCUCUUGCUUUUGUUUGUCCGAGAGAGAAGAAGAAGGACCUUCAGUUUUUUGGCUGAGAUUUGGCCGUCAAUCGCGUGGGGCUUGUGUGCUCUUGCUGGGAAGUGCAAUUCUUCUUGUCUUGCUUUUGUCCGAGAGAGAAGCAGAAGGACCUCCGGUUUUGACGAUAAACGUUGCCAGCUUAGUGAGAUUGGCGGCUGGUGAUGGUUUGAUUGAUGAUGAUAGCUGUUUGGUGAUGGGCUCAAUGUGGUUGGUGUGCUUUGACGAUACUGCCCUUCUUUUAAAAUCAGAUUCACCGUUGCAUCUGACUAAGUUUCUUCCUUCUCUUUGCGCUUUGGUGAGAAAAGAAACUACAGCUCUGCUCUAUAGGGCUGCCGAAAAAGCACAUUUCCCUCUUUUCUUCUUUGAUGAUGAUGAUGAUGAUUGACAAGACUGGAAGCUCUUUGUUAGUCCGAUGUAUGCAGGGGUUUCUAACCUCCAAAUUUCGCCUUUUCCAGCUUUCGUCAUCAUGCACCGUGGUAAUUGUGCCUCAUUUCCAUUGCUCCCUUUUCCUUGCCCUUCAGCUGCUUGCUUCUUCAUUCUCAACUAUUGUCUUCUUUCUUUCCCCCACUUUUCCCAGCCUUUCUGAGAGCUACUGUCUUGCUGCCUUCUUGCAUAAGGUUUAAUUCUGUUGUUAUUGUUUGAUUUUAGCUCCUUCUGAGACCGUUGUGUGCACUGUUGUGGUUAUUUGUUUUUUUUAGCGGCUAAAUUUUAUUCUCUCUUCAGUUGUUACUGUUUAAUUGCCUUUUUGGUUUGCUUUUCAUCUCAUUUUGCUUCUUCCCUUUUCCCUCAUUUAUCCUAUUUAAAUUUGUUAUUUUCCUUGCCGGAUCCUUUUCCCCUGCUUUUCCCGUGUCCCCCCUAUGAACAAUUCUUGCAUUGCUGUGCUUUCUUCACAUUUUGUCCUACUACUCUUACUGCCUACAAAUUAUCCUUCCCCGCCUUCUACCUUUUUUGGAGUUCUUAGUAAGCAUUCCUUAUAUUAUACCCUAUAUAUUUUCAGACACCAUUCUGGAGUGUACCCCUCCCUCUCUUACAGGAGGGAACUAUUUUGUGAGGAAUGCUUGUAAGGAUAACUGUUUCAGAGAUACUUAUUAAGAGGUUAUCUUCCCCCCCCUUAAAAAAUGCUUGCAAAAAAUAAACCUGCCACCCAACUUAUUAAGAGCUUUCAGAAUUGCCUGCAAGAAAUGCUUGUUCUACCGCAUUUUACUCUUUGGAAUUGUAUCUUCUUACCCUUUUUUCCUCUUGUUGGUUUGUUAGGUGCUGAAGCAGGUUCUGUCCUCUUCUUUGUUGCUUUGCUUUGCUGUUGGCUGAUAGAGGCUUAAGGUUAAGGUGACAUUACUUAUCCUCCCUUCCGUAUGUGCUUUUACCUUGCUCCUGUCCAAUAAUCAUUUGCCCCGUGGUUUUAUUGCUUCACUUUUAAAUGUUACCAGCUUGGCUCGAACUUUUAUCUGCUUUUCCUUGUGUGCUCUGUUCCAUGCUCCUGUCUGAGGCCUGUGCUUUAACUUUGCUUCGCUCUUUUCCUUUUAAAUAAUUAUACUUACUGGAUUCCAUGGUUCUGUAUAAGGACUGCACUUAUCUUUCUUUUUUUAUGUCUGCUGAGUUUCGUUCUCCUGUGUGAGAGCUGCACUUUAGCUUUUCUUCCUCUGUUUUUAUGCGUCAAUCUUGGUAGAGCUUUGCCCUACUUCUUACUUAUUUAGUUACCGCUGUAGUCGUGUAUUAGACGCGUACGUUUGGCUUUCUUUUCGCCUACUCAAGUGUGCACCAAUCAGAUGGAUAGGAAUGCUGUGCGCCGCAAAAAAUAUGCAGAAAUGCCGCCUCUGAAGAAAGCAGAGCUUCUGCGCUCUCGAAGGCAGGCUCGGGCCUCCAAGAAAGCUGGAAAAGCUCCAGCUCCUCGUGUUCGCAGGGUCCCAUUAGGAUAUGUUGAAACUGGUGUGUCAUUCCCAAAUGCUCAUCAUAUGCCAUGUCGUAGUGAGGAUCCUACGGCUGCUCAUUCUCAGCCGUUGGGGAAUACACAUGUUGUGUUUCCAGCUGAUGAUGACUUUGCGAUUAGAGAGGGAUUAGAUUUCAUGUCGUGUCAGUCCCCUGGUUCAUUUACUGGUCAUCCUAUCCCCUCCUUUGGACCACAACUCAGUGAUGACCCAGGUAGAGAGAAACAUAAGCACGUAUUCUCCCUUCCGCCUGAAAAUGAACAACCUGUUAACCUUUCACAUCCUGAAGUUAUGCUAGGCUUAUUUCCUUUGAAUUCAUCUCUUAAGAACUCUGAACAGUCGAUUCCAAAAGAAAAUGCUCCUGCGAGUCAUUCUUUCCCUGCUGGAAUCCCAGAUUCUCCUUUAGAACAACCUUGCGAAGGUACUGUCUUGCCUUACGAUAUACGCUGUGUUUGCAAACCUCCUGGUCUGUUUCGGCCAGACUGUAAAUAUUGAAUAACCAACUUUAUAUCCUGGCCUUCCGGAAGCCUUCUUCCUUUGUUUGCCGGUGUUCCUUUAAGGGAAUUGGCACUCUUUUGCCUACCUUAUUCGCUUGUGCAAUUCGCAGCCAACUUUCCUGCUCACACAGAGGAGGUGUCCAGGUGUGAGCCAACAUCUGGUCACUUGAAGAAAAAAACCAGAAAAGUAGCUCCUUCUUCUGAUCCAUCUAUUGUUCGCUCCCGUUACAAAAAACGCACCGCCCCUGCAUCUGUAAACAACCCCAGCUCAGGUUUGGAUUUGCUCCUGAUCCUCUUUAACCGUUUGUUGCCUUCCAUCCUGAUUUAUCCAGCUCACCAGUCAUAAUUAAUAAACUCGUUUGUGCGUGCAAUAAAACUGCAGCGAAAAAACAAGCUCGUGCACAUUCAACCAUGUCUCGUCUUGCCAAUAUUCCCAAUGCAUCUCUGGUUCUGCCUCGUGUUCCUGAUUGUCAGCAUUGUGGAGCGAAAAGGUUCCAUUUGGAACCUCCUUCCUUUUGCUGCUCAGGAGGAGAGAUCUCUAUCGUUGCUCCUCCAAUGCCUUACGAUUUGAAACGCUUAUUCAUUGGCAACGAUGAAGAGAGUGCUCACUUUAGAACCAUUGUUCGCACUUAUAACAACAACCUUGGCUUCACAUCUUUUGCUGCAAAGUAUGACUCUGAAUUAACAAAAAACACAAAAGGUGUCUAUACCUUCCGUGUUCAAGGUCAGGUUUACCACUUUCUUGAUGGUCUCGUUCACUUAGGUGAUCGACCAUCUGGAAUCCAAUUAUAUUUUUUUGACACUGCUGAGGAAUUAACAAAGAGGCUUGGUAACUCAGAUAAACUACGCGAAAGCACUUUAAGACUGCUUAUGCGCGUACUUUCUGACAAUCCUUAUGCUCGGUUCUUUAAAGGCCUUAGGGAUGUUCCACACCUUGACAACCUGAACAUUAUCCUUAAUUGUUAUCCUUCACUUGACCAGCGAGUAUAUAACCUUCCCUCAGCCUCGCAAGUAGCAGCUAUAUGGACUGAAAGUGAAGAUCAGUCGUCCGAUAGGCGCGCUCAUAUUCAGGUUUAUUCUCGCUCGGCUGGUAGCCAUAGGAUUCAACAUUACUAUGGCUGUUACGACCCUUUACAGUACCCUCUCCUUUUCCCUCGUGGUGAGUGUGGCUGGCACCAUGGGAUUAAAAGGCUUUGCAAGAGGAAAAGAGGAGGGGACGCUUGUGAGAAUGAUAUUAACAUUGAUCCAACUUCAGUUAACUCCUCAUCGGAGUUAAUCGAUUUAGAACAAAGAGGCGAGCACAUUUCUCUCUUCUUAUAAACUGCUGAACCUGCCCAUUGCGUUACAUUAUUUAACCAUGUACAGCAUCUUUUCCCUUCUUUAUAGCUGCUGACCAAGGAAAAACAGAGGAAAGUACUGUAUCUGCUAGGGAGUACUACUGUUAUAGGUUCCAAAUAAGGGACGAUGAUGAGUCAAUGCUGUUACACACUCUUAGGCUGCUACAGCAGUUUUCAGUUGAUGCUUAUGUCAAGAUUGAAACAUGUAGGCUUGACUUUCAUAGGCAUCGGCAAAACAAUAUACGUUCCGAAAUUCUGCAAGGGGUUCUUGACAGUGUUUCUGUUGGCCACACUGCUGCUUCUAAGGUUGGUCGUAAGGUCAUUCUUCCAGCUUCCUUUAUAGGUGGUCCGAGGGAUAUGAGGCGUCGUUACCUAGAUGCGAUGGCACUCGUACAGAAAUAUGGAAAACCAGACAUUUUUCUUACAAUGACGUGUAAUCCAGCAUGGAAAGAAAUUCAGGAAAAUUUGAAAUACCAUGAAAAACCUCAGGAUCGGCCAGACCUUCUCGCUAGAGUUUUUAGAGCCAAGUUUGAAAUGCUUAAAGCAGAAAUUCUGAAUAAGCAGAUCUUCGGCGAGGUUUCAGCAUGUGUUUACGUGAUUGAGUUUCAGAAACGCGGCUUUCCUCAUGCCCAUUUAUUAUUGAUCUUAAAACCUGGUCAUAAGCUGCUUAAUCCAGAGUCAUACGACAAAGUUGUUUGUGCUGAGUUGCCCGACAAAGAUAGAUAUCCUCACUUGUAUUCUCUUGUUGUGAAACAUAUGAUCCAUGGUCCUUGCGGAGCCAUGGAUACAUCUUGUCCUUGUAUGAGAGAUGGGACCUGCAAAAAUCGCUAUCCAAAGAGCUUUUGUUCUCAGACAACUCAUGGUGAGGAUACCUAUCCGUGUUAUAGGAGAAGAGAUGAUGGCAAAAGAGUGAAGGUUCGUAGAUUUACUCUUGAUAAUAGGUGGGUUGUGCCUUACAACCCUUACCUGCUUGCUUUAUUUGAUUGCCACAUCAAUGUCGAAAUUUGUUCUACUCUUAAGCUCGUGAAGUACUUGUAUAAGUAUGUUUUCAAAGGACACGAUCAAGUGAGCUUUAAGAUUAUUUCCUGUGCAUCAGCGGAUGCUAUUGAUGAAAUAAAAGACUUCCAGAAAGGUAGAUGGGUUUCACCUCCAGAAGCUUUUUGGCGCAUUUAUGAAUUUAAGCUGAGCGAAAUGACCCCUGCAGUUUACACCCUUCAGAUUCACCUUCCAGAUCAGCAAUUCAUUUCCUUUGACAAGAACUCUGACUUGCUGCAAUUGCUGAGUAAAAUUGACUUUUCAAAGACUAUGUUAACUCAGUUUUUUCGCAUGAACAAAACCAAUCCUAGAGCACAGAAUCUGAAAUGCUUGUACAGAAAUUUUCCUGAGCAUUUUGUUUGGUCUGGUAAAUAUAAAGAGUGGACUGAAAGAAAGCGUCGAAAGGUGAUUGGUCGCAUGGUCACUGUUAGUCCAAAGGAAGGAGAAAGAUAUUAUUUGCGGUUGCUAUUAACGCACAUUGCUGGCCCGACCUCUUUUGAAGACCUUUUGACUGUUAAUGCACAGAAAUUAGGUUCUUUUAGAGAAGCUGCUUUAGCUCUUGGCCUUCUACAAUCCGAUGCUUAUAUAGAGGAGACACUUCAGGAAGCGAAAUGCCAUCUUCAUUGAGGCUGUUGUUUGCCACUCUCCUUGUGUACUGUUCUCCAACAAAUCCUAAAUCGCUUUGGGAAAAAUUUGAACAUGACCUUUCUGCUGACUAUCAUCACCAGCAACCACUCCAUGGCUUUUCUUCAGCUGAAAUUAGACAGAAAGUUUUGCAAGCUAUUAACAGUUCACUUGAACAAAUGGGGAAAAACAUUACUGAUUUUCACUUUGUCUCUGACGAUUUUACAUGCAAUUAUACUGAACGAUUAACAAAGGAGAUUGAAAGUGAGAAAAGCUUAGCAGUGACACCUGAGGAUCUGCUUUUGCCUCAGAUGCUAAAUCCUGAGCAGAAACAUGCCUAUGAUCUAAUCCUAGCAGCAUGUUUUUCCUUAGAAGGCCAGGCUUUUUUUGUUGAUGGCCCCGGCGGCACCGGUAAAACGUUCCUGUAUCGGUCGCUUCUCGCGACCUUACGAUCACAGAACCAUAUUGCAAUUGCAGUGGCAACAUCUGGAAUUGCAGCAUCAAUCCUUCCUGGUGGAAGGACAGCUCACUCAAGAUUCAAGAUACCACUUGAUUUCCAGAAAGGUAAGAGUUGCCAGCUUAGUAAACAAAGUUCUGCUGCAAAACUCAUUUCAGAAUCUAAGCUUAUUUUGUGGGAUGAGGCUUCAAUGGCUAAACGGGACACAAUUGAAGCCUUCGACGAAUUGCUGAAGGAUUUAAUGGACUCAGAUUUACCUUUUGGAGGAAAGGUAAUAGUUUUUGGAGGAGAUUUUCGACAGACUCUUCCUGUGAUUGAACAAGCAACUAAACAAGUUCUCGUCCAGUCGACCUUUCCCAUGUCUCCUCUGUGGCCUAAACUGCAUAAAAUCCGACUCGUACAAAAUAUGCGAGCUAUGUUUGAUCCUGAAUUUUCACGAUUCCUUCUAAGAGUAGGAGAAGGAAGAGAACCUAUUGAUGAUGAGGGCGAAAUAACUUUAUCAUCAGAUAUAGUUAUUCCUUAUUACGAUAAAGAGAAAUCCUUAGACAGGUUAGAUGGGUACAUACAAUCAAAUUUAGUUUUUGUUUAGCAACUAUUCCUCCUGCUUCCCAUUAUCAAUGCAGCUUCUUUUACGCAGGUUACUAGAAAGUGUCUUUCCAGAUUUGAACACCUAUUCGCAAGAUCCUUAUAACCUAAUAAAUAGGUGCAUCCUUGCGCCUAAAAAUAGCUCAGUUGAUGAACUCAAUGAAAUAAUGAUUAGGAGAUUUCCUGGAAGCCUUCACACUUAUAUUAGCUCCGACAAGACUGUUGAUCAGCGGCACCAAGAUGACUACGAAGACUUCCUCAAUUCUCAAAAUCCUAAAGGUCUUCCUCCUCAUAAGUUGCUGUUGAAGGAAAACUGUCCACUGAUGCUUCUAAGAAAUCUAAAUCCAGCUGAAGGCCUUUGCAAUGGCACAAGGUUAAUAUGUAGGGAACUUGGCCAGCACACAAUUUCUGCUGAAAUUGUUUUUGGCCAUCAUCGAGGAAAAAGAGUUUUCGUUCCAAGGAUACCUCUUCAAACGCCCGACAAUGACAAGAAUGGGAUUCCAUUCAUAAGAACACAAUUUCCUGUCCGCCUUUGCUUCGCUUUAACUAUCAAUAAAUCGCAGGGCCAAACUCUUGACUACGUCGGCAUCUAUCUACGGGAACCAGUUUUUUCUCAUGGCCAGCUGUAUGUUGCUCUGUCCAGAGCUAAAACCGCUGCCAAAGUUAAAGUUCUUCUUGUUCCUGGAACAUUUGAUGACACAAAAGUAGAUUGCAAAACUCGAAAUGUUGUCUUUGAUGAAAUUUUUAGAUUAGCUCAAGCCUAAGCAAUUUUCUGCUUGACUUAUCCUAAAGUAAGCUCGUCAUACAUAUUUUUCAAAUAUGGUUUACUGUGUUUUUUUUAUCUUUUAGUUCCUGUUCAUAUAUCCAUCGACUUGUGUUUUUGUAGGAUGGCUAACUUGCUGCCAAUGCGAGAUAUCAUACCUCACAUGAAAAAUUGGAGCUGCAUCGUCACUGUUCAGGAAAAGCAACAGAUCACAAGCUCAAUGGGAACGCCAACAAGAAAGCAGAAAUUUGUUUUCUACGAUUCAGAGGUUAGUUGAAGCCACUGCUCAAGUUUAGAUUCUAGCAUUUAAGUCAGCUAUUGUUUUGAUUUCUUUAUGCAGCAUUAACUUCACCUCUUUACGUAGGGAUCAAGAGUCGAAGGAAUCAUCUUCAAUGAUGACAUUCCUAGAAUGAGCAGCAUUUUGCAGGUCUAUAAAAAAUAUAAAAUAUCCAAUGCUGAGGUCAGAACCAUACCACCAAAGUUCCAGACAUCUGAGCUCACCGUUCAAUGGGUUAUCAGCACCAAGACUGUCAUUGAUGAAAUUGCUGAUGAUGAUGAAGUCAUGCCUGUAAAAUUCUGCUAUUCAAAGUUUACUGACUUAGUUCAAUACAUGGAUGACAGAACUAAAUCAGUCGGUAAGCCUUUCAAUGCUUUGCUCUUAAUAUGUUUACGUUCUGGCCAAAGUUUUCAUAAUCCCAUUCUCUGUAUUGUUCAUAGACGUGCUGGGAGUUGUGAUUAGUGCGCUUGAGAAGAAAACUGUUACCAAAAACUCAAAGCAAUCAGAUGUUCAGAAAUUUGUCCUUCUUAAUGAACAGCGAGAGCUUCAAUUCUCAGUUUAUGCAAAACUUCCCACUACCUUUAUUUCUUUUUCUCUACAACCAUUUUUUUCAGUUUGUAACUGUUAACUCUUAUCACGAGCACAGAUCACAGACGGUGCUCCUGUCUCUAUGGGAUAGUUUUCUGGAUAAUGAAGGACAGGAAAUAUUAUCUAAACUUCACAGCUAUCCUGUCAUCAUUGCUCGCAGAGUUAGAGUGAACAACUAUAAUGGUCUGUUCCAGUUUUAGCUUUUAACGUUUUUACUCUUUAGCUUUUUCUUCCUGCCUGCAACGCCUGUAAAGAAAUGUGUACUUUACUUUCGCCAUACAGGAGUCGCACUUGGUACUUGGUUUGAUUCAGCGAUUCUUGUUGAUCCACCUGUACAAGAGGCAAGAGAACUCAAGAACUGGUGCGAUAUAUUUUGAAUCACCGACCUCUAUACAGUUUAGCUCCAAAUUCUGUCCACACUUUCAGUCUUAAUACUUUUUAUGUCUCCUUUCACCCAGGGCAUUGAGGAACACUAAGUUGCUUAAAGAAGCUGCCGAAAAAAAGGACUAUAUUAAAUAUAAUCCACAGCUGUCAUUAAAAGCAGAUCAGAAAACUACCUGGAUUUGUAACAUAACUUCGUCACAAAAGGUUUGGGACUCGAACAUGUUACCUGUUUUCAUUCUCUUUUCAUGUGCACUCGUCUUUUUGUACUCAUGCUUGCUCGUCUUUAAGACUAUAUGGGUGAAGGCACAGUUCUCUUUUGAGCAUAUCUUCCAGAAAUAUUGGUACAUGAGCUGUAAGAACUGUUGCCGAGCCACAGCAGCAGCCUAUCAAGUUGAGUUUACCUGUAACUCGUGCAAAGAAAAACAUCCUGCAGUACCUAGGUGCUAAAAAAAUACACUUGCAAUAUAUUGGUUUGUAUUUGCUGCUAUCUAAUGCUGUUUCAGAUAAAAAAAUAUGAAUUCCUGCAUAUUGUGUCCCUAUUUUUAGAUGCCGCUUUGAUGUUGAUUUGAUCGAUAGCACCGGCGUGAUACCAGCUUCAAUAUUUGGCGAAUUAGCAGAGAACUUACUGACGUUUAAUGCACUGGAAGCAAUGCAACAUUUUAAUGAGGUUCUUGCUCCCUAAAUCUUGAUGAUCAGGGUAUUCUAUACUUUUUAUUCUCACUUUUCAUUCCCUUAACAGAAUGUUGCACUUCCCCUAGAGUUUGUCCACAAGGAGCUCAGUUCAAAGACGUUUCUGCUUCACAUCAAACCUGUGCAAGCGCAACUGGCAGACGCAAGGCAGCGCUACACAAUUAUAUACUACUCUGAAGUCAAUGCUGGUGCCGAUUCUGCGCAGUUAACAAGUGAAGCAGAGGAUGCCCCUCCUUUUCCUAGCACAGAAUCUGACACUAUACAGCUCGGGGCUCCAGGUAACUCACAAGCACUACACAGUUUAGCUUCCAGCAUUUAUAUUUUACUUCAACUGAAUCAUGUGACAUAUCAAACAAAUAUGGUCGCAGGAGAGAGUAGCGCUCGUUCAAAAGUUUGUGUUCGCCUUUCUAAAAGGUUUGAUGAACCACAGAGCACUGAAGCUGAGGAAGAUGAAAAUGCAGAAUGCAGCUCUAGCAAAAAACAAAGACUCAAUUGACUGUUUCUUUUGCCCCUUUUGUCGACCAAAUCUCUGCUUUCUAUGCCUCCCAUGCUAUCCUAUAUUUUUGCAAAGUUGCUUUUGUGUUCCUCAAAGAGUCAUUGAUGUAUUAGUUAAACCUGUCUUUUGUUCAUGAAUGCCCCUUAAACUGCUUUUGAUGUUAAACCUUUUACGUUAGCUGAUAAUCUGCAAUCAGCACCAGCUAUGUAUUUUGAAUAGAUGUUUUACAGCUGUUAUGUACUGGUCACAGGGUCCUUUGAAUUCACCUUCUGCUCUAUUUAGCUUAUUAACUGACCUUGUGGUGAAUGUACUAUCUGUUAUUCGCCAGCUUUUACUGAAUGCUUUUAUCAAAGCUAUUCAAAUUUUCUCCUUCACAUAAAUCUCCUAUUAAAUAUCGCACCUACUAUUGUUAGCUCCACUCACUCUGCUCAGCAUCUCAGACUUAGUAUAUCUAUUAGCCUUAGAUUGUGUAGUUGUGCAGACUUCGGUUCUUUUACAGAAACUCUACUUUUUUCGUCACCAUAACUGUGUUAUACAAUAGAUAUUACCCUGCUCUGCAUUCACUUCUUAGCUGUAACCUUACCAGUCACUUCUUUUAAUAUUAACCUGUUCUACUUCUUUGAUGUGACGAAGCAUUAAAGCACUCAGCUCUGAGAAGAACUAAAGCAAGCCUGACCAUAAACAAAUUUACUAAAAAACUCUUUUACCCAUUCAUUGUUUAUAUAUAGCUGCCUCUUGAAUGGCUCAUACAUCCGAAGCAAAACACUUCAAGUUAACCUUUCUACUUGCUUCCCUCAGAUUAUCCCUAAGGUUCACUUGUUCCCUUUGCCUUCAUAUGACUGCAUCUUUCCCACUUUUUUAAAAUUAGCUUCCCCGGUCACAUCAAUGGCAGAAGGUCCAUCUACCUAUGGACUAACAAAUAGUAGCUCAAUGGCCUGUUGUUUUCUACUGAAAUGCAAUCAUAGAGGAGAGGUCUAAUUUUCUUCUAUGCAAUAGAAAUUACUUGUUAGCAAUGUGCAGUGUAGAUAUAUAUGUUCAUUUGACAUUUCCUAUUUUUAUCUCCUAAAAUGCAGAUUCUACCUGCUCAAUUCAAGGUAUUACUUACCCAGCACCAGCAUAAUACAAUUAUUCUCAAGCACGGAACUUAUAAAUGGCCUGUUGUAGUCGGUGAUCGUUCAUUUCAAGAAGGCUGGGAUGAAUAUUACCAAGAAAAUAUUGCAAACAAACAUGAUAUGUUGCUUCUACGACAUGCUGGCAAUCUCAUCUUUGAUGUCAUACACUUUUCCGAGCUACAAAAAUAGGUUUACCUAUCUUGGACAGUCCCAUUACCAAAUUUAUUGCAGCCUGUUGGUGCUCAUGCACAAGGUCAGUUUAUACUAACCUUUAUAUCAUGCAGUUAGUUGUAGUAAAAUCUUCUCUAAUUCAUUAUCUGCUAAAUAACUUCAGAUAGUGCCGCUUCUAUAAAAAUUCAGCAGUUAGUUGCUUCAUCAAUAAACCCAGAUUUAAACCAGAAUCUCGUUGAUUCAGUUUGCUUCUAUCAAACCUUCAAUACAGCAACCCCAAACACAUUGGUAAUCUAUCCAUACACUGUUUCUUUUUCCAUCUCUUACUGCAUUACUUUGAACAAAAAAUAUAUAUUAUGUUCUCGCAUCUGACUUUCAUUCCUUUUGUAUCAGAAAAUUCCAAGAUUCGUCGAUCGCUUUAUUAAUGAACAAAGAACUCCAACACUUCUUAUUAGGACUGGAGAGAUAAUUACAUCAAUAGGUGUAAAAGGGAAAAAGCUAAAAACAAAUUGGAGAAGCUUCGUUCUUCAACAUCAGUUACAGCACAAUGAAGUCCUUGUCUUCAUUCCAGAAUCAUCAACUACCUUCACGCUUGUAGUCUUUGACGAUAAUGGAGUCGAGAGAGUCUUUCCAUGGUCUUGCACCUUCAAAAUUUAUUCUAAUUGUCCUACUUGUACCUAACUUCUGCACUAUGUUUUCUCUGUAACCGAAGUUCCCUGUUACCUUCAACCUCUCCAUCGCAUAUGUUUCAGUUUUUUAUUUCGUUGAACCGCAUUCUUCAUUCCUCCUAAAUAUAACUGCAUUGCAAUGAAAUUAAACAUGUAGCAAAUAUAUUAUGAAUGCCUAACAUCUAUUAUCAGCUUCAAUUUUAUUCACCAAAAAUGUUUUCUUUUCAAUCUUUUCCUUGAUGCCGUGUUGAAUGCAAACCUUUAUUUACUCGCAUUUUCCUGCAACCUGGCUUAUUUAAAAAUUUAAUCAUUUCAUAGCCAAAGAACUUAAAUAUACCUCAUGCGGUUUGUGAUAUCUUCACUUGAAAAUUGGGCAUUUUCUGGGCAGCAUGGAACCAACACCGCGCAUCGCGCGGUGAACCCCUCCUAGUUUAUUUAAAGAAUGUAUAUAAAGUGGGAAUGGAGAUUGCCAAAACAUGGUCGUCCUCCCAUGUGCAGUGCACAUGCAUAUUUUGUAAGAAUUUGGUUUUUUUAGGUAAAAUUCUUUUGUGUCUUGGAACUCAAAGGGAAAAAAAUAUAUAAAAAAGCUCUUUUUUGUGUCUUGGAACCCAAAAGAAAUCAAGUAUGUCUAUAUGAAAAGCAUAAAAAAGGAACGAUGCUUUAGCUUUAAGGGGCCCGAGGCAAAAGCCUCGUUUUAUUCACCUCCUUCACGUCUGAUAGGUUGCAAUUUUAUCAUUUAUUUUAUUAUUAAUUUUCCCUAUUACCUGACCUAAUGUGGAUUAAUUGCUAGAUUCUACUCACUUUUGAUAUUUUGCAUUUAUUUCAGGGAGUAGAACGAAAAUAUAAUAACAGGUGCUAAUUUGGCAAGAAAAGAGUUCAGAUGAUAGAGUUUGUCCUAGGGGCAUUUUUGGAACAACAAAACAUGAGCCCUUGUUGGGCAAAUUGGGCCGAAGUCUUCAUUUUCCCGCACAGGAGCCGCCGCAAGGGCACUACUUUAUAUAGAAAACUUGCGCAGGAAAAGAGGGAGCUGCUUCCUCUCUGGAAGGGGGCCGCCGCACAAGGCCAGACAGUAGCAAUAGGCCAUUAGGAUAGGAACUAUUAGAUUGCAGAGAACAAGCACUAUCUUUUUCUAGCUUCACUUUGACUUUUCUUCCUAGCUUUUCAUUGCUUUUCUCCACGCAUGUCAGGAGGAAGCAAUUCUUAGUUUUAGCUUGUGACUUUUCCUUUUUCGUCUUUUAGUGGUUUGCUUCCUGCGGAUGUCCAGACCGAAGGAAAACUAUGAAGUACCUUUUGUAGCUUUCUUUCUUUAUUGAAUAGACGAAUUGAAUUCGCCCAACUUCCGAAUUGAUGGCCGCAGCUUUUGCUUCAAUUUCUUGUGGAUUUUGUUCAUCAACUAUGAACUAAUUUCCUCACCCUAGUCAAGGGACAACGGAUGCUUUGGGUCGCCUAAAAUUGUGAGAUCGAUUUAAUUUUAUCUUUUUCUUUUAUUUAUUGGUAUUCGCAUAUUUUCUGAUUACAGUGCUUAUGAUUGUUUAAUUAAUUGGUUGUCUUGGAUCCGGAUAAUUAGUUAAUUUGAUAAUCUAUUAUCAAUUGGGACGUUAAAUCCGUAAUUGUUUAAUUGUCUCAAAAUAGUGAUAACUGGCAUGAUUGGGUUUGUGUCAGGGGAAUACGCGGGCUAAUCUAAAAUAACCCUGGUAGUGCGUUAUUUGGUUAGAAUAGGGCUCCUCUAAUACAUAAGGCAAUUGGGGAAUUAAAUCUUACGGGCGUACCUAGGAUUAUUUCUCAAUUAGAGCAGUGAUUAACGGGCGUACCUUAAUCACCGACACAGUAAGGAGGGGUUGACUGCCAUCGCUUGUUUGGUAGUUAUAACCUAUUUAUUGAUGAAUAAUUGGAAUUGCCUUUGCUUAUCGAUGAUCAAUUAGGUGAACCAUUGUUGAAAUUAUUUCUUGGCUAGAUCCUUAAUUACCACUUAUUAGAUUUUAGUAAAUUGUUAUUUAAUUUCUAGUUGGCUAUUUUAUUUUUAUCAUUUUAUUUUUAGUUGGAUUGGUUAAAUUGUCACUCCUGAUAUAAAACACCCUCUUUGUCACUGUGAACUUGAAAAGAAACAAUUACUCCCAGUCCCUGUGGAUUCGACCCUGCUCACCACUAUCUACAGAAAUUAUUUUUAGUUUGAGCAAGUAUUUAUGAUUGCACAGGCUUCGACAACCUGUCAACACCUCUCCAUUUUUCCCUCUCUAAAAACCCCAGACAAUUGUUAUGACCCACUGCCAUGAUCAUCAUCUCUAAGGAUCCUUUGCAACGGUUUCCUUUUGGAAUUAGUUUACUUGGAGAAUUAACGAAAGCGAGUGGAACUGGUGGAAUGUGUCAGCAGUGGUCUCAGCAAAUUAAUACAGUCCGGAUUUGGGUAUUGCUGUACUUAUUAACUUGGUGGCACGUGGGAUUGAUGUGAUUGUUUUGGCAAGCUUAUAGUGGUUAUGGCGAAAAGGUUUGAAGGUAAAUCCUGCCUAGAGCCGGUGAAAAUGGAGGCAACUACGGCAACAGUACCAAUGGCUCAAUUGUGUUAUUUAGAAUGAUCCAUUGAACGUUACAGGGCAAGUUAAUUCAGAUGGGAAUGAUUUGUCACUCUUGCUACAUUUGAUUCACAUGUAUUUAGAUUAGAUUAGCUUCUUGUUUUUUUUUUUUUUUUUUAACUUUCUCAGAGUUGAGCGAGGGUAAAAAGCAAUUGUAACGGAGCAAGCAUGAGUUUUGCUCAAUUUCCAAAGAUUGUGGCCAACUUGCAAGUAGGAUAGACUGAUCAGCUUGCCAGUGUAAAAUUAGUUGUCAUGUUAGCUACUAUUUAAGUUAAGGAUAAAUGAUGCUUUUCUUAUCAAGAUAGAUAAAAUAAAGUUUAGAAUUAUUUGCUUUAGACAAGUUUCAUUCUUGUUAAUCGUUUGCCUAUACCACCAUUUACCCAUUUGUUGGCUUCCAGGUUGCAUCCAUCUUUUGCUAAGAUGCUUCAUUAUAGUACCGCUUCAUUCUUUCCGAACGCCUAAAACAUGUAUGCAAUUUAUUUUCAACUACUGAAUUAUACUAUUAAAAAGUAUUCUCCUUAAGAAAUUAACAACUAAUUAAGCACAAUUUUUUAUCAUUAUUAACUUUUAAUGGGCAUAUUCAAAAAUAUUUUUCCACCGUGCGCAAGCACGGUCAUAUUUUGCUAGUUUAAAUGUAAUUAAAGGCAAGGGGAUUGCCGCUUAAGCUACUCAAUCACAACAUGUACUAGUAAUAAGCAUUUAGCUGUACAUGUCUUUCGAGGUGGACAUAAGGUGUAAACUAUUUAGCCAAACCUGCUUUUUUUUUUAUUUAAUAUUUUCAGGUUCAUUCAUUUAAGAUACGUUUGACAAAAUUGAAAUUUCAAAUCUGACGUUUGAAAACCGACAUCUGAAUCCGUUAAAUUAUUAAAUUAUAAAUACUGAAAUCAUAAUAUUUGAGCUUAUUUUGCAUUAAAUGAAAUCCAACAUAAUUUGGAACCAUUUAAUUAAUUAAAAUGCUCAAUUUCUUGUUAUCAAACAUGUCUAGAAAUGUUAAAGAUCUGAAUAUAUUAAGCAAGUUUAAGUGCUGAAGUGAGUUAUCAAAUAGGGUUUUAUUUUGAUCUGCUACUUUUUUUUUUCCGGAGACGACAAUUGUAGUAUAUCCUAAUCUAUUCUACACUAGGGGGAGGGGGUGGAUCUAACGAGGUCCAGGGAUAAUCCGGAAAGGACUGAACUACCACCGGACCAAAUGGGUGCACUACGUACUCGUCUGGGUUUUUUGAAACAAAUCCACAUUUAAUUGUGGUGAUUGGUGGGAUGGUGGCCACAAGCCCAAAGGCUGAUGGUUCCUUAAUUUCGGAGUUCUGAUGGCAUCCGCUGCAUCAGUGCUGGUAUGAUCGCAACCAAGAAGGAAGAUUUGCUACUCACUAUUAUUGUUCCCAAUGUCUGGUACGAAUGAACGAAAAAUCGGACCUCGAUAUGGAAGGAAAAUCGAGAACAGCACAACUAGCAAUUCAUGUCAAUAGCAAUCACAUGGUGUGCUUAACUCUAAUCGAUAUGGCACAAACAUAAAAAGUAGUCUUGUCUUUCCGGAGGAAGUCCAGGAUCCAAAAUAUAUAGAAGGGAAAGGUGGGGGGAUGUAGGAGGAAUGAAAAUUUUGUGCAAAGAGAGGGAGAUGGAGAGGGCCUAGUCCUUGGAUAAACACCAAAGCCGCGAAGAGGAAGGGAGGAGAAGUGAAGAAAGAGGAAAGACAUUUGUAGAGGGUGUAAAUGAGUCUAAUAAAAUCAAAUGUCAUAGUAUUUAAACUUGUUUAGUUAUUUUAACGAGUUUGAAAUUUUAUUAAAAUUUAAAUAAUUUAUUUGUCAAAUCGAAAUUAAAUAAUUUUUUUCAACGAAUAUAAAAUAUUAUUCAAUUUUAAAUUAAUUAAUUGAUGAAUCAAAAUUGAAUGAACUUUUAUCAAAUAAAACUCGAUUCGAAUAUUGAAUAGUUUGACUCCUCUUCCAAUCCUAUACAUUUGUUUGGCACUUCGGAUGGUGGUGAGUGAAAAAGGCUUUUUUUUUCUCAGGCCUAUGGCCGUAGAUAUAGGAGAGAGAAGGAAACGGCAGCGGCGAUACAGUGAUAAGGGAAAGGCUACUAGGGUUUGAUUUGAAGCAGGAGGUCAAACCCAGACGACAACUAAUGAAACGCCACUGGAUUUGUUGAAAUUUACAGCAUAACUGCUUUCAUGAAAAUGCAACUGAAGUUGCUCGAAAUUACGUUAGGCAACUCAUACUUUAGUGUAGUGAAAAUAUGAUAUGAUUUGAGGUACAAAAUUCAAAAGGACAAACCACUCUUACCGCAAAAUUCAAUCGGAUUACUCUUACAGACCACUAUACUUUUUCUUAUAACCUAAAUGACAAACUGUAGGCACACAAGAAGUAGAACUGCAGAAGAAGAACCAAAGAGAGUAAAAGUCAAUCAGGUAAUGAUGUUCAAUCCUAUGUCAGUCAUGUUUCCUAAUUCUUCUGAUUGUUGCUAGCAUUUGACAUUGACUCACUGCUUGUUCAGAAGUAUAAAGUGCAAUUUUUGUACUUUCAUAUGCAAGUUCCCCCCCCCCUCCUCCCCCUUUCUUUCUUGAGGAUACCAACUAGACAGCAGAAAAAAUUACACAUAUACCUUUAAACCUUGGUGUUGCUGAAUUGUCAGAUGAUAUAUAUAUAUAUAUAUAUAUAUAUAUAUAUAUAUAUAUAUUUGAAAAUGGAUGCUCAAAUGCCUGAGAGUUGAAUCAGAUGAUGAAUUUGAUUUUUGCGCUAUAAAAUGGUAAAAUCGUGCAAACCACGAAUGCAAGGUUGCCAUGCACAUUUUGAUAGACCUAUUUUGAGCUGACACUAGCUUAUAGAAGCCUCUAAAACUCGACAAUCCUUUAGAGGAUCCUGAAUUUGGAUGUUAACCACUUCCGUUUACCCCAGACCUUCAUAAUGGAGUUAGUCCGUUUUGAAGUAUUUACAGAUGCUUCUACAUGAUUGAAGGUUUUGGAUGAUAACAGACAACUAAAGUCCAGAAAGGCUUGAAGAAAAAUACUGCUAGAAAUCUCAUUGUGGAUGUGUAGGAAAACUUUUGGUUUGUAUUGACACAAUUUACGGUGUAAUAAGGUCUUUAGGUCAAUCAUUUAUGUUGUGUGCCUGGCGCUCCAUUUGAUACCCUCAUUUUAAAGACAAUGCAUCCAUGUUUCUGUUAGAAGUCUCAAAUGGGGUGGGGUUCUUAUACAGAUUUUCACCUUUUUUCACCUGUUGUUCUUGAGAAAUUUUGUAUAUGACGAAAGCCUAAUCCAUCUUGUGCCAUCGUCUAUGUCUUUGAUGCUGGAAUUUGUCCUUGCUUCCUGUCCAGUUUCUCUUCUUUACAGCUGGAUUGCUAUUGUGAAUAAAGAGAGGAAAGGAGAGGAAAGAACAAAAAAGUUGCAUGGCCUUCCCCAUUCCAGACAGAGUAAAGAGGCUAUGGGAUGAGUGGAAUCUUCGUGCUGCUGUUCUCAUCAGUCUUUUUUUCCAAGUGGUGUUAAUAUGCUGUGCGGCAUCACGUAAAAGAACAGGAAACAUGACAGUGACUGCUACCAUCUGGUUAUUUUAUCUGCUUGCUGAUUGGUUUGCAGCUUUUGCUGUUGGACUCAUCUCCAACGGUCAAAGUAAUAAUUGUCCUGAGAGAUUUGCAGUAAAUCAAGACCUUGCAGCAUUUUGGGCUCCAUUUCUAUUGCCACAUCUUGGUGGCCCUGAUAAUAUUACCGCCAUCUCGCUUAAAGACAAUGAGCUGUGGAUUAGGCAUCUGCUUGGGCUUAUCACUCAGUUUUCUGCUGUUGCUUAUGUUUUUUCACAAUCCCUGCGUAACGUAUUCUAUGUCCCCACAAUACUCUUGAUUUUUUCUGGAACUAUUAAAUAUGCUGAGCGAACACGGGCUUUAUAUUUAGCUUGUUUGGGUAAUAUUAAGGAUUCUAUGCUUCCACUGCCAGAUGCUGGACCAAACUAUGCAGCUUAUGGUGGAGUACUCAUCUAAGGAAGCUGCUCAAGUUCCAGUUGAGAUAGAGAUAGUGAAGGAACAUGACAGAGGCACUCAGACUUCUGCAAAUCCAGAAGAAGAGAAUUUGAGUCCUGAAGACAUCAGUGAUAUAGAUAUUGUGCAAAAUGGGUAUGAAUUGUUUACCACUUUUAGGGGCCUGAUUGUUGACCAUAUGUUUAGCUUUCAUGAGCGCAGUAAGAACAGAAAAUUUUUCUUCCAAAGGUCUGCAUUUGAUGCUUUCAGAGUAAUGGAGGUGGAGCUCAAUUUCAUAUAUGAUACUCUCUACACUAAGAUGGCUGUGGUACACAGUAAAAAAGGUUAUUGUCUUCGAUUGAUCUGCUCUAUACUUAUAGUGCUUUCUUUUGAGAGAUUUGCAUCACAUCAUAAACCCGAUAUUAACCAUUUUGAUGUUGCUACUACCUACAUUUUGCUUUCGGGUGCUGUUCUCUUGAAUUUUGUAGCCUUUACUAAGCUCAUUUUCUCAGACUGGACCAUAGUCAAGCUUAAGAAUCUCACAGUCAAAACAACUGUAUAUGCAGUCCGUGAAAAGCUGUCAUGUUCCAAAAGGUGGUCUAAUACCCUUUGGCAAUGUAACUUGAUAAACUUUUGUGUGAAUCAGCGUUGGAGAUGGUUAGAUAUUGCAGCUGAAACCGUUGGAAUCAAGGAUGUUCUUGAUGAAAUGUACUACAAGGAGGACAUUGUCAUUCCAGAGGACUUAAAGGAUUUCAUCUUUAUUGAGCUCAAGGUUAAAGCUACCAAAGCAAAAACCACAAAUGUUGCUAAAGAGAUAUACUCAGCAAGAGGUGAUUUGGUACUGUUGGAUUACACCAAUCACUACCCAUAUCCCAUCAUUUCAUCAAGUGUAGGUGACGAAGUUGAAUACGAUGAGAGCCUGUUGCUGUGGCAUAUUGCCACUGAGCUAUGCUAUUGCACGAGUCCUGAUGAUGGCAAUUCCAAUCGCAAUUAUUGUAAGCUUAUAUCUGAUUAUAUGUUGUAUCUUUUGGUUAUGAGGCCUAAUUUGAUGUCUGCAGUUUCUGGCAUUGGACAAAUUCAAUUUCGGGACACAUGUGAAGAAGCUAAGAUGUUCUUCAGCAGGUGGAAAUCAGAACUAAUUAUAAGAACCCCAGACUUGGGAAUUUGCAGAAAAUUAAUCACCUGCUGCAUAGCCCAGAAUGGAUUAACUGGAAGAGAAUCAAGUUCAGCAAAUCGAAAAAGAAAUGCAUGCGAAAAGCUACUUAAUGUAAAUGCUCUUGUUAAAGCCAUUGAGGUGAAGGGAGAUAGAAGCAAAUCAAUAUUGUUCGAUGCCUGUAGGCUUGCAAAGGAUUUGAAAAAGUUGAAUGAUAAGAAAAGGUGGGAGAUAAUGAGUAAAGUGUGGGUGGAACUGUUGUCCUAUGCUGCCAGUCACUGCCGAGCAAAUGCUCAUGCUCAGCAGCUCAGUAAAGGUGGUGAGCUCAUUACUUUUGUCUGGAUACUGAUGGCUCAUUUUGGAUUGGGAGAGCAAUUCCGAAUUGAGGCGGGACAUGCAAGAGCAAAACUGAUUGUCGGAAAAUAGCAACUAAGAGUGACCAUUUUCAUUCUAGCUGUAAAAUGAAAGAGUCCUCCAACUUGGAUGUACUCCUUGACUUAGGUGAGAUUUGUGCGUUGCAAAAGACUUCCCUUAUCCCUUUUUUUCUUUUGAGUUUCAAUUUCCGAGCCACAAUUCACACUAGUGCUUUUUAUAAGAUGUGCUGAUUUAUCUUAUGUUUCCUGUGGCUUUGGUAUCACGUGAGCAUUAUGUGAAGUUUUUUCAUAUGUCAUUCACACACAUUAGGAUGUGUGUUCCAAUAUGUUGCCUGUGCUUUUCUUUCUCUGUUUGAAAUACGAAAAUACUUUUAUGACAAAAACAUGAAAAGCUGGAUUACCAAUAUUUCAUGGGGAGAAGGAAUUGCUGACUGAAUCUCAUCUCUCCAACCAAAUAACUUGUGAAAGGCAUAACAGGUGUAAGUAGUACAGUAGUAUCCGUCUUGUGAAACACAGUCACCUCAGUUCAUCUUCCUCAUUUGAUACUGAUACUGACAUCUUUUGUAGAACUUAAAACUUACACUUUUCCUCUUUUAGCGAAUCAACAAUCAGUUAUUCCAUUUUUCCGAACGAAUAUUCACAUCAUUUGAGCUGAUUUCAUCGCUUUUCUCAGCUCCAUGUUAGCUAAGGACGGAGGUAAAAUAGAAUUCAACUGAGGAGGUUCUCUUAUAAAACAAAGAAUAAACAAAAUGAAGUUUCUAAUUCUUAUAAUCUUAUUAUGAUUAUCAUUAUUUUGUUUUUUCGGUUUUUCGGUUUCGACCCUUUCUUUAGUGAGUGCAGACUGCAGACCAUAAUACACGUCAAGGCAACUGCAAUGCUAGUGGUAAAAAGUAAGAUAAUGUUAUUUUUCCAGGCCAAACCAUUUUUUUUAACCUCCCACCCUUCCCACUCCCAAUUGUUGAGUCCAAUAUUUGAACCCUCAACCAAAUAGCGGGGGAAGUCCCUGACUACUUGGCCAACUUAGAUUCUUCUGUCUGAGAAAACAAGUUUCAUCGGCUAAAAGACUCGCAUCUGAAAAGUGUAACAUGUUGUUUUCAUAGGUAUCACGAACUAUGUCUUCUGGAAUUGUGCAGAUGUCAAAAUGUCAAUUCUUUUGGGCUGAAGAAACAAAUGACCAUUUCUUGUCUUCCAGCAUCAUGAUUUACACAUUUGCGAUUUUUUCCCUCUUCUAGUAGUGCAGGAUCUAGUUUGACAUUGACUGAUGGCGAUUGUACUAUGAUGCAUUGACAGCAAAGGGGGGAGGUGGUGCGUGUCAUUUCCAGCAGAAUUUGCUGGGAUGAUAUUAAAUGUGCAUAUAAGACCAGGCGAAUAUCAACCCUCCUUUUACUAUGUUAGGCUGCCUGAUUUAUGCUAUCUGUUCAUUUACCAUUGACCAAGCGCGGCUCCAUGGUAGACGAACGGUUUAUUUUCAUCAAUGGUGUGCCAUUGUCAUGUUCUCAAUUUGCUCCAUCAGAUUGCCUAUUGCUUGUCUCGCUUGCGACAUGGAUUUUUUCAUAUGUUUGUCAAAACUUUUUAGAUAUAAGUCAUAUAACUAAACUUUUUCGCUAAUGCCCAAAUCCAACUUUUUCGCUGUUGAUUUUGUUUUCCUUUUUGGGUAUAACAGGUAGGCAUCCAAUCUUAUGGUUAAAGAGCAUAUAAGACCCACACGAAUGGAUAGGCAUGAUGAUUAGUAACUGGAGCCAUGAGUGGCUAUAACAAUUCAAUUUAGUUCUUCUGCGUACUCUUUUUGUUGACUAAUAUAUUUGCAAGAUCCAGAAAGGUGUAUUUGUGGAGAAUGGGCUGGGACGGUUGUCAGGUGCCACCGUCCCAAAUGAUGUAUGGGAAAGAUUUUCUCAACAAGGCAAAUUUUGAUAAUGUGCAGCCAAAAGCAAGUCACAUAACUUUGAAAUUACAAACAUAUAUGGAUCUACACGAAUAUUAAUUAGAUACAAUGUCAUUGUUUCAAAAUUGAAUAAGUAAUUUACAUUGAGUUACAUUUUGUUUAGAAAGUGUUGUACAACUUAGGCAAGUUAAGAACUGAAAAUCUUUUAAACUUACAUUUUGUUUAUCCGUUCUUCUUUCAACUUACAUUCAGCUGUAAUGGCUGAAUUUAAAGUGGAAGCGAUGCCUCUACUUCAACUUCAACAAUGUUGGAAACAGUUAUUGUCGUUAGCUACCUCAACUCCACACCAUUUAUACAUAAUGUGCUUGCUGUGUAUUCCAGGCUGGGAUUUGGACACAUUGCAGUGUUGGAUUGUGGUGGGGUUUAUUACCAAAUCAAUGGAUUAAAUCCUUUAUAUAAAGGAGGCAAACGAACAAUUUUAUUACACUCAAAAUAUAUUUAAUAACAACACACAAAAUAAAUUUAUAUUGGACACUAAUAAUUGAGCCUCACUCUUGAGAAUAGUUGCUCUAAUAUAUCAGUGCCUCACUCUUGAGAUAUCUGCUCAAACACUCACUCAACAAUUGAACUCGUUCAUUUCCUAUCUUUCACUUGAGCUUUGGUGCCCUUCAACUGAGGAAAUGGCAUUUAUUUAUACUAGUAAGGAUCCUACAAGCGGCUGUAAUUUUUCUCUUCUCAUUCAAUGCCCAAUUGCUAGAAAAUCCGGUGAACUUCGCGAGUAAAUCUGGUUCAAGAUACAAGCACGAACCAAGUUGAUCAGCCGCCCACGUACAGCUUCAAGACUGGACUUUGGCAAUUUGUCUAUUGCCAAUAAAUGAGUAAAACAAACACUCCAAAGCCAUAAAAUUUAUUCUGAACACCCUAACUAAAGGUUCAUCACUUUUUAGCACAAACAACAUUUUCAAAAAGCAUAUUAAUUAAUAAACCUCAAUGAUAGAUCUCAAUCCCAAUACUGCCGUUAUCUUAUAGUCACUGAAGCCUGCCUCCGUGAAAAGUUUCGCCCAAUCUUUCUCAUUUCUUUGCCUUCCUUUGAGUAGAACCAUCACUGCCAUAUCAAAGAACAGUUGGGUCUCAAUCGCCUCAUGAUCAUCUUCCCCUUUCUGCAGACUUUUGCAGAACAUUUCAACAAUUAUCACUUUGCCUCCUUUUUCCUUGCUAGGAAUUGCUUCUUUACAUUUUUUUAGUAUUUGUACACACUCAUCAUCGCUCCAAUCAAUCAAUAUCCACUGCUUGAUUGCAAAACCAAUCAAUUUUUUUGUUAGAAACAUUACAACCCAUUUAAAGCUUUUUGCGUCAAAAAGCAAAAACAAAACUAUUCUCUUAUAGUACCAAACACACGCAAUCAAUUUGACGUUUAAAACUUUGUUCUUUUUUUUCCCCUCUUCAUGAUGCAGUUCUUAGAUUAAGCAUAACCUCAAUUUCUACUACUCAAUCUUACUUUUGAAAUUGACACUUCUUAUAAUUGGUGAAUUUUAAUCUUAUGAUCUCAGGCAAUAAGGAUAAAAAUCUAAAUAACACUACUAUAAAAAAAAUUUGUCAACUAGAAAACGUGCAACAUCGAUUUCAUACCUUCAUUAAAACAGCAUCUGCAGGAGGAAUGGCUUCAAACUUGUUACCUCCAACAUAGGCCAAGUUCUUACUACUCUCCAAGCCAUCAACAACAUGAGGAAGAUCAAACACAGUGCAUUUCAGGCGAGGGAAAGCAUCAGCAAUUGCCUUAGCAAAGGUUCCAGUUCCACCUCCAACAUCUACCAAUGAAUUCAAACCCUCAAAAACAUGCUUACAAUCUUUGGUCACCACGCUACUAACCAGCCGGGUAUCACUAGCCACUGCUUCGUUAAAGAAUUGAUUAAGCCGCGGCUCAUGGCUUGCAAGAUCAUAAAGUGAGCUGCCAUGGCAAGUAUAAAACGGGGUUUCAUCACUAUUCUGAAACCACUGGCUGAGAUGGUGCCAUGGAUCAGUCAAGGUGGGAUCGAGAAUGGCUAGUAAAAACGGCGUCAUGCUAAAAGGGUUACUCUUUAAAAGGAGUUCAGAAGCAGAAGUAAGCAGAUAACCCUUUUGAUUAUCAUUCUCAUUUCCAGGAAUCUUUGCUUCAAUGAAGAAGCCUGAGUGGAUCAAAAUCUGCAUGAGACGAUAAACGAAAGGGGCUUUUGCAUUCUUGAUGGGAAGAGCAUCAAUCAAUUGAUCAAGGGUCAUCGGCUGGCCAUGUUUGUGAAUAACGUCUGGAAUGCCUAAUUGAAUUGCACAUUUGACGGACAUAGAAUUUAUGAAGUUGAAUAUAUGGUUCCAUAUGUGAGCUUGUGCUUGAAAAAGCUCACCAGUAUGAUCACCAAUAUUUCUAGCCAAAUCCAUUUUUUUGUUUGAAAUUCUAGGAUUUUUUUUCGCUUUUUGGUUGGGAAUUACAAGUAGAACUCGCAUUUUAUAGGCCGGGUAUGGGAUUCACAGGAAUAACGUUGCAAUAGUUUCUUCUAAUAAUAUGACAACAACCGGUUAGAAAAAUGAAUAAACUAUGAAAUCAACUCAGAAACAAGGAUCCAAAGGCAAUAAAUGAACUCAAUUAUUAAGUGAAUCUUUGAGCAGAUAUGUCAAGAGUGAAACUCUAAUAAAAUUAGAACAUAUAUUCUCAAGAUCUAGACUCAAUUAUUAGGCGUCUAGUAUAAGUUAAUUUUAUGAGUAUUGUCAUUAUAUACACCUUCAAUGGAAUAAAACUAUUUAUUUGCCUCAAUUAUUAGAAGAUUUAAUCCAUUAAUUUGAUACUAGAGUCCACCACAAUUCAACAGUCUUUUCCUGACACACGUAAUUUUGGAUAGAUUUCGUCCUAAUUGUAUGAAUGGAGAAAGGAAAGUUUAUACAAGUGUUAGACUAACCAAAAUCCUCGCAAGAAAAAAAUAUAAAGUUGUAAAAAAUUUGGAUUUGGAUAUUUGAAGAAUUUAAACUUUGGCCGAUCAUAUUAUUUUGAACGCCAGAAUGGGCUGCUAAAUUUGUUGUGGUGCAAAUAGUCUGUCAUUUCGACUUACAUUGCACCAUUUUGGCCUACAAAACCUACCACUGCUUGGCAAUACUGUCAAAUGCUUUCCUAGGCUUCCUCUAUUAUAGGAACAUUGGGCUUCAAACAUUUUAAAAAGGAAUCACGCCACAGAAUUAAAAAUAUACACAUUUCUUUGGUGUAAAAAAAGAUCUUUAAUUAUAUUUUGUCACUUUUGGUUUUGUUUCCAACAUUACUUGCAUAUGUCUUGAUAUUGGUGUGUGCAGAUAACCCUUUUCAUUUCAUUAUCAGGAAGCUAAUUUGCUUUUAUGAAGAAAUCUGAAUGGAUAAAAUCCACUUAAGACAAUAGACUAAAAAAAAAAAAGGCUGCUGUUUUCUUGAUUGGGAUAGGAGUGAAUUGGCAGGCCAUGUUCAUAUCUGCCUUCGAAGAUAAAUUACACAUGUGAGGAAAAGAGAGUUUAUGAAGUUGAAUAUAUGGUUUCAUUAGCAUUUUUUUUAAAAAAUUUUUUUAUCACUCUAGAAUGGUUUCGAUUGCAAGCGUAGAAGAAAUUGGAAUUUAUAACGCAGGUCACGAGGCUAAAAUAAAUCACGUAGCAAUAAUUUCUGUGAAUAAACUUAACAAAGUCAACAAACAACGCCCUAUCAAGAUGAGCCUAUCGAGAAAAAUAUAUAUGUAAAAAAAUGAAAAACAAAUAACACAAUGAGAUCAACUAAAAACGCAUUAAAUUUGACAAAUUUCAAUUAACCUUUGUCACAACCAUCUGCAACCUACCUCAACUCCAUUUCAAUGAGUUGCAACUCAUCCAAAUUGGCUAGGCAACUUGUCCAAAGAUUGAUUGUUUCAACAUCUUAUUGGAGAUUAAGAAUUAAAAGUAGCAUAAACAAAGCUUAAUGCAAUAAUGGCCUAAUAUCCAUGACAGGUUGUCGAAGCCUGUGCAAUAAUAAAUACCUGCUCAAACUAAAAGUAAUUUCUGUAGAUAGUGGUGAGUAGGGUCGAAUCCACAGGGACUGGGAGUAAUUGUUUCUUUUCAAAUUCACAGUGACAAUGGGGUGUUUUUAUGCAGAAGGUGACAAUAAAAGAAGUUCAAAUAAAAUCUAAGAAACUACUAAAAAUUAAUUAACAAAUUACUAAAAUCAAAUGAAUGAUAAUUAAGGAUCUAGCCAAGGAAUAACUUCAGCAAUGGUUCACCUAAUUGAUCAUCGAUAAGCAAAGACAAUCCCAAUUAUUUACUAAUAAAUAGGUUAUAACUGCCAAACAAGCGAUGACAGUCAACCCCUCCUUACUGUGUCGAUGAUUAAGGUACGCCCGUUAAUCACUGCUCUAAUUGAGAAAUAAUCCUAGGUACGCUCGUAGAAUUUAAUUUUCCAAUUGCCUUACGUAUUAGAGGAGCCCUAUUCUAACCAAAUAACGCACUACCAGGGUUAUUUUAGAUUAGCCCGCGUAUUCCCCUGACACAAAUCUAAUCGUGCCAGUUGUCACUAUUUUGAGGUAAUUAAACAAUUACGGAUUUAAUACCUCAAUUGACAAUAGAUUAUCAAAUCAAUUAAUUAUCUGGAUCCAAGACAAUCAAUUAAUUAAACAACCAUAAGCACUGUAACCAGAGAAUAUGCAAAUACCAAUAAAUAAAAGAAAAAGAUAAAAUUAAAUCGAUCUCACAGUUUUAGGCGACUCAAAGCAUCCGUUGUCCCUUGACUAGAGAAAAUGGAUUUAGCUCAUUGUUGAUGGGAAAACCCCAUACAAAGCUGACGCAACAGUAGCGGCCAUCGUCAAAUUCAAUUCGGAGAAAUCAAGGAGAAAGACAAGCUACAGGAAGGAAUUCAAUGUUUUCACUUGGUCUUCACAUACGGACUAGAGAAACCACAAGAAGACGAAAUGGAAAAGUCAAACGCUAAAACUAGAAAUUGCUUUCUCCUAACAUGCGUGGAGUAAAGCAAUGAAAAGCUAGGAAGAAAAGUCAAAGUGAAGCUAGAAAAAGAAAGUGCUUGUUCUCUGCAAUCUAAUAGUUCCUAUCCUAAUGGCCUAUUGCUACUGUCUGGCCUUGUGCGGCGGCCCCCUUUCGGAGAGGAAGAAGAAGCUCCCCUUGUGCGGCGCUCUAGCCUCCAGUAAAAUAGAGGCCUUUGCCCUGCUCUCUUCUUUUGAAAUUACCAAAAUGGGCAAAAGUCUUCCUUUGCCAAUAAUGCCCCCGGGAUAAGCUCUGUGCCUUGGACUCUUUUUCUAUCAAAUUGGCACUUGUUAUCAUAUUUUCGUUCUACUCCCUGAAAUAAAUGUGAAAUAUCAAAAAUGAGUAGAAUCUAGAAAUUAAUCCACAUCAGGUCAGAUAAUAGGGGAAAUUAAUAAUAAAAUAAAUGAUAAAAUUGCAACCUAUCAAUUCCCCCCACACCUAAACCAUGCUUGUCCUCAAGCAUGAGUGACAGGUUGUCGAAGCCUGUGCAAUAAUAAAACCUGCUCAAACUAAAAGUAAUUUCUGUAGAUAGCAGUAAGCAGGGUCGAAUCCACAGGGACUGGGAGUAAUUGUCCUUUCCAAAUUCACAGUGACAAGGGGGGUGUUUUAUAUCAGGAGUGACAAUCUAAACAAAUCAACUAAAAGUAAAAUAAUAAAAAUAAAAUAGCCAACUAGAAAUUAAAUAACAAUUUACUAAAAUCUAAUGAGUGAUAAUUAAGGAUCUAGCCAAGAAAUAACUUCAGCAAUGGUUCACCUAAUUGAUCAUCGAUAAGCAGAGGCAAUUCCAAUUAUUUAUCAAUAAAUAGGUUAUAACUGCCAAACAAGCGAAGACAGUCAACCCCUCCUUACUGUGUCGAUGAUUAAGGUACGCCCGUUAAUCACUGCUCUAAUUGAGAAAUAAUCCUAGGUACGCCCGUAGAAUUUAAUUCCCCAAUUGCUUUACGUAUUAGAGGAGCCCUAUUCUAACCAAAUAACGCACUACCAGGGUUAUUUUAGAUUAGCCCGCGUAUUCCCCUGACACAAACCCAAUCAUGCCAGUUAUCACUAUUUUGAGACAAUUAAACAAUUACGGAUUUAACACCUCAAUUGAUAAUAGAUUAUUAAAUUAACUAAUUAUCCGGAUCCAAGACAAUCAAUUAAUUAAACAACCAUAAGCACUGCAAUCAGGGAAUAUGCAAAUACUAAUAAAUAAAGGGAAAGAUAAAAUUAAAUCGAUCUCACAAUUUUUAGGCGAUCCAAAGCAUCCGUUGCUCCUUAACUAGAAAAAGGGAUUUAGCUCAUUAUUGAUGAGGAAAACCCAUGCGAAAUCGAUGAACAAAAUCCACGCAAGAGUGAAGCAAGAAUCGCGGCCAUUGUCAGGGAGCAAUACUACUCAGAGCCACGACGGAAAAGUCAAAGAGCACAAAGCAAAGAAAAAGGAAUAGUCCAAUACUUUUCUUUUGCUCCUGACAUUCACGAAGGAAGAAAACAACUACUAAGAGUCUUUACUACAACCGAAGAAGAAAAGUCAAAAGACUAAAAGCUAACUACUGAAGAUUGGGUUUCCCUCUGUACCAUUCGUUCCUCUCUAAUCAUCUCUAAGGCCUUCCUGUGCGGCGGCCCCUUGCGGAGAGGACCUCCUGUGCGGCGCUCCCCCUCCGGAGACGAAGAAGAAGACCCUUGCCUUCAGCCCUUCGUUGCUCCUUUUAAUGCUUUUGUCUUCGGCAAUUACUAAAAUGGGCAUAAGCUUGCCUUUGCCAACAAUGCCCCUGGGGUGAGCUCUGUGCCUUAGACUCCUUUUUUGUCAAAUUAGCACUUGUUAUCAUAUUUUCGUUCUACUCCCUGGAAUAUAUGCAAAACACUAAAAAUGAGUAGAAUCCAGCAAUUAAUCCACAUCGGGUCAAGUAAUAGGGAAAAUUAAUAAUAAAAUAAAUGAUAAAAUUACACCCUAUCAAUGAGAACAGCAGACAAGUACCAAUAUUUGAUAGUGACUAUUGCUCUAUCUCACAAAUUGCCAAGAUACCAAGAAAAACAAUAAUCAAGCAUCAGUGAAUAAGAUCCAAGAAAUAUCACUUUGGUUAGCUUCUAAACCACAAACUCCUCUAAUUUCAGGUUAACUAAUCUAAGAAAAAGGAAUGACGCAUAACAUUUAUCAGCAAAUGGUCCAACUAUUAACCAAAAUCUCAACAUUAAAUCCACAAAUCGGCAAGCUGACUUUUAUUAUACACUAACACAACAUUCACUUUUUUUUCACAUUUUUUUUCUACUUUUCUCUCUUUUUUUUUUUAUUCUUCUUUUCAAUAGUAACAAAAGACUUAGUCGCUAGCCAUUAGAGCCUUUUGACGCGAACUCCAACAUUGGCCAGAUGAAAGAGCCCGGUUACUCAGCUUCUAUCGCCACGUGACCACGUACUCAUAGCAAUUACUACCUUUUGACGCGAGAAUCAACACUUUUGGUGAAAAUUCCCGGUUACUCGGUAGUAAAUACUAGCGGAGUACAGUCAAGUUUAUGCAUAGCUAAAAAUCACAAAAACUCAAUAUAACUCAAGAACAAAAAGAAAACUUGCAUCAGCUAGCCUCAUUUUCAAACAUGGAGAACUAAAGUUAAUAACCGGACCAAUUCACAUGAAAAUGCCAAUAAUCAUUCCCUAUGCCUAGGAAAGUUAACCAAAAAUUAUAAGAGUAAAACAAUCAUCGAUAUUCACCAAAGAGAUGUUUUUGGAUUCAACCACAUUAACUUGAUACCCUUUUAUUAUUAAAAUUGGCAAAAGUAGAAAUAGAGGCAACAAUCCAACAUCAAAUUUUGGCAUGCACUUACGAGCCAAUCACUAAAAAGAAGAAAAUGAAAAUGAACGAAAGAUACUAGCACAGCUGCCCCCCCACACCUAGACCCUACAUUGUCCUCAAUGGAGGAAUUAAAGCAAUUAAAGUGAAGAGGACAACGAAACUUCCCUCUCGAGUGGCUAAGGGUAUUUGGCAGCUGCGGAGGGAAACCAACGUGGUGAAGUACAUGCCCAAGUUCUGAGACAUCAUAACUCAAUUCAACCAGCAAAUGCACAACUCUGUCCAACCAAAAUCUCAACAAAGUCUCCAAGUGGAUAAUUAAUUUUCAACUCAGAAGCGGCAAUUCUAGCAAUAGCAGUAUAGAAAUUAGACAAUAACCACACAAUCACAAGUUUUCCCUUUUUAAUCAGGCAGCCAACCCAUUAGAAAGAACAAAUAUUAGUCAAAACACCCCAACCAGUACCACUGGUGCACUCCACAGAUACUGAAGCAACUUAAAUGGCAAACCCAAUCAACAGAAUGUACAUGUGAGGCACCCAAGGUCUAUACCAAUUUUUCAACAAAGCAACGAUUGCAAUCAAUAAUCAGUAGUGGUCCUAAUUUACUCAAAUGUAGAAUCAAUGCAGCCCAACAAUUCAACUGAAUGCAAAUUUAACUUGUUACUGAUCCAAAUUUAACUUGAUAUCUGUAGCAACUCACUUGAAGAAGAGAUUAGUACCACUCAACCAGCAGCAGGACCACAAUCAGCACCACCAUUGCCAGACCGUCAAAUAAACCAAACCAGAACAAGAGACAAAUAAAGCACUACCAGUAGAAUAGUAGAUAAUGGGGUUGGCUUGUGGAAGGCAGUAACAACGUUAACGAGGAGUAAAAGCCUACUAUACCAAACAAGAAUAGAAUCCAAACUCCAAAGGUCCACCACUAGCACACAUUCUAGACUACUCACAAGUCAUAUUCACCAAUCAGUCCUCAGCAGGCAAGUCUCCAAAAGUUUUCUUUGUUUUUCUUCUUUUAGUCAAGAACCAAAUACCAAUCAAAGGUCUGGUGGGCCUUCAUGAUAUCUAUUCAAUCUUUAUCACAUAAUUAAGAAUCACCAAUCCAUACAAAUCCGUGCACUUGUAUAAUUUUUCAAAUCAAUAGUUUUGUAGAUCAGAGGGAUUGCAUUUUUUGGGAAUUUUCUUUACUAUAACAACUUUUAUGAUGCGAUGUAUGUUAAAUGAAAAAUGAUUCAAAAAUUAUGUACAACAAAUAUUUGAAAAGAUUUUCUAAGAGAAAAUUGUUCAAAAUGUCCCUCACAUCUCAUCAAAUAAAAUUUUCCACCCUUCGCUUUUGAAAUACUAAAUUUAUGUCCCUCACAAAAUCAAAUCGAUAAAAUUUGGUUGCUAUUUAGAUUUUUUACCACGUUUUACCUUGAAUCCAACACGUGACCAAUGCAUGAUCAUUUUUUAGGGGCAAAAACGUUAUAUCCCAUUUAUAAUUAAAUAAAUGACUGGAUCCAUAUUCAUUUUUGUUCCUAGAAAUAGGAUUUGAUCUAAAUCAUAUUUAUUUUUUUCUCUUAAAAAAACGGGAUUUGACCUAAUCUAUAUUCACUUGUGCCAUUGAAGAAAUGGAACCUGACCUUUUUGUAUAUAAAAAAUAACUGUAUGUGGACCAAAUGGUGAUUUUCAGGCUCAAAAGUUAUCAAAAACUUGAUUUGGUACCAAAAUUUAUUAAUUUGAAUUUAUAAAGGAGGUAAAGUUAACAUUUUAAAAGUGAUAGGCAAAAAAAUUCAUUUAACAAAAUAUGAAGGGUAUUUUAAUGAUUUUUCUAUUUUUCUAGAUAAUGCCAAAAUAAUAGGAAUCCAAAUGGCUUUUAAUCAGUCUUUUUUCCUUGUUCUUGUGCUCCUUGCAUCUAGUUAGUCUAUCAGACUUACUUUGUUUUAUCAUUUACAUAAAAUCAUAACUAACACAAUAGUCUCUCUCUCUCUCUCUCUCUCUCUCUCUCUCUCUCUCUCUCUAAGCAUAUUUCAUAUAGAAUUCAAAUUAUUUCGUAUCAUCUAAUAUGAAAGGAAGGAAAUAGUAUUUUUCGAAGGACACCUUCGUGAAACAUAUGGCCUUCCUAUUUCAUUUAUUGCUGCUUUAUACAGUUUCUUAUUUUUUUUAAAAAAAAAACCAGAAUACUUUUUAUAUUAUGUACUUGAAGUCGAGUUUUGAGGAAAAUGCAGUUUUAGUCCUUAAUGUUUCUAUCUGUACAGUUUUAGUUUUUAAAAUUUUAGCAAAAGUAAAUUUGGUUGUUAGUGUUUAAUAUAUGUAUAGUUUUAGUCCUUAAAGUUUUGAUAAGAGCAAAUCUGGUUCCCAGUGUAUCCAAUAAAAAGCAGAUUUAGAACAUUUGAAGAAUUUUUCUCAAAUACUAACAAAAUGUAGUCAUGUUUAAUCAUGUGUCCAUUAAAUUAAAUUUCAAAAUAAAGAAUCAAAAUAGUGGCAAACUUUAAAUAACAAUAAUAAGGACUAAUUGCUUAUGUCCAAAUUAAUUAACUAAGGUUUCGAAGCAUUCAAUUCAUCGAUCUAGAAUUCAUUUUCAUAUUCUAAUCCUAUUACCUUUAAUCAACAAAUCAUAGUACUUAGUUUUUCAUAUAUAUAUUCUUUAAUAAUUAGUUACUAACGUUCUAUCAUGUAAGUUAUUCUUAUUGUUCAACAUUACUAGUUAUUUUGCUUCUUUUUUAAGAAAUUUAAUUCAACAAACAUGUGAUUGUCAUGACUGAUUCCGUCAAUAUUUGAAAAAAUCCAUCAAUUGUCCUAAAUAAUGCUUCCAAUUUGUAAUACUGGGGACCAGAUUUACUAUUGCUAAAAUUUUACGGACUAAAACUACACAUGUGCUAAACAUUGAGAAUCAGAUUUGUUUUUAACAAAAUUUUAAAAACUAAAACUGCAAAGGAGCUAAACAUCAGGGGCCAAAACUAUAUUUUUUCCAACUCGUAAUACUUUACUACUACUUUUUGAUAAUGGCUUAAUGGGGGUUCAAAAUGGAGUACUCACGUAUGUACUCAAAAAUAUCACUUAAACAUUCUGGGUGUAAAAACUUUUGUGGGUGACUCAGCAUAAGAUCAGCAGUUUUUCUUCUUAUUCUCUUUGUUUAAUUUAUGGUAAGAAAAUAUCGUUUCACGUUAAAAACUCUUAUACCUCAAAAAAAGCUCAUAUAUAUAUGUGUGUGUGUGUGGGCGCGCACGUGGGAAGACAGUGGUAGAGUGGGUCCAAAUGUUAGGCCAGCUACUGCUUUGUUGUGUGCUUGUUGAUAGUGAAAUUACUUAAGAAUUUUAGAAAAUAAUACAGAAAAGAAAAAGACAACUUUGUCUCAAAGUUACUUUAAGAAUGAAACAACCUGUUGCUGACAAUGAAAAAAUCCCGAGGAGAAAUAUUGCAUCCACAAUAAGAGAUUUACACAAUACAAAAUAUAGAUCAUGACAACAUCAGGUUUGACAAGCAGCUUCAACAGCAGGAGGACUUUGCUGGACAAGAAAUCCAGCAAUUGCAGUGGAUCUGUGUUCAGCAGGUGCCAUUACACCGUAAACUAUAUCCUCAAAACAGCGUUCAUGGGUAUGGGUACAUGGAUUUUCUCCAUGGCCAUCCUUAAUCCCAAAUAUUUUAAUAAGCAUUUCGUCCUGAAGGAGUUUUCUAGAGGGCUUGGUGUACUUUUUAAUUGACUCCUCAGCUUCAACUUCAGACAGGAAAUCUGCAAGUUAAAAUAACAUUUUGCACCUGAAAUUAAGUUCUUCAUAUCAGUGUCUAUGAAAUCUAAAACAUUGUAUAUAAGCAUGGUUACUACACAAAAAUAUAUUUAAUAUUCUAGAAUCAUUUUUUUAGGCAAAUGUUUGUUCUUUAUUGAUAUGCAGGAAAGCUUUACAAAGGAGAGUCAGAAGUCUCCAUAUACAUGCACGUCACAAGUGUAACUACACUAUAUUGUUAGGGUAUCAGGCCAAUUAUUUGAAAAGGAAAAGACCAACAAUUUAAUAGAAAACAAUAUCUAGCAUGAACGAUGAACAACACACAAGAAUUAACGUGGUUCGGCUUAAUUACCAAACCUAUAUCCACGGAGAGAAAAACUUGUUCUUACUAUGAGAAAAACACCACAAGAUUACAACUUGAUUCCCAAGCCCCAACUCUUGUAUAACCCUCUCACCCACUAAGAACUCUCUCACUUCUUUCUUGUGUGUCUUUGUAGUAUGCCAACCCACCUAUUUAUAGGGAACAUUACUGCCAAAAAACCAAAUAACAAUUGAAAACUAAUACUAUUUCCUAAACUCAUAUAGAGUAGAAAAUAGUAUCUAGCUAAAUAGGAAUUUACUUGACUACUACUUCAAGUAACUAAAUCCAAUUAGGAAACUAGUUCCCACACCAAAUAGGAAUCUUGACUAAAAGAAAUUAAGCCAAUUUCCUAACAUAUAUAAUUCAUUAAUCAUGUAAAGAAAAUGAAAACCAUGACUAGUACUACUACUACAUGCUAAAGAGUCUAAUCCUGCAAACAGGAUUGGGGCAAACCCCAUUCCAAAACUAGUUGCCAAUUUUCUUUGGUGCGAGGAGCUCUUGGCCAUGAAAUAACAGUCAUUUGUACUACUUUGUUGAUAUCAGCAACUAUUUUGUCAGCUGGUGUAGCGGUAUUCUGAAAUGUUCUCUUAUUUCUUUCUUUCCAUAUAAAGCAUAAGGGGAUAUAUGAUAAAAUAUAAAACUAUAUGAGAUUAGAAUGUCGUACAUAUUAUGUUUAUAUAUUUUGGUCAUUUCAACUAUUUUAAUUUUUAAACAAGAAUAAUUUCGAUAUUUUCAUGGGUUAGUUUGACACUUUAGUUCCAACUAUAAGGGAGUUAUAUAUAUAACUUUCGAAACUAUAGUCGGGUUAUAUGAAAAAUCGCUAAAUCACAUGUGAGUAAAAUGUAUUUUACCCUUCUUUUUAUUACUGUAAUGGAUUUCCAUUUUUUCUUCAAUUUUUUUUCUUGCUUUGUAAUGGAAUAGGCUGAUCCCUGGAGCCAAACCAUCACCAAACACCGGCCAGCAACCACAGCCUAUGACAUUAGAACCCAUACUAGUACCCAAAACAUCACAAAUUUAUCUCAAAUACUACAAAUCGUCUCCAUCAAAAUGAGCAAAAUGUCAAUUGAAAUUCAACAAACUAAGUUUUGUUCAAGUUUGUAUAAAUUGGAAAACCCACCACCAAUUGCUACUCAAAAAUUCCAAUUCACCAUGAAUCCCCAGCAUCCCACCAGAACGACAGAAAAUCAACCAAAAAUCCCGAAACCCUCAACCAUCUCAUAUAGAAUCCAGUCAAUGACCAGCGAAAUCAGAAGGAAAGAGAAAAACAAGAAAACUCAACCAUCUCUAGCUUGGCUCCAGUAUAAUUAACCUAUGUUGGAGUAGAGCCUACAAGUGCAGGGCGGUGAGGAUGGGUCUGAGAAAACUGUCGAGAGAGAGACAGAGACAGAGUUGUGCAGAGAAGUUAGGAAUACCUUUUCUUUGAUAUUAUGGCUUGGUGAAUAAUCAAGACAAAAGUGUCGAAUUUUCUCUGGAGUGGUAAUUGAAGACUUUUUGGUCUUCCAUUACCAUAGAGUCACUACCAUUAAAAUCACUGCUUGCUAGAUCAGGCAAAGUAGGGGUUUUGGCGCGGUACAUUUGGAGUCCAAAAUACUACUGGACCUGCUAUAGGGAUUAUUUGCUAAAGCUGAUGUGGUGUCCCUUCCUAUCCUUUUAAAUUAGCAUAAAAUAAAAUUAAAGAAACAUCAACUAGUAUACGCUGUCCGUGUAUAUAAAAUUUACUCUUUUAGUAUUUUCUCUAACACAAUCUUAAUGUCUUACUUUAAUUUAUCUUUUUUUUUGUUCAUUUUUUAAGUGUCAAAAUUUGAGUCAGUGUACAAAAACCAAAGCUACAGGGAUUAAUAGCUAAAUCAGGUGUGGUUGAUAGGGAUAUAAUUAUGCAUUUUAUUUGUGGUUAUUUGGUCUUAAUUUUGGCAGUAUAGUAUGCAAAGUAUUGGAUUUCUGCUCAUAAUUAGUAUUGGUGUUAAUUACAGGCAAUUAGUGUUGAAAGUGACAAAAGGGAGGCAAAAAUCCAGAAGACUCUUGCUUCUCUGGCGUGCCCACGCCAGACAACACAGAGUUGCGUGAAAAAGCCGGAUCACGGGCCCAACCCCUGGAACAACCAUUCUGAUUGGAAGAUACCUUUUUACCAUGCGUGAGAUCAGGAAACCUUAAAAGCAAGAAGUCGUUUGGCAACAAACAACUAAGAAAGUAAGAAAAAGGAAUCCUUUUGGGAAACACAGGAGAAUUGGAAACCAAUUGGAAUUGGAAAGCAAGUGCUGCGAAGACCUUUAAGUAGCAGAGGAAAUAGAAUUCGAAGAGGACUUUUGGCAACAAUCCAAUGAGGGAAAUAAGGAAACAAUCCUUGUGGGAAACAAAUUCCAAUUCAACAAGCAAAGGGAAGCGGCGGCAACACUAUAAAUAAAAGGGCAGCAAUAGACUAGGGCAUCUUCUGUCUUGGACUUGUCUUUUUGUUUUUCUUUUCUCUCUUUUUCCUCUGGAAUGCAAGUAGCAAAUAGCAGCCGACAUCUUUUACUACUUCCUCAAUCGACAAAAACUCCAUGAAAACUCUGAAUUGCUUCAUGAUUAUGCGGCAAGGCUAGUUCUUUUAUCUAGUUGAGGAAUAAAUCAAGGAUUGGAGCACCAUAACUGUGAGAUCGUUUUAAUUGUUUUAUUUUUAAUUUAUAUGUUCAUGGGUAUUUGAUUAUUCUCUAUUUUUCCCUGAGUUAUUAUUGUUUAGAUUUAUUGGAUAAUUAGGCCUGUUAUUCGAUUGUCUAAAUAAUUGAUAGCCAAUUAGGAUGUUGGCACGUAGCCUUUAAACAUCUUGAUUAGUGGCAAACGAGACAACUUCACCGCCUCGCAAGCGGUCUAAUUUGGAUCGUGGGGAUAAUUAAUCUAGCCUAAAUAAACCCGCAUGUGUGUUUGUCAUCUAGAAUUGGGUCUUUCUAAAUCCUAAUGCUGUAGCUACAUUAAAUCCUGUGAGCGUUUCUAGGGUUGUCUAGUCACAAGAGGGUAGUUUAUGAGCGUCUCUUGACUACCAUAAAAUUAAGGAAAGAUUGGUAGUUGGGCGCGUCGCUUGACCACUAUAACCAGUUUAUUCGUGAGUAUAUGAAUUGUCCCGUGUAUCUGUGAUCAGUUGUGUGCUUCGGUGCCAAGAUUAAUUCCUUGACUAGGUUGUUUAAUUAAUUGUUAUUUGUGUAGUUUGGUUCCUGCUAUCUUAAUCAACUUUAAAUUUCAGUUUUUAUUCCUUUUUAAUUAGUUGGUACUACUGCUAAAAAUCCCCCCCCCCAUUUUCCUGUGUGAUUUGCCUACCUGUUCCCUGUGGAGAUGACCCUAUUCACCACUAUACUCAUUCAGUUUUGGUAGUAGGUCUAAUAUAAAUUUUAUUUUUGGUGGUUUGACACCCACCAAAUUUUGGCGCCGUUGCCGGGGAUCUGGUGUUUUAAGUGACUUAUUGCACAGGCUUUAGUUUUUAUUUUUAUUUUUAUUAGUUUUAUUUAUUUUAUGCCUCGAUCUUCUCGUACAGAAGAAUUAGAAUUUGAUCCAGAGAUUGAGAAGACUGCAAGAAGGUUGACCAAGGAGGCAAAGUUGCGUAAGCAACAAGAUUCAACGUCACCUUCAGAAUCUAAGCAAGAGUUUGUUUCCAGUGAUUCAUCAAGUGAAUCUGAAAAAGAAGAAGUGCAUAUUCCCCGAGUAGCAAUGGCAGCCCCAAGAACUUUGAGGGAGUUGGCAACUCCUAAUGUGAACCAGCAGCCAUUAUGCAUUACAUUUCCUAACACGGAAGAGGCAUUUGAGCUUAAAUCUGGUCUUAUUCACUUACUUCCUACUUUUCUUGGUAUUGCAGGUGAAGACCCACAUAAACACUUGAAGGAAUUUCAUGUGGUGUGCUCCACAAUGAAACCUCAAGGAGUCACUGAGGACCACAUCAAAUUGAGAGCCUUCCCUUUCUCUUUGGCAGAUAAGGCUAAAGAUUGGUUAUUUUACCUGCCAUCUGGAUCCAUCACUACGUGGGAAGAAUUGAAGAGAAGAUUCCUCGAGAAAUUUUUCCCUGCCUCUAGAGCCGCCAAUAUAAGGAAAGAAAUAUGUGGAGUUAGGCAGGCAAAUGGGGAAAUUCUAUAUGAGUACUGGGAGCGCUUUAAACAACUGUGUGCCAGCUGCCCGCAUCAUCAAAUCCCUGAUCAGCUCUUAAUACAAUAUUUCUACGAGGGAUUAUGACCCAUGGAUAGGAGCAUGUUAGAUGCAGCCAGUGGCGGUGCUCUGGUUAACAAGACCACAGACGAAUCCACGUUAUUGAUCUCCACCAUGGCUGGAAAUUCCCAACAAUUUGGAGUGAGAGCUGAUGGAGCAAUAAGAAGGGUCAAUGAAGUGAAUCACUCUGACUUAGAGGGUAAACUAUCUGAGCUUACCUCUCUGGUACGUCAAAUGGCAAGAGGGCAAUUACAAUCUGUGAAGACUUGUGGUAUCUGUGCUGCUCCCAGACACAUGACUGACAUGUGCCCAACUCUCCAGGAGGAUUCACCUGAACAAGCCAACAUAGUGGAAGAUUUUUCUGGACCACCUCCACGAAGGAAUGAUCCUUUUGCACCCACUUACAAUCCAGGGUGGCGAAAUCAUCCUAACUUUAGCUAUGCUUCAAAACCCCCUGGCUUUCAACAACAUUUCCAGCCACGGCCACCAGUGCAACAACCAUCCACUUCCAAUUCAAACAUGUCUCUUGAAGAUAUGGUGAAGUCACUGGCCCAAAGCACGAGUCAAUUACAGCAAGAGACUCAAAGAUCUCAGCAGGAGUCUCACAGAUUUCAACAAGAGACUCGUGCUAGUAUUAGGAAUUUGGAAGUACAGAUGUCUCAAUUGGCAACUUCCAUGAGCAACCUGGAAAAUAGUAAUAGAGGAAAGUUACCAUCUUAAGUAAUUCCUAAUCCCAAGGAGAAUGCCAGUGCAAUGCAAUUACGGAGUGGCAAGGAGGUACAGUCUCCUAGGCGUGCCCAUGCCAAAGAAGAAGAAGUACCCAGGAAGGUGGAAGAGGAAGAUGAGAAACAAUCCUCUGAAGUCUCAAAGAAAGUUGACAUUCCUCCUCCUUUUCCUGGCAGGUUUACAAGAGCCAAAAAGGAAGAAUCUGAGCAAGAGAUUUUGGACACCUUCAGGAAAGUGGAGAUCAAUAUUCCUUUAUUGGAUGCUAUUAGGCAAUUGCCUAAAUAUGCUAAAUUUUUUAAGGGUUUAUGCACUAACCGCAAUAAGUUGAGUCUGGAUGACAAGGUGAAGGUGGGGGAGAAUGUCUCAGCGAUGUUUCAAAGGAAGUUGCCCCAGAAAUGCAAGGAUCCAGGUAUGUUUACUAUACCAUGCAUAAUUGGCAAUCAAAGAAUUGAAAAAAGCAUGCUUGACUUAGGUGCUUCAAUAAAUGUCAUGCCUCUCUCAAUUUUUAAAGUUUUGAAUUUAGGACCCCUCAAAGAAACUAGGGUAAUCAUUCAACUAGCUGAUAGGUCGAAUGUCUACCCUGAGGGCCUAGUUGAAGAUGUUCUAGUAAAGGUCAAUGAAUUCAUUUUUCCUGUGGAUUUUUACAUUGUUGAUAUGAAUGAUGCAUACUCUACUGAUUCAGUAGUGAUUCUUUUGGGUAGACCCUUCAUGAGCACAGCAAGGACUAAAAUAGAUGUACAUGAAGGGACUUUAUCUGUGGAAUUUGAUGGAGAGAAGGUCACUUUUAAUAUUUUUGAUGCAAUGAAGCAUCCUGUGGAUACUGAAUCUGUAAAUUUUGUUGGCAUGACUAACACCAUUGUGCAAGAGAAUUUUGAACAGAAUUUCAUGAGGGACAAGUUGGACUUUGUCUUACAACAAGGCAAGACCAAUUUAGAAGUGGACGACAUGGAGGAGGAGGAAGUCAAAGAAGCUAUCAUGUCCUUACAUUCACUACAUCCGCUUCCAGGCAGGUUUGAAAAUUCUUUUCUACCAUUACCCACUUCUAAUGAAAGGAUUCUACCUUCUGUUCAACAGGCACCUAAUGUGGAAUUGAAGGAACUGCCCCAGCAUUUGAAAUAUGCUUACUUGGGAGAUAACAAGACUUUGCCUGUAAUCAUUGCCAAUGAUUUAACUGCGUUGCAAGAAGAGAGGCUCUUACGGGUCUUACGGGUAUUUAAACCAGCAAUUGGAUGGACGUUAGCAGACAUCAAAGGCAUCAAUCCAUUCAUUUGCAUGCAUCACAUCCUUUGGAGUCGGACGUAAAACCCGUGAGAGAGCAUCAACGCAAGCUCAACCCCGCAAUGAAGGAGGUGGUGAUGAAAGAGAUUCUCAAACUCUUAGAAUUAGGAAUUAUUUUUCCUAUUUCUGACAGCCAGUGGGUAAGUCCAGUCCAUGUUGUUCCCAAGAAGACUGGAAUCACGUUGGUGAAAAAUGAAAAGAAUGAGUUAGUGCCAAUGAGAUUGAAAAAUGGGUGGAGAAUGUGCAUUGACUUUAGGAAGUUAAAUGCCGCAACUAGGAAAGACCACUUUCCACUCCCAUUUAUUGAUGAAAUGCUUGAGAGGUUGGUAGGUAAGUGUUUCUUUUGCUUUUUAGAUGGUUACUCUGGAUAUUAUCAAAUUAUUGUUGCUCAAGAGGACCAACAUAAAACCACUUUUACCUGCCCUUUUGGAACUUUUGCAUAUCGUCGUAUGCCUUUUGGUUUGUGUAAUGCUCCUGGAACAUUUCAAAGAUGCAUGAUGAGUAUUUUUUCUGAUAUGAUUGAUAAUUGCAUUGAAAUUUUCAUGGAUGAUUUUACAGUAUACUGUGAUUCUUUUGAUCAGUGCCUAGACCAUUUAACAAAGGUUUUGAAAAGAUGCAUUGAAACAAACUUGGUUCUUAAUUAUGAAAAAUGUCAUUUCAUGGUUAAGGAAGGCAUAGUUUUGGGCCAUGUUGUUUCAUCAAGGGGUAUUGAGGUAGAUAAGGCUAAAAUUGAUUUGAUCACUAGUCUACCUUACCCUACUAAUGUCAAGGAUAUUCGUAGUUUUCCAGGCCAUGCAGGUUUUUACAGGCGUUUCAUAAAAGAUUUUUCAAAAAUUGCUCAACCAUUGUCUCGCUUGCUUCAAAAGGAGGUGCCAUUCAACUUUGGAGAUGAUUGCAAAUUGUCCUUUGACACACUCAAGGGUAUGUUGACCACGGCACCAAUCAUCCAACCCCCAGACUGGAAGCUAUCCUUUGAGCUCAUGUGUGAUGCCAGUCAGUAUGCCGUAGGAGCUGUGCUUGGACAGCGGAGUGGGAAGUGUAGUCACGUGAUAUACUAUGCGUCAAAAACAUUGACACCAGCUCAAUGCAACUACACCACCACGGAGAAGGAGCUUCUAGCCAUUAUUUUCGCUUUUGAGAAAUUUAGAUCAUAUCUAUUGGGGUCAAAAGUAACGGUUUACUCUGAUCAUGCAGCUUUGAAGUAUCUCUUGUCAAAAAGGGAGUCCAAGCCAAGACUCAUUCGUUGAGUGCUCUUGCUGCAAGAAUUUGACUGGGAGAUCAAGGAUCGGAAAGGGGUGGAUAAUUCAGUAGCUGACCAUUUGAGUAGGUUGAUAAGAGAAGAGGAAGCAGUUCCCAUAUCUGAGGUAUUUCCUGAUGAACAUCUUUUCUAUCUCAAAGGUAAGGAACCUUGGUAUGCAGAUAUUGUGAACUUUUUGAUCAGUCAUAAAUUCCCUAUUGGCAUGAGUAAGAGUAAGAGAGAUAAGAUAGUCCAUGAUUCUCGAUACUAUAUUUGGGACGAGCCAUAUCUGUGGAAAAUAGGCUCUGAUCAAAUUAUUCGUAGAUGUGUACCUGAAAGUGAAACUCCUUCUAUCCUUGCUCAUUGUCAUAAUUAUGCAUGUGGUGGCCAUUUUGGACCUAAGAGAACUGCUAGAAAAAUCCUUGAUUGUGGCUUUUAUUGGGAAACAUUGUUUCGUGAUGCUUAUACAUUUUGUAAAAGCUGUGAAAAAUGUCAAAAAUUUGGAAGUUUGUCUCAUAGGGAUGAAAUGCCUCAAGUGCCUAUGUUAUUUUGUGAAGUGUUUGAUGUUUGGGAUAUGGACUUUAUGGGACCUUUUCCUAGCUCUUUUGGAUUUUUGUAUAUUCUGUUAGCAGUUGACUAUGUAUCGAAAUGGGUAGAAGCAAAGGCUACCCGGACUAAUGAUUCUCAAGUUGUUGUAGGAUUUCUCAAAUCUCACAUUUUUAGUAGGUUCGGGGUGCCGAGAGCCAUCAUCAGUGAUCAAGGUACCCAUUUCUGCAAUCGCACCAUUGCAUCUCUCAUGAGAAAAUAUGGAGUGCACCAUCGUGUGAGUACAACAUAUCAUCCUCAGACCAAUGGGCAAGCUGAAGUCUCCAAUCGAGAGAUCAAGAGCGUAUUGGAGAAAACGGUUAACCCCAACCGUAAGGAUUGGAGCUUGCGAUUGGAUGAUGCUUUGUGGGCAUAUCGAACCGCGUAUAAAAUGCCCAUUGGAAUGUCCCCAUAUAGGUUGGUGUUUGGUAAGAUGUGUCAUUUACCUGUGGCUAUUGAGCAUCGUGCAUUCUGGGCAGUCAAGCAAUGCAAUUUCCAUGCGGAUAGAGAUGGCAAUGAGAGAAAGUUCCAACUCCAGGAGUUGGAGGAAAUUCGUCUUGAAGCAUAUGACAAUGCACGUUUGUACAAAGAGCGUACCAAGCAGUUUCAUGACCGUUUAUUGCGUGCGAAACACUUUUUCCCAGGACAACAGGUACUCUUGUUCAAUUCACGGUUGAAAUUCAUGCCAGGUAAGUUAAAAUCUCGUUGGAUUGGACCAUAUGUGGUAGUCAAUGUUUUUCCCAAUGGUGUGGUUGAAAUCCAGAGUUUAGAGACUAAUAAGAGUUUUACAGUUAAUGGUCAUCGUUUAAAAUCGUUUGUUGAUAUUUCAGACAUUGGCACUUUGGAAGAGGUACACUUGAUAGAUCCUAUCUAUGCCUAAUUGCUCACUGUGGAGUCGUCUAGCCAAAGACGUUAAAGAAAGGCGCUUCUUGGGAGGCAACCCAAGGCCUCCAUUUUUUGUUAUAGUUCUCUUUCGUUUUUCGUUGAUUUUGGGUUGUUUUGUUUCAUUGCAAGUGUUGUUUUUGGUGUUGGGCAGGAGACUUGGAUUUACAAGGCAUGCCCACGCCCUAUAAGUGACUCCAUGAAAAGCGUAGAAAUGCUUGGGCAGAAGACUCUGCCUUAUAAGGCGUGGGCACGCCUUACAGCAACUCUGGUCCACUCUGGGGACACAGGCUUGGAUUGAAGACUUCCGCUUCCAUCUGAAGCAACGCUACACCACACCACCGUCAGAGGCUCCACGCUGCCAGUCCCUGAUACCUCCUCUACCAUGGUGUUUUGCUGUAGUUUUUUUUUCAUUCAGGGAAGUUUCUUUUGCUCCCUUCACUUGACUUCAACUUUUCAUUCUUACAUUAAGGACAAUGUAGACUUUAGGUGUGGGGGGAGUAGUCUAGCUUUUCCUUCUUAUUGCUUUUCCUUCUUCAAAAAAAAAAAAAAAAAAAAAAAAAAAAAACUUUACCAUGCCUUUUGGAUUUUUGUGGUUAGCCUUGAUAAGCAAUGGCUUGAUUUUCAAAUUUAACUAUUGUUAUGGUUUUAGAUGAUAAUAUGUUAAGUAGGAGAUGAUAAAGUUUUAGGAUGUCUCUCUGGUAAAUAUUUGAGAUUUUGUGACUCUAGCAAUUUCUUUUGAUUAACUUUUCUAGGCAUUGUAAAUAUUUGUCUGACAUUUUUGUGUGAACUGGUUCAACUAUUAAUCUUAGUUCUCCAUGUUAAGAAAAUGAAGCAGGCUUGCAAGGUUUUAAUUUUACUUGGGUGUUUAUAUGCGAAUAAUAGUCGGCUAUACUCCGUUGGUUAUCAUUGACUAGUAACCGGGGGUCUUCACCUAAAGUGUCGAUUUUCGCCUCAAAAAGCAACGAUAACUAUGAGUAUGUGGUCUUUAAGCGGUUAAAGUUGAGUAACCGGGCUCCUUCAUUGGAGAGAUGUCGGAGUUCGCGUCAAAAGACUUGAAUGGCUCAAGACUAAGCACUUCUUUCAAGAAAGAAAAAAAAAGCAAAAAAAAAAGAAAAAAAAGAAGGAAAAAGAAACAAAAAAAAAGAAAAAAAUGAGAAAGAAAAAAAAAAGAGUGUGUAUGAGCAUGAAGGUAUGUGAAUAAUUGUAUUACCUGCGGAUCCAUGAGUCUUUAUGUUGAGAUUUUGCUUAAUAGUUGGACCAGUUAUUAAAAAAAAUGUUGGUUGGAUAUUUUCUAUUCUUAGAUUAGUUAGUCUGGAUUUGAAAGAGUCAUUGGUUUCAAAAGCUAGUUGGAGAGUUAUCUCGUAAAAUUUGUCAUCAGUACUUGACAGUUAUCUAAAUUAUACAUUGGCAAUAGUUGCUUUGAUUAAUAGCCAUUGUUUUGAAUUCAACUGCUGCAAAAUGUUUGCUCGCUUGGUUGUGUAUUUAAAGUUUGAAAUGCUUGAGGACAAGCAUUGUCUUGGUGUGGGGGAAUUUGAUAGGGAUAUAAUUAUGCAUUUUAUUUGUGGUUAUUUGGUCUUAAUUUUGGCAGUAUAGUAUGCAAAGUAUUGGAUUUCUGCUCAUAAUUAGUAUUGAUGUUAAUUACAGGCAAUUAGUGUUGAAAGUGACAAAAGGGAGGCAAAAAUCCAGAAGACUCUUGCUUCUCUGGCGUGCCCACGCCGGACAACACAGAGUUGCGUGAAAAAGCCGGAUCGCGGGCCCAAGCCCUGGAACAACCAUUCUGAUUGGAAGAUACCUUUUUACCAUGCGUGAGAUCAGGAAACCUUAAAAGCAAGAAGUCGUUUGGCAACAAACAACUAAGAAAGUAAGAAAAAUGAAUCCUUUUGGGAAACACAGGAGAAUUGGAAACCAAUUGGAAUUGGAAAGCAAGUGCUGCGAAGACCUUUAAGUAGCAGAGGAAAUAGAAUUCGAAGAGAACUUUUGGCAACAAUCCAAUGAGGGAAAUAAGGAAACAAUCCUUGUGGGAAACAAAUUCCAAUUCAACAAGCAAAGGGAAGCGGCGGCAACACUAUAAAUAAAAAGGCAGCAAUAGACUAGGGCAUCUUCUGUCUUGGACUUGUCUUUUUGUUUUUCUUUUCUCUCUUUUUCCUCUGGAACGCAAGUAGCAAAUAGCAGCCGACAUCUUUUACUACUUCCUCAAUCGACAAAAACUCCAUGAAAACUCUGAAUUGCUUUAUGAUUAUACGGCAAGGCUAGUUCUUUUAUCUAGUUGAGGAAUAAAUCAAGGAUUGGAGCACCAUAACUGUGAGAUCGUUUUAAUUGUUUUAUUUUUAAUUUAUAUGUUCAUGGGUAUUUGAUUAUUCUCUAUUUUUCCCUGAGUUAUUAUUGUUUAGAUUUAUUGGAUAAUUAGGCCUGUUAUUCGAUUGUCUAAAUAAUUGAUAGCCAAUUAGGAUGUUGGCGCGUAGCCUUUAAACAUCUUGAUUAGUGGCAAACGAGACAACUUCACUGCCUCGCAAGCGGUCUAAUUUGGAUCGUGGGGAUAAUUAAUCUAGCCUAAAUAAACCCGCAUGUGUGUUUGUCAUCUAGAAUUGGGUCUUUCUAAUUCCUAAUGCUGUGGCUACAUUAAAUCCUGUGAGUGUUUCUGGGGUUGUCUAGUCACAAGAGGGUAGUUUAUGAGCGUCUCUUGACUACCAUAAAAUUAAGGAAAGAUUGGUGGUUGGGCGCGUCGCUUGACCACUAUAACCAGUUUAUUCGUGAGUGUAUGAAUUGUCCCAUGUAUCUGUGAUCAGUUGUGUGCUUCGGUGCCAAGAUUAAUUUCUUGACUAGGUUGUUCAAUUAAUUGUUAUUUGUGUAGUUUGGUUCCUGCUAUCUUAAUCAACUUUAAAUUUCAGUUUUUAUUCCUUUUUAAUUAGUUGGUACUACUGCUAAAAAUCCCCCCCAUUUUCCUGUGUGAUUUGCCUACCUGUUCCCUGUGGAGACGACCCUAUUCACCACUAUACUCAUUCAGUUUUGGUAGUAGGUCUAAUAUAAAUUUUAUUUUUGGUGGUUUGACACCCACCAGUGGUGUCCCCUUCAAGCUUUCUAAAUUAGCAUAUCAUAAAACAAAAAAAGUGUCAAUAGGUUUUUUAAUACUACUUUAAUAUACAUGCACAAAUAUGAAAACAAUCCAGUUUGUCAUCAUCCAAUGUGAUGAAAGCUACUUGAAUUUCUAAACAGAUGGUAUGCGGAACACGGCCCUUGGAGAGUACAAUUAUCUCACUUCACUUAUAGAACGACACAUUUUCUUGUAUGACUUUCCCAUCUAACAAAUAGAGCCGAAUAGAUUGACAAUCUGGUAACCGGAUCUUCAGCUGAUUGCCAUGUUAUAAAAUUAACCACAAUGACCAUUUGCCUGCUUUAAUAAUUUUAGUGUUUUUUAUGAAACUAUUUUUCUUUCAUCAAUGGAUAUUAAAAUUAAGGGUUAAUUAUAUUUACCUCCCUGAGGUAUGGCCAAACUCAAACUAAACCCUGAGACCAAACUACUGAAGAACCCUUCGAAUACACAAAAGCUUAACAAACGUUGACUGCUUGAUAUUAAACGAAAAAGUCAGUGAAUGUCCUAAACUGCUCACAAGCUUAUUCCCAUUUAAGUCUUUAACCCUUCUCUUCCUCAGGGAUUGAAACCAACAGAGUUGCAAAAUUGUUAGUUGCACAAUACUUCGUUGUUCGUGUAGAGUGGAUUUAAAUGGGCACACACUCACUAGCUGCUUAUCAAAAAUACUCCUUCUUCUUCUUCUUCUUCUAUUAAAACACUAUUUCUUCACAAAUUGUCAGCCUUAGAUUUAAUCAAAAGUAGGAAAAAGAAAGAAAAAUAAAAAACACGAAUUGCAAUACCUAUCAAAAUAUAGAUCUUGCAAUUUAACUACCAAAACCAAAUCUUUAGUUCAAAUGAUUGUCCCCUUGACGUGAGAUUUGAAUGAUGAACCCUGUUUAUGAGGUAGUGGAGAAGAGAUUCUGUGCAUUGCUCAUGAGUCGUGGCUAAGAUGGGAUAUGGUUUUGCUUGUGAUUUUUGUGGUAUCAAAUUUUGCUGACUUCUUGUUUCUAUUUUGUCAGCUUUGCUUCUCUUGAAUGUGUACAAAGAAUUGGGUUGCCACGAUUUGGUUUUGUAUACGGCAAUUAUAUGUCUAUUUUUUGUGGGUUUUUAAGGGAGAGGAUAGAAAACGUAGGUUAUGGUGUUAAAAGAUGAAUGAAUUUGCAAUAGUUUGAAAUUGGGAGUGUGUUAGAGAUGAGUGAUAACUUGAAGAUAAGAACAGGAGCCAUUAAGGUUUCGAGGAGUUCGAUGAGAUCUAUGGACAGCAGGAAAUCUUUUUCUUUGUUAAUUUUUUUAUUCUUUCCCGUAUCUAACAACGAGUUUACUUGUUUUUUAUGCAAUGAGUUUCAAGUCAGACUAAUUUUUCUUUGUAUGUUAAGUUUCUGAUUAAUUUUUCUUUUGUAUUUGAACUUCCUUUUUAUUAUUUUCUGCAAUUUCCAUAGUUAUAUUUUCAUUUAUCUAUCAAUUUUUAAAGUUUAGGUAUUGGGAUAAAGAUUUAUUUUGCUCAAUUAUCUUUAUGUUUUCUCCAUUAAACUCUCUCAAUUUUUGUUUUUGCAACUUUUUCUUUUUUUUUGUGAAUUUUAUUUAUUGUUGUCAGUAGAGGGUAAAUUUGUCAUUUUAUUUGUUCUAUUUAUUGGCUCUUGAUAGUAUUAUUGACAAGGAAGGCAAAUGUAAUUUAGUUAAACCUCAAGAUUUGAUUCAUAGUUUGGUCAAACCUUAACGGAGACAAAUGUAAUUAACCCCAAAAUUAACCCACAAGGCCCUUUAGCCCAUUUUAAUAACUUAAUUUAUAUUUGACUAGACUAUUUUACUUCGAUCAAAAGAAAGUUUGAAGAGUCCAGUGAUGCACAUGCCAUUGUUAGCCCUAAAUAAAUAAGGGAUAAUUUUAGAAACCUCCCCUGAGGUUUUCAAUAAUUUCACUCGCCCCUCUUGAAAUUUACAUAAUUACAGAAACCUCCCUUGAUGUAAUAAAAAGACAAUAAUGCCCUUUAUUAAUUGUCAACUCAUUGAAAAACUCUAUUAAAUAUUAAAGCUCUUUCAUCUAUUAUCAAUCAAUAAUUCAAACUAUAGUUUUUCUCAUUUAACUAUCUAUCCUCUUUCUCCUACAUCCAUUUUCCUUUUAAAAUCAUUUAUUUAUUAUUAUCAACCAAAUGUGUACUGUCGCCACUAAUAAAAUCAUUUUAUUCACCAAACCACCAAUAUGUACAUAUCUUGGUAUAUAUUUAUAACUACAUUGGUAUAUAUUUAUAUCUUACCAUGAAAACAAAAUGUUCUUGGUAUAUAUAUUUAUAUCAGCAUUGUGUUUCUAUUGUUGAUUUAUAAUUAUUGAUGUUAUUCCUAUAUAGAGAAUUUGAUUGAUUUUAAACUCUGUGCCAAUGGAGAACAAACUACCAUGUAAGACAUGAAACUAUCAAUAAUUAGCAAUUAACUGUGGCAAGAUGUACACUUCUCAAUUUAGCAUUAUUCCAAGUAGAAGAGGCAAAGCCAUAUGAAUUUGAAAAGGGACAUAUAGAUAGCUGGGGGAGAUGGAAAGCAAGUUUUAUAGUGAAUAUUGGGCUAAUAGAUAAUAUGAUAGCACUUAGCAGAGCUGUGGGGAGUACUCAAAAGGAUAAAAAUGGCUUGGAACUCUGGAGAAAGAAGAGUGAUUCUGGACACGAAUUGCAAGGCAGCUUUGGAACUAAUACAAGGAGCAGGACAGGACUCACCACUAUACAAUCUAACAUGUCAGAUCAGGAAUGUUUUAAGCAGGGGUCGGGAAUCCUGGCAACAACAUGUUUGGAGAAAGAAGUAAGUGUGCAGACUAGCUAGCUAAAAGUAGUGUCAACAAAGAAUCUGGGAUGCAGAUUAUAACAGAACCGCCACAGGAACUUAGUGAAUAGCAUGGUGCAAAUAUUUUAGGGGCUGCGACCCUAUGUUUUGUUUCUGUUUAAGAGGUUUGACCUCUCCCUUGUAAACUUAACAAAAGGAACAUACUAGGCAGAGAAGUAAAUGCGGUCAACACAUUUGCAAGCAAAACAUUUUGGCCAAAGCACCUUUGCCCUUAAAAAAUAGUGAAACAUGUGAAAUUCAGCACAAGUAAGGCUAACAAGUAUAUUCUGGAGAAUCAUGGACUCUCAAAACAUACCAUAAGAAGUUGUCCAUGCUGUUCUAAUAACAUUCCUAGUUCAUGAAUUUUUACGGAGGAAGAUCUUUUUUCACAUCAAAACUAAUUGAUGAGUUUUGGUCCUCUUUCCAAGCUCUUCCAAAGUGAUACUAGUACAAGUCCUUAAGUAGACUUGAGAUGCAGCCUUAGAACAAUAUCACCAGAUUUCUCAGUCACCAGAUGCAACACCUUAGACUUGAGAUGCAACCUUAGAGGUUUGUGUUCUAGAAUAAAUUUAUAAGUUAGCAGAAAAAAAAAGUCUACAGUAUCUCAACUUGCAGGACUACAACCAUAGCUAAUAUACAGCUUUUAAGGCAAAGUACAAAUGCAAUGAUUGGAGCAACUUGUCCAGGUUUCUAAAAAAAUAAAUAAAUGGAAACAAAGGAAAUGAGAGUCGAUUUGUGAGUGUGCACAUUUACACAAAGAUAGAGCACUUCCAACAGGAAAACAUUAGGAAAGAGCUUGAAGUCUUGACAGACAUAUUUCAAUCACCUCAAUUCAAGAAACAUUCAAGGCUGCUUUUGAACUAGACUAAGUGCAUGGAUCUAAACGAGUUGAAUUUUGAAGUGAAAAAAAUGUUGCUUUUGAAAAGCAUUCAAAUCUGUAGAAUUUACUCUUACUACCUUAAUUGUAAUGCAUUUAGCUCUAUAAACAACACCACAAUGAUGAUUUGUAGACGAUUUAAGUAAAACUGAAAAGGGGAUGCUUUGAGCACUACCAGGAAUUGCUGAAAAGGGGACGCUUUGCAGUUUAAUGUGAAAUUAAAACCAAAAAAUAAAAUAAACCAAGCGCUUGAAAAUAGAAUAACCAAGAAUUUGAUAAAAUCUUAAAGAAACAUACAAUCUAAAUUUUUUUAGAAAGUAAAAUCCAACGGUUUCAGAGAAUAAUAUAUCAAACCCAAUAAAGAACAAAAUCUUCAAAAUAAGAACAUGCUGCUAAUGUUCAAUUAAACUAGUAACAAUAAAGUUUAUAAAAAAAGGGGGGAGAAUUUCCCUCAGUCACCGCCGGCUUGGUGCAGGUGUUCUUCUUGCGCUUCUUGGCGCCACCAUCGAGGUGGAGGACAAGGUAGAGGGCUGACUCCUUCCGGAUGUUGUAGUCGACUAGGGUGCGGCUGUCCUCGAGCUGCUUGCCAGUGAAGAUAAGCUACUGCUGGUCCGGGGAUGCCCUCCUUGUCCUGGGCAGAAUUUUUUUUUAAAAAAAAAUUAGGGCAAUAAAAUUUGGGGAGAAAAUGAAACAAUUGAUCAUCUAAGUAGGGUAGAAAAGGUGAUUGCAAAUGAUGGUGAUUGCUAAUUAGGGUAAGAAACUUUGGGGAAACUAGACAAAUGAUAGAGAAGAAGAGAAUUUACGCAAAAAUUGAAUGUUGGGAACACAAAAUCGGGUCAAUAAAAAUUGGGGGAAAUUGAUUACUAAGCAAGAAGAGAGAAACUUGCCAUUUUACAGCACAUGCUCUGAGGAAACAUAUCAAAAUCAGUAGCCCAACAAGGAGGAAUGCUCGAGCAUUAGUGAGAAAGAAAUUGAGAGGGGUCGAAGUGAGAGAGAGACCAAGAGAGACAGUGAGAAGGCCAGCGAGUGAAAAUGUGAGAAUUAGAAGUGUAUCAGACUUAGCCCAAAAGUGGUAGACUUGUACUCUUUCAUUUUGAAAUUUGCUUUUUAAAGAAUGCCUCCACCAAUUUUCAAUUCUCGCUGUUUCUUUUUCAUUUUGAACGAAAAAUUUGAUCCAAUUUUUAGUUUUAUCUUUUUAUUUAGAUUCUCAAAGAAAGGUUAUUUUCUUUGUAUUAAAUUAAACAUUUUAAUUAAGUAUAUUAGAUCGGGAAUCUACUUUCAUAUUAUUUUAAGAAAUAAUUCAUUAUUUUUAAACAUGAAAAAAGAAAAAUCUUAAUUAUGUGUUAAGAACUUUCUAUCAGUUUCUAGAAAAUUUUGUUAGUUUUGUCUAAUAGUACUAUAUUUUUUUAGAUGUUUUAUAUUGAAGAAUCAUGAAUGUAAACUUGCACGAAACUAUAGUAUACGUAUUGAUUUGUAAGAAAAAUAUGUAUUCGUUUUGACUUUUAGCAAAUAAACAUUAAAUUUGAAGGAAUUGCAGUAAUUAGUAGUCCUGAUUUCAUUACUUAACUUAUAUAACACAACUAAUUCUGCUUUUCAUUAAAAUGAAUUUGUACUUAAUGAGUUUCAACAUUUGACCAAUUAGAUGUCAAGGAGCCAUUGACAGUACCCAAAAUUAAGGUAUUUGAAUUUAGAGGCCUUGAGUUCUAAUUGUAAUAGUUUAUAUAGUUGUUCUAACUAAAAACUUUCAUUAAUUUUUUUCAGUUAAAAACUUAUUGAGUAACUAUGACUAGUUUAAUAAAUUAUCAAAUUUUAAAAAAUUUAAAUUAAUAUUUAAGUAACUAUGACUAGUUUAAUAAAUCAUCAAAUUUAAAAAAAAUUAAAUUAAUAUUGAGUCUCACAAUUAAAUAAAGUCAUAGUUAAUAAAUCAUCAAACUUUAAAAAAAUUUAAAUUAAUAUUGAGGCUAACAAUUAAAUAAAUGCAUUAGAGAUGUUCAAAUUAGUGAUGAUACUUAUGUUGUCACUAACUAUACUAUAGUUUUACUGACAAAAAUUGGUCGUCAAUAAACAUAAACAGUGAUAAUAAUGAAAAGUUGUCAAAGAAAGUGGUAGAAUUACUGAUAACUUUUAUCAAGUCGUCACUAUCGCAAAACUCACGCCUUCCAAGUCCCAUGGCGCGAAAUAGUUUUGUGACGACAAUUAAAGGUUGUCACUGAAAACUCAGUUGCUUUGAGUCAAUUGUGACAACCUUCAAAGUCGUGACUAAACAACCUCAUUUUGUGACGACUUUGUGUCGUCACAAAGAAAUGUUGUCACUAAUGACCUUUUUUCUUGUAGUGGCAAUAUUCCUACUAUGAACAAAAAAUAUUAAAAACCGUAGGAAAGUGGUUCCUAGGCUAAUAAGGCACUUACAAAAGAGUUUAGAAAAUAUUUCUAAACUCAAAACAAGAGAGCCUAAAAUAUUUGACUAAAUGGGUUAGAUGACUCAAGAAACUAAUAGCCCAUAUAACUCUCUUGAGUGGUGCACCUAAAACCUUCAAUAGGCUUCUUUAUUUAUAGGAAACCAAAGGAAGAAUUCCUUUGGCUUCUAUUGAUGUGAGACGAAGCAGAAAACGCGUUUGUUGACCAGCGCGUCAUUCAACAAAUCUCCACCUUGAUGAGUCCCCCAACAUCGAGAGAUUAUAAACUUGCUUCACCUUCUCCAAAUAAGCCCCAAUGGGCAUAAAUCACCAACAAUAAAUAUCAAUCAAGUCCAAGCGUUGCUUAAACUUGUAAAUUGAAAGAGAUUUUAUAAACAUAUCGGCUAGAUUGUUCUUAGUAUUGAUUUUCUGAAUAAGGACUUUUCCCUCAGCAAUGAUAUCCCGAAUGAAGUGAUACUUCACAUCAAUGUGUUUCGUCCUCUCAUGAUACAUCUGAUCUUUAGUCAAGUGUAUGGCACUUUGACUAUCAUAGUGAAUAUCAGUAACACCUUGAUAUAGACUUAACUCGCUAAAUAAACUCUUCAACCACAAGGCUUCUUUGAUUGCCUCGAUCAAAGCCAUAUAUUCUGCUUUUGUAGUAGACAAAGCUACGACAGGCUGUAGAGUAGCUUUCCAACUAAUAGCACAACCGCCAAUGCAAAAUACAUAGUCUGAAAGUGAUCUUCUCCUGUCAAGAUCUCCAGCGUAGUCUGAGUCUACAAAAUCAACCAAAGUGUUAUUAUUUCUUCCAAACUCCAAACAUGCAUUUGAAAUACCUCGCAAGUAUUUGAAAAUCCACUUCACAGCCUGCCAAUAUGCUUUAUCGGGGCAAGACAUAUAUCUGCUAACAACACUGACUGCAUGUGAGAUAUCUAGACGAGUACAAACCAUUGCAUGCAUAACACUGCCAACUGCACUGGAAUAAGGAACCCGUGCCAUAUAAUCUUCCUCUUCAUCUGAUUGUGGUGAUUGAGCAGCAGAUAACCGAAAAUGGCUAGCAAGAGGAGUAGAUACUGGUUUAGCAUCUUUCAUGCCAAAACGCUCCAAGACCUUCUCAAGGUAAUUUUUCUGGGUCAAGAACAACUUCCCUACUCCUCGAUCUCGAUUGAUAUCCAUGCCAAGAAUUUUCUUAGCUGCUCCUAAAUCUUUCAUUUCAAAUUCACUAUUUAACUACAGUUUCAAAGUGUGAAUUUCUGACAAAUUCUUGGCAGCAAUGAGCAUAUCAUCAACAUAAAGUAGCAAAUAAAUGAAAAAAUCAUCAUUUAACUUCCGGAAAUAAACACAACUAUCAUACAUGCUCCUUGAAUAAUCAUGACCCAACAUAAAGGAAUCAAACCUUUUAUACCAUUGUUUUGGAGACUGUUCAAUCCAUAUAAGGAUUUCUUCAACAAGCAAACAUGGUUUUUCUUACCUUCAAUCUCAAAACUCUGGGGUUGUUUCAUAUAAAUUUGUUCCUCAAGUUCGCCAUGCAAGAAAGCUGUCUUAACAUCAAGCUGCUCUAAUUCCAAAUCAUACAUGGCAACUAAAGCAAGCAAAACACGAAUAGAGCUAUGUUUAACAACAGGUGAAAAAACUUCAUUAAAAUCAACACCUUGUACCUGACUAUAGUCUUUUGCAACUAAUCGUGCUUUAUACCUUGUAUCUUCAACCCCUGGAAUACCUUUCUUUUUCUUGAAAAUCCAUUUGCAUCCAACAAUUUUCUUCGCUGACGGCGGCUUUACAAGAACCCAAGUUUCAUUCUGAUGAAGAGAUUCAAUUUCUUCAUUCAUCGCAAUCAACCACUUUGCAGAAUCAUCACAAGAAACUGCUUCUGAAUAGGUGAAAGGCUCACCAAUUGCAUCAGUUUCUUCUGCAAUAGACAAAGCAUACGCAACUAAAUUUGCAUAUCUUUGUAGUGGUCGAAUGUCUCUCCUUGCUCUAUCUCUGGUUAUGAAAUACUCUUCUUCUUCUGAACUAUCUUCAAUAGUAGAUUCAGGUACAUCUACUGGCAUUUGUUAAAUAGAAGAUUUGGUCUAAGAAGGACCAGAACUGCCAAUAUCAAGCUCCACCUGCUUCUGUGUACUAUCAGUAGUACAAGGACUAGAAGACUCCUUCUUAGAAAAAAAUAUAGAUAAUUCAUCAAAAGUAACAUCUCUACUGAUUACAAAUUUUGGAGAUUUGGGAUCAGGAUACCAUAAUCUGUAUCCUUUCACCCCAGAAGUAUACCCAAGAAAAAUGCACUUUUUAGCUCUAGAUUCCAAUUUUUCAUCAUUCAUGUGUAUGUAUGCUGGACACCCAAAAACUUUUAAAUUGGAGUAAUCAGCAGGAGUACCUGACCAAACUUCCUCAGAAGUUUUGAAACCAAGAGAUGCAGAAGGAGAACGGUUGACAAUAUAACAGGCCAUAUUGAUCGCCUCUGUCCAAAAGUCAUUUGUCAACCGUGCAUUGGAGAUCAUAUAUCUUGCUCUCUCCAAAAGCGAUCUGUUCAUACGUUCAGCCACACUAUUUUGUUGAGGCGUCAUCCUGAUGGUGUGAUGCCGAACAGUUCCUUCAUUUUUGCAAAAUCUAUCAAAUUCACCUCCACAAAAUUUCAUGCCAUUAUUUGUUCUCAACCGCUUAAUAUGUUUUUCUGUUUGCUUCUCAAUCAAAACUUUCCAUUGCUUGAAAGUUAGGAAAACAUCAUUUUUAUAUUUAAGAAAAUAGACCCAAACUUUCCUUGAAUAAUCAUCAAUGAAAGUCAACAUGUACCUGACACCACCUUUAGAAGGAGCACGAGAAGAACCCCAUAGAUCUGAAUGAAUGUAAUCAAGAGUACCUUUUGUCUUGUGAAUUACUGGUGAACUGAAGCUGACUCUUUUCUACUUCCCAAAAAUACAAUGUUUACAGAAUUCCAAUGGCCCGGUACUUUGUCCACAAUGAAGUCCUCUUUUGCUCAGUAUGCCCAAGCCUUUUUUGCUCAUGUGCCCCAAACGCAUAUGCCAGAAUUUGGUGAUGACUGUAUCUAACAAAAAUAAUGUUGAAACAGCAGCAGCACCUGUAACAGUAGAUCCCUGCAAAAUAUACAAAGUACCAGAUCUGUGUGCCUUCAUAACAACAAUAGCACCUCGAGUGAUUUUGAGAACUCCUUCUCCACCUGGAUACCUGCACCGAAUAGACUCAAGAGUGCCCACAGAGAUGAGAUUUUUCUUCAAAUCUGGAACAUGUCUAACAUCUGUGAGCGUCCUCACAAUACCAUCGUACAUUUUAAUCCGGAUUGUGCCUUUACCAACAACUUUACAAACGGCGUUGUUACCCGUUAAGACAACUCCACAUUCAGUUGAUUCAUAUGUUAAAAACCAGUCCCUAUUGGGACACAUAUGAUAUGAAUAACCCGAAUCUAAAAUCCACUCAUUGUUAGACCUAAAAAUAUUUUUCGUUGUAUAGAAAAUGGUUCCAUCAUUCUCAUCAGCUGCUAUACUAGUUUCAGCGGAUUCAGUAUUUUUCUCAACAAAUCUCCCUUUUUGCUUUUCUUUAUUUUUCAGUUUAAAACAAUCAGAGAUAACAUGACCCUUUUUUUUACAAUAGUUGCACACCACAUUUUUAUGUCUGGACUUGGAUCUACUUUUAUUUUCUGUAUUUCUCUUUUCAGAUCUACCCCGAACAAACAAGCCAUCGGCUUGACUUCCACUAGUUUCCCCAGUAAUAUCCCUAUCUAUCUGCUUUUUAGAUUUUAAUACAGAUUUAAUUUUUCGAUACGAAAUUGUUUCCUUUCCAUAAAUCAUAGUAUCACGGAAAUGCUUAAAGGACUGGGGAAGGGAACACAAAAGUAAUAGGGUUUGAUCUUCAUCAUCAAUUUUCGAAUAUAUAUUCUCCAAAUCCAUAAUAAUGGAAUCAAAUUUAUCAAGAUGGGAGAGUAUAGAUUUACUUUCAGACAUUCGAAACAUAUACAGGCUCUGCUUCAAAUAUAGCCGAUUCUCGACUGUCUUCUUCAUAUACAAGGCUUUCAAUUUAUCCCACAUAGCCUUGGCCGAAGUCUCCAUUGCUACCUCACGCAAUACCUCAUCGGAGAGAUUUAAGAUUAUGCUGGAUCUGAUCUUCUUAUCCAUAUCGGCGAAAUCUGCAUCCUUUACAUCUUCUGGCUUUUUCUCAAUUCCUUGAAUUGCCAAAUCAACUUCGUCUUGAACAAGAAUGGCCUCCAUCUUGAGCUGCCACAUGCCGAAGUUAACAUUCCUGUCGAAUUUCUCGACAACCAUCUUUGUUAUCGUUAUUGUUGCCACAAAAUCUAUAACUUGAAACUUGUCUCAAAAAAAACUGGUCAAACAGAUAUGCAAGUCUCGUGAAUGGGCCCAUAGGAUAAGCGGGCCCCACGAGAUAAGCAGGCCCCAAGGGAUGAACCCACAAGGUGAGUGGACCCCAUGAGAUGAACGGGCCCCACAAGGUAAGCGGGCCCUACAAAUAAACGGGCCCCACAAGAUGAGUGGGCCCCAUAUGAUGAACCGGACCCACCAGAUGAACGGGCUUCACCAGAUGAACGGGUUUCACCAGAUGAACCUGUCUUGCAAAAUAUAACAAUCAACUCUGAUACCAGUUUGUUAGGACCGGUCCAGGAACAAACAAACCAGAGUUAGUACAAAUUAGGCGAUAAAACCGACCAUAUAAAAGGGUUGCACCAACCUAAUAAAAGCAAAUAAUAAAGCAAAUAAAAGACACAAAAGAUUUACGUGGUACGAUCAAAUUGACCUACGUCCACGGGCGAGGGAGGAGCAAUAUUUCUACUAUGAAGAAAAAAUAUUAAAAGCCGUAGGAAAGUGGUUCCUAUACUAAUAAGGCACUUACAAAAGAGUUUAGAAAAUAUUUCUAAACUCAAAACAAGAGAGUCUAAAAUAUUUGACUAAAUAGAUUAGAUGACUCAAAAAUCUAAUAGCCCAUAUAACUCUCUUGAGUGGUGCACCUAAAACCUUCAAUAGGUUUCCUUAUUUAUAGGAAACCUCCUUUGGCUUCUAUUGAUGUGGGACGAAGCAGAAAACGCGUUUGUUGACCAGCGCGUCAUUCAACAUACACGAAUAUUAAUUAGAUAUAAUGUCAUUGUUUCAAAAUUGAAUAAGUAAUUUACAUUGAGUUACAUUUUGUUUAGAAAGUGUUGUACAACUUAGGCAAGUUAAGAACUGAAAAUCUUUUUCAGUUUUUUGUCCCUCAUGUUUAUCCGUUCUUUCUUCAACUUACAUUCAGCUGUAAUCGCUGAAUUUAAAGUGGAAGCGAUGCAUGUACUUCAACAAUGUCGGAAACAGUUACUGUCCUUAGCUACCUCAACUCCACACCAUUUAUACAUAAUGUGCUUGCUGUAUAUCCCAGGCUGGGAUUUGGACACAUUCCAGUGUUGGAUUGUGGUGGGGUUUAAUACCAAAUCAAUGGAUUAAACCCAUUAUAUAAAGGAGGCAAACGAACAAUUUUAUUAUGCUCAAAAUAUAUAUAACAACAACACACAAAAUAAAUUUAUAUUGGACACUAAUUAUUGAACCUCACUCUCGAGAAUAUUGCUCUAAUUUAUCAGAGGCUCACUCUUGAGAUAUCUGCUCAAACACUCACUCCACAAUUGAACUCGUUCAUUUCCUAUCUUUCACUUGAGCUUUGGUGCCCUUCAACUGAGGAAAUGGCAUUAUUUAUACUAGUAAGGAUCCUACAAGCGGCUGUAAUUUUUCUCUUCUCAUUCAAUGCCCAAUUGCCAGAAAAUCUGGUGAACUUUGCAAGUAAAUCUGGUUCAAGAUACAAGCACGAACCAAAUUGAUCAGCCGCCCACGUUCAGCUUCAAGAUGGACUUUGGCAAUUUGUCUAUUGCCAAUAAAUGAGUAAAACAAACACUCCAAAGCCAUAAAUUUAUUCUGAACACCCUAACUAAAGGUUCAUCACUUUUUAGCACAAACAACAUUUUCAAAAGACAUAUUAAUUAAUUAAUAAUAAACCUCAAUGAUAGAUCUCAAGCCCAAUACUGCAGUUAUCUUAUAGUCACAGAAGCCUGCCUCAGAGAAAAGUUUCGCCCAAUCUUUCUCAUUUCUUUGCCUUCCUUUGACUAGAACCAUCGCCCCCAUAUCAUAGAACAGUUGGGUCUCAAUCGCCUCAUGAUCAUCAUCCCCUUUCUGCUGGCUUUU
RNAcentral lists this long non-coding RNA (102309 nucleotides) under Coffea arabica (coffee). Its description in RNAcentral is "long non-coding RNA (CARA_LNC002335)". Lineage: Eukaryota; Viridiplantae; Streptophyta; Magnoliopsida; Gentianales; Rubiaceae. The record is from RNAcentral.